RNAcentral lists this long non-coding RNA (93207 nucleotides) under Setaria viridis. RNAcentral's name for it is "long non-coding RNA (SVIR_LNC003330)". Lineage: Eukaryota; Viridiplantae; Streptophyta; Magnoliopsida; Poales; Poaceae. The record is from RNAcentral.
GCAGGGGCUUCUAAACUCAGGGAAUGGCCAGGUCACUUGCACCAGCCGCCUAGGCAUGGUGUUCCGGGUCUUGUUUCGCUCUGAUGUUAAAAGGCGCGCUUGUUCUAGCUUAAUAGUGGUUUGUGUGUUUUGUGUUGUGUUGUGUGAGUGUUGGGGGUGUUCUGUGCUAAGGAUAGGGGCUUCCCCUUUUCUUUGUACUUUCUUCUCUCUCUCUCUUAAUGAAAUGACACGCAGCUCUCCUGCAUAGUUUGAGAAAAAAAAAGUUUGAUGAAAGAAGGAUCAAAUGCUAAUUUUCUUGUUUGUCUCCAUUCAUGUCCUAAUACUUCUGAUGUGCUGUUUUCUUAACACUAUUGCUUUUUCUUCUAAGGAAAAGUAAUUUAUGCCCCAGUGUUGAAAAACCAUGCUGACUGUUUUAAAUGCUGUUUUCAUAUAAUGGAAAAUUAAGCCUACUAGACGCACCAGGUCCAGAUGACUUUUGGAAAAUUUUGAUGUUACCCAUCCGUAACAUAUCCAACACGUUAGGUUUUUAUUUUUAUUUGGAAAAUCUCUGCUGCUCAACUAUAAUGCUGGGAGUGUUUACUCCAAAGGAUGGAAAUGCAUGUCUUUAUUUUGUUUAUAUAGGGAGCGAGGAAAAUUUCAUCUUUAUAGCCUUUUUAGUUUGUAAUAUAUCUGUAUGAGUAAUAUAACCUUGCCUGCAUAUAUUCGUUUUACCAUUCCAUUUGAUAUAAAUUGGCCUUCUGUAACGAUGAGUCUUGUGGAAAAAGAAGAUUUUCUUGCAUUUUCAUUUUUCCAUGCACAAUUUUUAUUUAAUUAUUUAUCUUGACUAUAUCAAUAGUUUAGUUCAUAUGGGAAUUUUUUGGAUGAAAAUACAGUGAUGGAGGCUCCCGCUGUGUAGGAUUUUAUUUAAACAAAAAGAACUAAAGAGGGAAGUGUACAAACUGCCAAAGCAGUGAGAGAGGUGAGAGAGCAGAGAGAGGGGAGAGGGCUAUACACAACUAAAACCAAAGAUCAAAACCAGAGGAUUGAGCUGAUUAUCUACAGGAGAUCUAUCCAACUAAGGAAAGCCGUUCAUAUGGGAAUGUUGGCAUGCCGCACAGUUGGCGCAAUCGAUCAGAUGAUCACAGCAUAUCCCUUUUCCUUUUUCUUCAGAACUUCAGUAGUGAACCUCAAGUGCUUAUAUACAGAUUCUAUAGCUAGUAAAUAACAGUAGUUGGAUUCUUGGAUCAAUGAUUUUGCAAUUAUGUAAUUAUUUUAACUGAGAACUUUGCUUAAGCUGAUUUGUGAAUUAGUUUGCAUGGUUUUAAAUGGACAAUGUGACAAGGAUCUUUGCUUAAGCUGAUAAUAUCAAUUAGUUUGCAUUAGUUAUGAAUAUAAGGUGAAUUUUUUCCUUAAUCUGGUGAGUUUCUAGAAGUUGUAUACAUGUAGUUUUAAUGCUUAAUGAACAGACAGGUAUAGAUCACAUUGCACAGUGCUGAUCGCUUGAUUGUCAAUCAAUUAGAGGACCAAAAGUUUGCUAACUUACUGCAGCCUCUUUUAAUCAUGGUAGCAUAUCUAGUACUGCAGUUCCGAGCUAAUUGUUUGCCACUGAAAAAAUAUUGUUACUCUUAAUUCGACUAUAUUGUCUUUGAAGGUGUACUUUAAGAUUAUAGCCUAACAUGUUUUUUCAUGCAUCUAAAUUUCUUUCUCUUAUUUCUCCUUUGUGUUUUGCUCCUCAAGUUUAAUCACUGAUACAUUGAUCUUGCUCAAGUGUUAUAGUCUCAUCUCAUCUUUCAGGCUUUACAUGGAUAGACUUGACCUUUUUGUUGCCUGGUUCUCUAAAUAUUACCCUAAUGCGUUGUACUUUUGAAAUUAUAUUUGUCACAGAGGGUGUUAGCUAAGGAGACAGAGCUGCACUUGGCCCAGAAAGAGUUGAAUAAAUACAAGGAACAGCUGAGUAAUGCUGAGACAACCAGAGUACAGGCCCUCUCUGAGCUAGAGAAAGCUAAAAAAACUGUUGAGGAGCUAACCACCAAGCUGGAUGCUAUCAACAAGUCUAAAGUGCUGGCCAUUCAGGCAACAGAGGAUGCAAAGACUCGAACCAAGCAGCUUGAAGGUGGCAGCUCAAAUGAAGGUCUUGGCACAGAUGGCCCUCUGAAGCAGGAACUGGAAAGUGCAAGGGAGCAGUAUGCUGUAGCUUUGGCAGACCUUGAUGCAGCAAAACAGGAGCUUAGAAAGCUCAAGAAAGAUUUUGAAACCUCAUUGGAUAUGAGGUUGUCUGCAGCUCAGCAGGAAGAGGAAUCACUGCACACAACUGAAGCCAACAAGGAAAAGGCUAAUCAACUUCGUAAUGAGAUUGCAGAAAUUCAAGAGUCACUUAUGCACGUUAAGGCAGCUACACAGCAAGCACAAGAGGAGGAAUCACAAAUCCGUGCUGAGAAGGACGUUGCUAGGACCACAUACAAACAAGCUUUGGAAGAGACGCAGAAGAAAUUGUCAUCUUUGAGGAAUGAUUUUGAUCCUGCUGCUUAUGAAAGUCUCAAAGAGAAGUUAGACCAAACCAAUUCUGAGAUUGCAUCCAUGCAGAAAAAGAUAGAAGAUGCUCGGGCUCGGGAUUUAGAGUCUGUUGCUAUUGUCAGCACAGAGUUGGAUGAUGCUAAGGAAAUGUUGCAGAAAGUAGCAGAGGAGGAAAGUUCCCUUCGUGGUUUGGUGGAGUCACUGAAAGUUGAGUUAGAAGCUGUAAAACAGGAGCACAAUCAGCUUAAAGAGAAGGAUACUGAAACUGAAUCCAUUGUUGGCGAUCUACAUGUUAAGCUUCAGAAAUGCAAAUCCGAGCUCGAGGCAGCUGUAGCUGCUGAAUCCAAAGCAACAUCAGCUUCUGAUGACUUGAUGUUGGCCCUUCAGCAGCUGUCUUCUGAGUCAAAGAAUGCCCUGCAGGAAGCUGAGAUGAUGCAAAAGAGUGCGACAGAGCUAAGAGAUGAAGCUGAAAAAGCUCGGGUUGAAUUAGCAGAGGCUGAGCAAAAGUUGCAGCUGGCUUUGAAGGAAGCAGAAGAGGCAAAGGCAGCUGAAGCAAGGGCCCUUGAUCAGAUCAAGGAACUCUCGGAUAGAGCAAGUGCUGCUCGAGCCUCAACUUCAGAGUCUGCAGCAAAUAUCACAAUCUCAAAAGAGGAGUUUGAUUCUCUAAGCCGAAAGGUUGAGGAGUCUGAAAAGCUGAGUGAGAUGAAAGUUGCUGCUGCUAUGGCUCAAGUGGAAGCCGUCAGAGCUAGUGAGAACGAGGCAAUCAAGAAACUGGAAGCCGCCCGCAAGGAGAUGGAGGACAUGGAAUUGGCAACGGAGGAGGCACUGAAGAGGGCAGAGAUGGCUGAGGCAGCCAAAAAGGCUGUAGAAGGUGAGCUUAAGAGAUGGCGCGAGAAGGAGCAGAAGAAAACUGCGGAGGCUCAGCCUUCCACAGGAGAACAUGCAGGUACAUCUCCGCCUGUGCCGCAGGCUUCUGGCGGGAAAGCUUCUGAGAAGAAUGAGGGCCAUCAAAGAAACAGCAGGACGCUACUAAGGAAGAGCUUUAUGCUGCCAAACAUCACGAGCAUGUUCCACAAGAAGAAGGGCCACGCUGGCAGCAGUUCUCCAUCGUACCUUCCUGGGGAAAAAUCCGUGUAAUCUAUAUGAAGCUCUUGUUUGCGAGUUGAAAUUUCCAUACUUGAAGGCAUGGUCAGAUGCUAUAAUCUGUAUAAUAUGCUUGUAGUUGCUUGCGCCUUGCAGUAAAUUACUGAUAUAAUUUUAUAUAUGCAUGUUGUGGCUGUUUCUUCUACACUUGCCGGACUUUUAUGAGUACAUUAUACCUCUGUAAUUCAGUGUUAUAUUUGAGUAUCCUAGGUAAGUUCUUGCAAGCUUCCAGAGUAGUGUAAGCAGAAGUAUCAUACUCAUUGAGGCCGCGGUGAAUUGUGAUGUCUACAUGUUAGUGAUGUUGAGUAUGUGCGCCAUUGGCCAUCAUAUAUGUAGAAACAUACACCCCAGUGAUCAAAGUGCACAACUGUUAUACAAAUGUCAGCCAGUCAGGUGACCGUACAAGUAUAGCGCAUAAUUUGUUGCUUCUAAGCAUGCGCAAAUGACAAAAUAAAAGAAUGCUAAGUUACUUUACGCUUCUUAUAUUUACAAGAGCUGCAAAGUAAGCUCACAUUCAGAUAAAAUGUAGGCACAAGGUGUUGGGGGUCGGGGUAUGUGGUGAAGUCCUUGCUUUUCAGAGGAUCCUGUAUAAAUCACCUCACAGAAUCAACAGUAGUAAUGGCCUUCUUCACAAGGGUUCCUCAGAAAAAAGUACAUACAGCGCAUUUCCUCCAAACUUCCUUCAAAAUCAUAUCCACCAAAAAUGGGUUGAAAAGAUGGGUUUAUAUAGGAGCUACUUCAAACCCAUGCAAAGGAGAUCUGUAUCUGAUGGAGCAUUAAAGUAAAUCCAUUUACUCAAUCCUUUCAAGAUUAUAUUUCACCAUCUUCUCAAGGGUACUUCGGAAGUCGCUUCUCGGAAGGCACUGCAGAUUUUGGAUAGCCAAGUCACCCUUCUCUCUCGCAAGCUCAUGUGCCCUCCUUAUUCCACCACUUCUAUGAACAAGGUCUAUCGCAGCAGCUAACGAAUCCGUCUCACUGAACUCGGAAUCGAUGAUCUCCCUCAGCUCUGGUUCAUCUUGCAAAGCGAAGAUGACCGGAGCCGUCAGAUUUCCCUUUGCCAAGUCACUUCCUGCUGGUUUGCCAAGUUGCUCAGCGGACUGGGUGAAGUCCAGGAUGUCAUCAACUACCUGGAAGGAGAGCCCAAGAUUCCUGCCAUAUUCAUACAUUUGUUCACAAAUUGCAGUGCUGACGCCACUGAAUAUGGCGGCUGACCUUGUGCUUGCUGCGAUCAGAGAUGCAGUUUUGUAGUAGCUCUUGAGAAGGUAAUCGUCAAGGGUGAUGUCACAGUCAAACAGAGUGGAGGCUUGUUUUAUCUCACCACUCGCAAAGUCCUUGAUUACCUGUUACAGUGCAAUCUAUGUAAAUAAAAUCAAGUAAGAUUAAACAAGGUAUGAAAGCUUGCUCAAGUUCUCGAUUACCUGACUGAUCAGCUUUAUAACUUCAAUGUUUUCUAGGUUUGCAAGGAACCAAGAAGAUUGCGCAAACAUAAAAUCGCCAGCAAGUACAGCCACCCGUGUACCAUAUAGCUGAUGAAUAGUUUCCUUCCCUGAAAAAGAAUCAAAGUAUACAUUAGACUAUUGAUCAACUGAAUCUUGAAUAAGUAUUGGAAAUAAAUAUUAGGUUGCCAAUGUGGUGGGGAGGAUGUUUAGCGUCUUGUUAACUAGGUUAAUGACCUAGGACCCACUUCAGUGUUCAUUACUUUGUUAAGUCAAUGCAUAAACUCCUUGCUAAAUUUUCAAAGAAAAUGAAAAUGACAACAUGAAGACUGCAAUUUUCUAUGAUGAUUUUAUUUGAUUACAGUCAUCCUAUAAGGAAUGUGGAAGAAAAAGGUAGCAACAGUAGGACUCCCAAAAGAAAUCAUAGUUCCCAAAUUAAUCAAUGCCUCUAAUGUUGGAAGUGUUUCCAAGAUAAAAAACCAGUAGAAACAAAUGCAUCUAUAAAUUGAAAAGAAAAGAAAGAAAAUUUUUAUUAACAAUAUUUAUUUGAAAAUAACAUAACAUUACCUCUUCGCAUCCCACUGUCAUCUAUGACAUCAUCAUGUAUUAAACUAGCAGUGUGAAUCAUCUCUAUAAUCUCUGCCAAGCGUUGAUGUUCUGUAGUUAGCUCCCUGGAUUCCAGAAAAAUAAAGGCUCAAUUAAUAAUUUCAAACAUCCCCUUAUUGGUAAAGUUACAAUAACAAAGAGAACUUACGACAAACCAGCUAAUUCAGCAGUAGCUCUAGACACCAGAAAAACUAACGCCGGUCUUAAUCUCUUCCCACCGGCACCAAAGAUUUGUUCAGCCGCAGAAACCAAAACUGGAUUCUCUGCACCAACAAGCUAUUGAAGUCAUGUUAGGUGUUAUUAUGGCAACUAGGAGCCCAAUUUGACAAUGGCAUGCCUUAUACAAACAGUGAUUCAGAAGAUGAAGUUUGGAUGAAAAAAUACCAACAAGAAUAAACUAAAGUGAUUUGUUUACUCAAAUUACUGUCAAUCCCCAACCACCCAACAUUCAUCAAAAUAUGGAGCAAAGGAUGGUUUCAAUUGGGAUACACCAUUAACCAGCCGUUGCUGCCUUUCGUCAUUUAGAUAGUGAAUUCCCCUGCACUUUGCAGUAUAGUCCAGGAUAACAGGUCCAUGCUGGUGCAAAAGAAAUAAUUUCUACGUCCUUUUGGAGUUUGUAUAUUUUCUUGGAGUACCACCUAAACUAAAAGUCUGCACAAUGUCAUUUGCUGUAACUAAAUGAUAGCAUAUAGCUUGUGUCUCCUUAUGGCCAACUUCACAUGAUCACCUCCACCCAAGUGCCACGUUCAUGCUUAGAAGUUAGAACCCCCUCUUUGUUACCCCAUCCAAGACACCUAUACAUCCAUGUUAUGACGUCAGUGCAGACAGUUGUGACAGCUGGAGUCAUAGGUACACUCAGACCCUGCUAGAAAUUGAGCAAGUGCACAGCAUCUAGGAAUUAAUGGUAGAAACUACAAAGUGAUAUCAUGUAGCUUAUGGCCCAGUGCAUAAUUUUCAGAAGAAGGUGAGCCUGUGCCCCAUUAAGCAUAGUUAAUGUUCACCCUGCAUGAUCUCAAGUCCGUAACAGAUUCUCUACUUUUGUUGAAAACUUGCAGAAUUCUCCAGACAAGGGUCCACCUCCACCAUCCCACAACCUUUUCUUUUCCAGGUGUAGUAGUUAAUUUUUCUGUUCUACAUCAUUGUUGAAAUGUUACUCCCUCCAUUUUCUUUUGCAAGUGUAUUGGGAUUUGGGUUAACGUUUCUGUUCUACAUCAUUAUUGAAAUGGUAGUCCCUCCAUUUCCUUUUCCAAGUGUAUUAUGAUUUGAAAAGAUCAAAUUAUAUAAAUCUUGAGUCAAAUUAUACACAUAUUUAAUAUAUGAAGUUAUAUCAGUAGAUAUGUAUUUCACAAAACUUUUAAUUGAUAAUACAUUUUCUAACAAUUGAUGAUAUGUUGCAAAAGGAAUUGAUGGUUAAAUUACACUUUUAGAGACUUCUCAGAAUCCUAAUAUGCAUUAUGAAAAAGAAACAGAGGUAGUACUUGAUUUGAAGAACUUGGCAAAGUAAGGCAAUGUAGGAUGAAACAACUAGUAAUAGAACGGGGAGAAACAUUGUUAGGAUCCUUUGGAAGGAUUUGUAGUGUAGGCAAGGCAUGCUCACAUUCAACUCCAAAGUGCAACCACAAGCAGUACUUAAAAUUCUUUCAAAGUGAGGAUUUCAAAACAGGUCUAAAUCGUUUCAACUAUCAGCUUUUUGUAAAAAUAAACUCAAAAUAAAAAGAAACUAUUAGUCAUAAAGGGAAUGCGCCUCUUUCGAGAGCAUUUCGAGUAAAUAGAAGAAGAAGGGUGCAAGUGACAAUAGGAGAGCAAGAAACUCACCGAUUUGAGAUUGUUAUUGAGCUUGAGCAAAUCGUCUGAGACGACCUCCAAAAGCGAGGACACCGAAAUACGCUCGGGGAUGGUCGUCGUGUUAGGAAUGCUCGCCGCCGGCACGUUGAUCGCAGCAAGACCUGCACAGACAGACAUACCCAAACUCAGCACGGACAAUCCAACGCCAUUGAAAUACGUGUCCAGGCACGUUCCGGGGGAAAAAAUAAUAAUCCAACACCGGUGCCCGUACGCAGCCUAGCAGGAAGAGAAGCCACAGACACGGACCUGCUGGCUGGCUAGGUGAGACCACGAAGCAAACACCUAGCGUGCGCCGCCUGGACGCCGCCCUGCCACCAGCCCAGCUGCACCGGACGCGCUGCGUGCGGCGGGCGGAGCACGCGUGCCGUAGGAGCUGCGGCUGCGGCUGCGGCUGCAGAGGAGACGACGGGACGACGGCCGCGGCGCCGGCCGUGGCCGUGCCGCGCCGGGAGAGGUGGGAGGAGGAGGCGAGGGAGGACGACGGCGCCGCCAUGCUCCUUUUGGUGCCGGUGGUCACGGCAGUGCGGCGCGGCCCCGGGCGCGUCGCGGGUUCUUGGGAGCUUGUGGUGACACGCGACGCGGCAGGCGACCACGGGCGGGGUGGCGGGGGCGGGAGCGGGGCCUGUGUGCGCGCGCCCGGGUGGCUGCGUGGCCGAGCUGGCGGCCGUGGCUUUGUAUGGUCCGCUCGCCCCUUAUCGGCGCACACGGGAUAGGGGCAACCUGGGCCGUGGAUUCGGCCACGUCAGCGCGGUAAGCUGGCGGCGUAAAGGCUGCCUAUGUGGACGGGAAGGAAGUCAGGAACUCGUGAGUCUGAAACGCGAGCCAGUGGAAAUGUAUGGCUCCGGGAGAGGGGUGGAAUUAUGGGGCCGUUUGGAUGCUCGGGCAAAGUUUGUCCAGCCGCACCGAGCAAGGAUUUGGAGGUACAUAUAAAUGGGAAUAGGUUGUUUCGCAUCUAUCCUUCGACAUGGCCUAAUUUUUAAGGCUACGUACCGAUCCAAUUCAACAUUUGACUAUGGUCUAAGAAUUAGACUUAGGUCCCGUUUGGGUCCAAGGAAUUGGAAUCUAUUUAAUGGAGUAGGCUAAUUUAUAUUGGAAUGUGGCAUUCCACAACUUUCCAAAGUUUAGAUAUAAGCCUAUCUUAAAUUCAUGGGGUGGGAGAUGGAAAUUGAUUCUAUAGAUUAUGGUUAUUAGAUGGAAUUCAAUUCUUAUAGCACGCUCUUAGACUCGCUUCUCUAUAGUAGAAGUGCAGCAUACAAGUAUCUCUCCCAUAUCACCAACUAUAAUAUACAACUAUAUUCCACAUACAAUUAUAUUAGCUUAAUUAAUUUAUGUCUAAAUUAUGAUUAUUAGGAUGGAAUUCAAUUCCAAUGAUCCAAACGGGGUCUUAAGGGAUUUAAGGAAUUGAAGUCAAGCCAAAUCAAAUCAAGGGAUAAUAUAUUCGUUUAGGAUAAUGUCUACAGCGACAACAGUAGUUAAAAUUGGAGAAUUAUAAGAUAAAUCAAGGGAUAAUAGAUUUGUCUAGGACAAUGUCUACAGCGACAACCAUAGUUAAAAUUGGAGAAUUAUAAGAUAAAUUCUAGAAAAAUAUUAUUUGAAAGCUAAAUAACACUACUAUAGAAAAUACCAUUAUCGUCGGGCUAUCACCGCCGGUUAUAGAUGAACUGUUGGUGAUGCCUUUCACCGCCGGUUUCGGAGUAAAUGGGCGCAGCGGCCCUUAUAACUGGCGGUGAUGCUCGUUUUCAUCGCCGGUUCGUAAUUGAAACCGGCGGUGAUAUGUAUCACAAACGAUUUUAGUCAAGAGCCGGCGGUGAUGCUCAAAUAUGGACCUGAAAUUUUUAUUGAACUCAGUUUUGAAAACGAUUCGCGUCCGCUCCCCUUCUUGACUCCCUCCCCCUCGGGACCGUUCUCGUUCACACUCCUCUCCUCCCCCUCCCUCUCUCCGCACCCUCCCUCUAUCCCGCUCUCCGCCGCCCCUCCUCCCUUCUCUCCCUCCGCUUCUCCUCCGCCUCUCCUCCUUCAACCUCUCAUCCGCUUCUCCUCCGCCUCUCCUCCCUUCUCUCCCUUCCUCUUCACACCUCAGAUCCAUGCGCGUCAGCCUCUCCUCCCUCUCCCCUUCGCCUCUCCCUCUACUCCCUUUGCCACCCCUUCCCUCUCCCCUCCGCUCGCCCCUCACUGGUAGUGGGGAGCAGCAGCGGGGUGAGAUGCGGCGGUGGCGACGACGGGCAUGGGUGGGUGGCAGCCAGAUCCAGCGGCGGAGGGGCGUAGUGGCCAGAUCCGACGGCAUGGGCGCGGCGGCCAGUUCCGACAAUGUGGGCACAGUGGGGCGGCCAGAUCCGGCGGUGUGGGUGCGGCGGGCAGCUAGCAGUGGGAACCUAGUGAGCCACCUCUCUCUCUCUCUCUCAGUGAUGAUUUGGAUGACGGCAGCGCGGCUGGGCCGUACGAUUUUUUUGAUUUUUAAUAGGCCUUCACCACCAGUUCCAGAUCCGGCGGUGUUGGAUAAACCAUCACCGCCAACCUUUAUCUACCGACUCCCAAACCGGUGGUGAUAGGGGGUUGGUGUAAUAGCUGCCAAUCUAGUCAUCUAAAUGACUUUGAAGAAUUAAAAGCAAAUUGAGAAGAAAAGGAAAAGAAAUUGGCCGAAAAUCAAAUUCAGGUCAAAUUUGGCCGAAAUUUGAAUUUUGAAUUUGAAAUUCAGAAAAAUUCGACAAAAAUAUGAAAUAGAAGUGUAAGAGUGACUAGAACUUAGGGACCAAAGAUUUGGAACAAUAUUUAAUCCGAAAUAUCUCAGAGAAAUCAAAGAAAGAAAAAGAAAAGCUGAGUUUACUGUUCCCCGUCCGAAAAUAGAAGUUCAGAAAAACAGCAGCAGAGUCUGUUUUCAAAAUUAAAUUCUGAGGAAAUUUGCAAAUAAGUGCAUCAGGACAACUACACCACAUUGAAGUAUGAACUUUGGACUACAAUACUUGGGUGUUGUUGGCCAGGAACAUGGAAGGGAACAAAUUCGAAUUGUAGCUCAAAGUCAGCACAUUGUCACAGUUUGACUAUCACUGAAAACGCCUAAGUCUGAAAAACAGCAGUAUCUGAGCAACUUUGGAUUCAAAUUCAGAGAGAUGGGAAUCAAAAGGUAUGCUUGUUCAUGAGCAAAAUGGAACCUUGGGAUGUUAUAGAACACCUGUAGGAAGAAGUUGGACUGGAAGAAGAAGAAUUGGACCACUGAAUCGAAGCACCAAGUGAGAUUGACACCACUGUCAGUAACUGACGAACUGAACUUUUGAUUCAGUCAAUAUUCAGACAAACCCGAGCAACAUUUCCAAAAUUCAUCUGGUUUGAUGUUUAUCUCAGGGUAGAGCCAAAAUAAAAGUUGGAGAGUUUGAGUUUAUCUACAACUUCGGUUAAGACACCUGUGCACCGUCGGAUUGGAAAUCGGCCGCGGUGAAGCUCUGAAGAUCACGGGCGUUAGAAGAAGAAAAGGGGAGCGGUGACAGAGCAGCGGGACGUGUCGCCGCCGCCGUCGUCGGUCGCUCGCCAGCGCACUUAGCUAGGCCACCUCCUCACCACAUAAGCCUACGGGUAGGCCACAGUGUCGCCCAUGCGCGCGGUGAACGCUUGAAUAUUUACCGCUCCCGCGCCGCCGUUUUCACCGCCGUCCUUUUUACCGCCGCCAGCGUCUCCUCUGUCAAGCCCCGGCGCCGAGCAAAAUUCCGCCGCCACAUCGCAGCUCCCGUCGAUUCCUUCCGUCCACACCUCCACCUACACCCCACCAGCAACCUUAGCAACUUGUUGCCCAGCUUCCUCGCCGUCACGCCUUGAACCACCGCCGAUUCUGUCCGCCGUCGUCGCGCCGCCCGCUCACGGUGAGCACCACCUCGCGCUGCUUCUCUUCCUUCUUGGGUAGUCGUAGGCAAGUCCUUAGGGUACUAGGAUGGUGUAGAAGCAGUCGUUCGAGUAGUUUGCGCCGUCGUCGUGUGUAGCCACGACCGGCCGAGGGAGUCGCCGCCCGUCACCGUGGAGGGGAUGGCUCCGGCCAUCUCCCGAGGAGCUGUUGCCGCGCACGGGUACGUGAAGGUGUAGGGGUGCCGACCUUGUCUAGCUUCGCCGCCGGUGGGGCGCCGGCCGGCGAGUCGCGCCACCCCUGUCGCGGGCGCGUUUUGGCGGGAGGAGGAAGAAGCGUCUGGGUGCUUGGGCCCGCGCGACAGCGAGAAGAGAGGAGGGGGAAAGAGGCCGGAGCGGCGCGGCCGGUUGCUGGGCCGCGGCGUGGAAGCCCAGUGGCGCGCGCGGGUGAUUGGAACAGAAAGAGGCCGAAGGCCCGGCGCAGCUAGCAGGCCGACUUCGCGAAGGAAAAGGAGAAAAAGAAAGAGGGCCGUUGGGCCCAUGUUGGACCAGAAAAAGAAAAAGGAAGAGAGAAUCGGCCCACGGGGGCCCGUCAGAGAGGAAAAAGGGCCGGCGGGUAGGAUGAAUAGGAAAAAGUGGGGUCCGCGCCGUGGGGCCCAGUGUGCGUGAGAGAGGGUAGAGAGGGGCUGAGUAAGAAAAGUAUUUCCGGGUGAUUUUCGGCAAAAAUUAGAUUUCCUUUAGGAAAGUAAUUAGUUUAAAUCCGUUUUACACCAUUUUAAUCACAGAAAUUUCUAGGAGUGUCCAAAAUUAGUGAAACCAAUUUUGUUAGGCUUGUUUUAUUUUCCUUUACGCAUUAAAAUUUUUACACCCUAGAAAAAUAAUAAAAAUUCAGGUAUUUAUUUAAUGCCUUCCUUUUAGGGUAAUUAAAUAAAUACUUAAUAUUUAUAAAAUGUAUAAAAUAUGAAUAACACUUUCUUAAUCACAAAUUAUUCUUAACUCAUAGGAAAUUAGAUUUUCAAGUUAGAAAAUAAUUAUAACUUUUUCUAAAGAUAAAAGAAAAAGCUAUAAGGAGGGUUAAAUAAGAAAAAUAAAAUUGUGAGUUAAUCUUUUUGGAUUUUUUGUGUGUUGGCUUACAACUUUAUCAUGAUAAGUUGUAUAGUCCUUGUUGGCUUGCAACUUUAUCAUGAAGGAAAGUUGUGUAGUCUGUUAUUCAAAAAUUUUGCAUUUCUAACCCCUGCAUGUAUUAUGCCAUAGAUCCCGAAGCGACGGAAGGAGAAUAUUGGGAAUUUUCAGAAGGACCUUCGGAGUCCGAAGAAGUUUUUGAGUUAGUUCCCUGUGAAGUCAACCCGUCGGAGAAUACUAAUCUUUUUAAUGAACAAGGCAAGCCCCGGUGCAUUUAUACCUAUCUAUUUUAGAAUCGUUAUUUCAUGUGUCUAAUUAUAGGUUAUUUGCUUUAUGUAUGCACUAAGUCUAGGAGUUGCUUGAAACCUAUUCUUGUGUAUGAUCAUGCCUUGUUUUAAGGACAUCCUUGCCACUUGUUCAAACCUUAGAAGAUACCCAAGUCUAGAAUUGCUUACUUGCUUACAUGCUCGGGUUACCAACCUUAAGGAAAACUUUUAAGUCAUACAUGUUGCUUAUGGAAGAUAAUUUGGAAAGUUGAAAGCGGACAGAAACCAGAGGUAUAGUUCUGUCUGCUAGAUUAAUUUGGUUAAGGCCCGAUUCGUUGUCUUAACCUUUGAUCAAGUGAUAAGCAUCUGAUCACUUACUGGGUAUGGGACCAGUAAAGCCCAGUAGGUUAGUAAACUCUGUGAUCAGGAAUACUUCGUACCCGCGCUUGACGUGCUGGAGAUUGGUAGGGGUGUAGCCUGAAAACUGACAUGGUGAUCGGGCCAGACGUGGGGUCCCAUGUGGGGGUGCAUCCCUGGGUCCGGGUAGUCGUAUUCCUAAUCAUUGAUUUUGCUAAUCGAGAGGUUGUUAGAUACGACCUGGACAGUCGUAUAACGCUGGUGAUCAGGGUACUCUCCUGCAGGAUGUAAUUAGAUCCGGAUCGCCGCAAUUCUCGGUUAUGAAUGCACUUGAUCACUGUUGAGCAUCGUAGUAUCAAUUCAUGCAAUAUGUAUCUUUCUGUUAUCAAUUAAUGUAUGAUUUAACAACUAUGGUUGUUUUUACUUCUGUUAUCAUUUAGGAUGGUUAGGUAAUGACUUAACCCAAAUAAAAGAUAAAACUAAGGCAUUGCUCAUAGUAAGCUUUUCGGCAAAAGCUAUGUUAACCAAACACCCCCAAAAGCUAGCAUGCAUUCCAAAGAAAACUAUUAUAUUGGUUAGUCGGGUAAGACUUGCUGAGUACCCCGUACUCAGGGUUUUCCCCUUGUGGCUAUCUUUCAGAAGCUCCACAGGAGUCUACAGAGAAGGAGACCCCGAAGCCCUAGGGUAUUGACCUGAGUCUCACAAUACCCUAGAGAAAAAGUUCUACUUGCGCAUCUUCUCCUGAACUAUUUAUGUUUAAAUCUUAGAAGCUUUGUCUAACACUGCAUCACUAAGUUUGUUUCAACCUAUGUCCUGUAAUAACUCUUACCUUUUAUAUGUAUGUAAAAAAUGUAAUGUUUGUUGCUAUUAUCCCAUCGCGGAUAUUAUCCUGAUGUAUGGUUAUGAGACACGCCGUGGAUCCUUCGAGGAGUCCUAGGGACACUUGACAGACUACCGGACUUAUGCUGUUUUAGGUGCGUUUCGAAUAAUUGCUGUUCCGAUAGCGAUUAGGCGCACUUAAACCAGCUUAAGUUGGGCGGUUCCGCCACAGUUGGGGGCCAGUGGUGAUGACAUAAUGUGGAGUAGUGUAAAUAGUGAUUAGCCUAAAUAACUAAAUAACUGAUGAUUUAGUAACUAGUAACUUUGGUUAUAUGGAUCACUAGGGGGUGGUGGCCUCUGCCAGCCCUCGGCUCUACCCCUAGUCUCAAUGCAUCAAUGGGUAGCUAGGUCGACUUAAACUUGUUAGACUAGGGCCCUAUUUGGGGGAGCUUCUAGCAGUUUUUGCUUCCCCAGGAAACUCCAAAAGCCACAAGCCCCCCCCCCCAAACGGGGUUAGAUUCUCCGAGAAGUAAAAGCUCUGAAAGCUAAGUUUACACUACAAAUGGAGAAGCUCUCCUGGACCAGCUUCCCGAGCUUUUGCCUAUCCACCUCCUUCCCCUGUUGUUUCUUUUUCUCACCACACUGUUGGCCCUACCCAUCCAUGCGCCAGCAGUCACCGCUCGUCUCCUUCGAGCCGUCCCUCAUCGCUCCUCCCCUCCCCUUCGAGCCGGCUGCCGUCGCUCCUUCCCUCUGCGCUGACCGUCGCCACCCCUCCCCUCCGCGCUGACUGUCACCACCCUUCCCCUCCGCACCUGCCGCCACCGUCCCUCCCCUUUACGUGGGCUACCACCUUGCCUUCCCCUGCUCGCACCCCUGCCGCUCCUCUCCUUCGCGCUGGCCGCUGCCGCCCCUCCCUUCCACAUGGGCCACCGUCAUCCCUUGCCUCCGUGCCCGCUGCCACGGCACUAGCCGCCGCCAUCCCUCCCCUCUACUAGAGCCCCGCCGCCCCUCCCUUCCACGUGGGCCACCAUCAUCCCCUACCUCCAUGCCCGCCACCAUCCCUCCCCUCUUGCUGGCCGCUGCUACUGCUGGAGCUCACCAUCCUCGAUGUCUGCACCCAUCCCUUCUCUUGAUGCCCUGCAGAAGUUGACGGCCGAGAAGUUGAACACCAAAUAGGUGAGUUUAGCUUCUCCAAAAAGCAGCUUUCUAGGGAAGCAAGUGGAGCUUCUCCAGGCAACGCUUUUGAAAAAGCUUAAGCUCCCUCAAACAUACCUAGGCAUCAUAUAUACUACUACACUACUGCCAUGCAUAUAUACUAAUACAUAAAUGUACAUGCAUUAUUCAUGCUGAAGGUAUCACAUAAUUUCAACUAGUGACAUGUCUAAAUUUGAAUCGAGCAAUAUGAAUUGCAGCACACGUAUAAAAAAGAUACAUUUUCUUCAAUUCUAUUCCAAAAAUAAAGUCCCAAAAAUUUUGUUUGACCUCAUAGUGUGGUAAGAUUUUGUCUUUGCGACUAUUGGUUUCAAAAAUACCCAUUACCUUUAACCUCUUAAGUAGUGGUGCAAGACACCAAGAAUGCUUCAGGCCGGUAUGACCAUGGCUCUAGACGUUGUGCUAUAUUCUCUAAUCUCUAUAUUGUAGACAACUAUAGCAACGAAAGCUCAGUCCAGCUAGUCCAUCAACUCCACAGAGUGGCUUUAGAGCAACUCCAACAGAUCCCCUUUCUCCUAUCCCCUUUUCAGCUAUAAAGGGGAUUGAGAGGGAAAAAGAGUGCACCAACAGAUCCUUUUCCAUUCCUCUUUCCCCUUUCUUUUUUUCUCAAUCCCCUUAUCCCCUCCCUCUCCCCUUUCUAAAGGGGAAAUCAUGCUUCUCCUUUUCCUUCUCCCUUUCCUUCCUCCUUUUUGCAACUGUGCGAUCUGCUAGCUUGGGAAUUUCUUGACCGCAUGAUUUGACCCAUCGUGCGAGCUGCCGUUGGUCACCCUGAGCCACCGCCGGUUGGCCUGCCCUCCAUGCCGUUGUCGUCGUCUGUCCCUGGGCACGGCUGCCCCCAUCCACCUGGUUGGCAAUGCCACAGCCGCACACGUCAGGCCCUGCUCCAGGCGCUGCCAUCGCCCACCUGCGUGCGGCAGGCACGGCCCUGGGCCGGGCACCGUUGCCGCCCACCUGCCCGUGGCAGGCACUACCCCGGGCACCACCGCCUCUGUCCGCCUGGCUGGCCAGCUCGCCCGUGGUGAGGCUGUUGUAGGCAAGCACUCCCGUGGCCCUCCCACGUGCGUGAGCAGACUGAGCGGCCGCCACUACCCCCUGCCAUGGGAGAAGCAAGAGAGAGGAGAGUGGGGGAAGAGGAGAGGGAGGAGGAGGAAGAAGAUGGUUUGGUCAUUGACAGGUGGGUUCUACAUGUCAGCUUAAAAAAAGGGGAAAGGGGAUGUGCUAGAGUACUUCUCUUCAAAAUCCAAAAGUUGUGAAAGGGGAUUUCCAUAUAAGGGGAUAAAGGGGAAAUGGGAAGUUCAAUUUGUUGGAGUUGCUCUUAGACGUAGGUCUAGCCCAGCUUCUCCCAUGAUAUUAACUAACCACCUCAUACCCAAUAUUAUCUGUAAUGGACCUAUGUAACGGUACCGAAUAUAACCCGUUACCUAUAUAGAAAAGCAAGUAAUGGACUUGAUCCUCGUCCGUUACAAGUUAUUGGUAACAGAUGGAGAAUGUUGUUUAUUUCCUAUGUCAUAUGUCCUCUAGGUAGCAACAACCUCGAUCCUGAUCAGGUGUUACAAAAUCCGACACUAAAGCAAACCUAGUGUUUCAUGUACACCUAGAAUGCUAGACUGAUAAAUCAUUCGCUCAAGUUUUAUAAACUUUGAAAAGUGCAGGACAUACUCAAAUACAAGAGUGACCGAAUCUCUCAUCCACAAGAUGAAGGUCCCAACUUCAACCUGCUUAGAGCCUGUUUGGAUCCAUCUAGAUGUUCUAUUGUUUCCAGUACUUCCUUUCUUGCAUACUUCCUUAUAGAAGGUCUUUGUUUUAGACAUGGCAUAUGAUCUUGUCGAGAGCUAGGGCAUACAAAUUUAGUGAUCGAAACUUCUAGAUGUUAUUGGUCAUCAUUACAACCAUGUUGUUGGGGUAAAAAACCAUCCUCGAAGUGGGGUCAACAAGUUUCCAAACUAAGAGAACAAGAAAUACAAUAAACUAAGAAAUGACUUUCACUACUAGAUUUUUGGUCUAAUACAACGGCGGAAAAACGUUGCAAUAUGCCCAAAAUCGAUGCAAUAUCUAGCAAUUGCAAUGGCGACUGGUUAGUUGGCAGGCGUGGCAAUAGCUCUUUGCAACGUUUUUUGUGGGCCGUUGCAACUUAUGGUAAUUGCCACACACAUUUCGUUGCAUUAUAGAGUAUGGCAACGGAGGAUUUCAUUGCAUUAGCAUGUAUUGCAACACAAGCAAUCAUUGCUAUAGUACGUAGUUGCAACGUACAAACUCUGUGGUAAUAUGGUAUUUCGCAACGAUUUACAUGGUGGUAAUAGAAUAUAUUGCCACGGAAAUUUUACGUUGUGACAUAUCCUAUGACAACUAAAUUUCUUUCGUGGAAAUAAACUUUAUUGCAAUAGAACCAUUUUCGGUGGCAAUAGUUAGUUUUGCAACGGAAACUAUUACGUGGGGACUAUUUCUAUGGUACCACAACUGCUUUCGUGACAAUAACUUAUAUUGCCACGGAAACAUGUUUGGUGGCGAUAAUUCAGUUUGCAACGGAAAAUAUUACGCUGUGACAGAUCAUAUGGAAACACAAUUGGUUUCGUUGAAAUAAACUAUAUUGCCAUGGAAACAUAUGUGGUGGCAAUAACUCAUUUUGCAACGGACAAUAUUACGUUAUCACAGAUUCUAUGGCAACACAAUUUGUAUCAAACCAAAUCCAACGUAGCAAAAAUUGAAUUUUUCAAAUUCUUCUCUGGUAGAGAUAAUACAAUAUAGCAAACAUCUAACAGAUCGACAAUACAAUAUAGCCAAAUAUCUAUCAGAUCAACAACCUUUACUGCCUAUGCCACAAACAAUAUGGUCCAGCAUCCAUUCAUGUUAGCAUGAACAACAUCUACCAAAAACAGCAUCCAUUCAUGUUUGCAUAACCUGAAGAGGCAAUCCUAGCUCCCCGGACGGUCAUCGUCUUGUCCAUGAGAUUCAGGCCCAUCAUCUGCAAGCCGUUCUGCUCCUCCCCGUCAUCUCCCACGUACUUAACCUGCAGAGGAAUGAGAUAACAUGUGAUCGGCAUAUAGCAGUUAUAUACAGGCAUACAGUUGCAUAUUGGAUCAGCCAGAAAGUAAUUUUACAAAAAACUUUGAAAAAAUGCACAUCACAUACCAUUUGGAUCAGCCAGAAAGAAAAGUUUAAACAAAAAACCUUUGAAAGAAUGCAGGUCACAUUACAUUUGGUUAAUGGUCAUUUGCUCUUGUCCAAACAUUUCAUUAAUCACACGUUCUGCAAAUAAUCAUAUGAAUCAGGACAACAAACUUCAAUCAUAUUUUAUUUGCAAUCCUUAAAAGUCUAGUAAUAAUGUAAAAAUGUCCCAUCAAACAGAAAGAGGGCAGGGAAUAUGUCAAGGACUGUAACUCAACUAAAACAUUGCAAAAAUUAGCAUAUUUAUUUUUUAUACUGCGAAGAAACAAGUGUAAGUAAAAGCAAAGAUAAUUAGCUAAUAAAAGUUCAAGCUAUCUGCCCAAAUCAAAGAGGAAAUAUGAAGUAUAUGGGAUGGGGAUAGCCAAGUUGAAUGUCAGGUAGGCAGCACCGGUCAUUGGUCGGCAAAGAAGCCUAUACAUGUGCAUGACUCAUGAAAGACCUGUUGUUGAGCACUCCAUCAUCAUGGGCCUGCCUGCCUAGACACAUUGCUUCUUAACAAGCUGCAAAAAGAUGUAUGGAGCAAUGUUUUAGAAUCUACCUUGAUGCAACCAUAAUAUGUAACCAUGGUUUCAUUUCUAAAACCAGUACACAAGAACAAGUAAACAUGUGUAUCAUGCAUGGUUGCUCGGUAGAAAAAUGGCUAGUCAUAUUUACAUGGAGGGUAAAAGAAUGUAAGAACCAAUAAGAGAUAGAAAUUAGCUAAUGAUUUCUUAGUGAUUCCUAGAGUUUCAUUAGAAUGUUGCUUUUUCUGAUGCAAAUACAUUUCUUAGUGAGCAGAAAAAAUGACAUAGUUGGACAAUGAUCCAUUUCCCCAGGUACAUAGAUCACUGUUGCUUCUUCUGAAAACUGAAUAACCAUUUUGCAUGAUGAUCCAUGGUAGUCUAAGAAGGAAUACCGCAGCUGCAAAAGAAGAUAUGUGCAUACUAAAAAUUGUAGAUUCUGAAAAAAGGAAGAAUUAUAAAAAAUAUUUGGAUAAGCAGACAUGAUAACAUUUUUUGGUUGAAGUUGCUAUCUCCCAAUUUCCACUCCAGAGCUUCACCCAUGCCUGAUAGAACAAAUAAAAAUCAUUACACAUAACAAACCAAGGGAUGCACUUAUGAGUAAUUGAAGCUAAGAGUGGAAAACCAAAACAAAGAAACAUCACCUGGAAGCUGACUGACAGGAAUCAUUUGAGUUAAUGAGUAAAAAAACAUUCAAGACAAUAUAUCAGGAACCUUUUUUUUUUGCGAGAAAUAUAUAACAGGAACUUGAAAGAUGCAUCUACUGAUUUUUCUAUACAAGUUGUACCUUAAUUUUUUAGAAUGAUAACUCAACAAAAAUAGACAUCUAAAUCGAAUCUAUAUGUCCAACCAGAAUUUUUUCAACAACUCCAAUAUACACUAUCUAAGUUUUCUAAACAACAUUGCGAACAGGGCAAUGUUGGAACAAAUAAACAGAGGAACAAACCUCCCAUAUCUAGUCGACAAAGCAUUAUCUUGGCCCAUGAUGACCAUCUCCAACAGCAAUUUUUAGAGUGUCUUGUCAAUCUCGAAUAUCACUACAAAGAAAAAAGAUUCUCAUCAAUACAAAAUAAAUUCAGCUUAAUACAUUCUAAGUAACCUGAUAGGUCCAUUUCUGCCAUGUGAAUUCUCUUCUGCCCCAUUCAGGCCAUCCAGUGUCACGGAACCUAGAAUUCUUGCAUUCAAAGUCUCAAAAUGUUCUCCCACAUUCUGCAGCGAACGCUAACAGAACGAAUCUCAAGACACUCGUACAUCUCACAAUCAGUUGUUAAGAAAAAUAUGUCCACUAACUGGGAAGCAACCUACUACACUUAUCCGUAAAGUAAAAGCCUAAAGGAAACCUCGGCGUGUCACUCAUCCCGCCGGUGACCAAGCGGCUAGCUUGCGGGGAUUACGGCAACGGUGCCAUGGCGGAGCCGUCAAAGAUCUGCACGAGCCGCCGGGCGAGGCGGCGGAUGGUGCGCCGGUGCCACGAGCGCCGAGAGGCCGCGCGGGUGGAGCCAUGGAGGGGUCUGGCACCUGGCGGCGGCCGGGAUCUCGCCCAACGUGCCACGGCAGUGGGGCUGUAGGGGGUGCUCGGCAGGGCAGCGGACGGCGCGCCGGUGCCACGAGUGCCGUGGAGGGGGCGACAGUGGGGUGUGGCUUAGAGGGCAGCGGCAGAUCUGAGGGAGGGAGAGGGAGGUGAAGUGGAAGGGAGGCGUCGGGGCCGGCAGUGGGGGCAAAGGGCGGGGCCAGGGCUGGGGCCAGGGGUGGGGUGGUGUGGGACGGCGCGGCUAGGGUCUAGUUGAAGGAAGAAGGAAAAGCUUAUAACCUAGGGUUGUACUCAUGUGACAUGAGAACCGUUGCAUCCGUGAUGGACGGCUACAAGGAGUUGGGCCGUUGAAGAAAUUAUAGGCUGAGCAUAGUAACGGGUUCAUUUUGUGGCUUACGCCCAUUGCUGCCUUCUGUUACAUUUAUUUUAAAUUUCUAGUAAAGUUUAUUGUUAUUAUUGUAAUUAAUUUUGUAAAUUAUUAAUGAAUUCAAAUGGAAAAAUUGUCUGAUACAAAUUUUUAAAAAUUAUCAAUAUCUACAACUUUUGUUUUAGCCAUUUCUCCAUCCGACUUUGUUUUAAUAAUUCAAAAUUUGAAUUUCAAAAUGUGAAAACUUCAAACAAUAUUAUGAGAAAGUAAAUAAUUUCAAAUAAAAAAUCCGACAAAAACAAAGUUGUAGAAACCAACAAGGUCUACAACUUUUGUGUUGGUAAUCUCUCUAUCCGACUUUGUUUGAACAAUUCAAAAUUUGAAUUUCAAAAUAUGUCAACAUCAAACAAUAUUUUGAGAUAGUAAAUGAUUUCACAUGAAAAAUUUGUAAACAAUAAUGUUAUAGAAACCAAUGCCUUGGAGAUAGAUGAAAAAUUCAAUUGUCUUCUAUGGACAAUUCAAAUAUCUAUCUCCAAAUUAGCACAUAAUAAUUACAAUAAUAUCUAACUUUGGUCAGAAAAUUUUACAAAUUUACAUGACAACAUAUUUUUGGUCAAUAAGCUUGACAUAAAAGUUUCAUAAGAUUUUAAAAAGAUUGGAGUGUAUGUUGUUCACAAAAUGGAUAGACCUCUCACAUUGUUUCACACAACUCAAAUCAAACUUUGAGAUUUGAAUAGCUCGUAUUAUGUUUGAACUCGUAUGCACCUCAAAUUUGGACACAAACUUACCUUUACCCUGUUGUUGACAUUUGUGGAUUUACAUUGCCACUUGUUGUAAAAAAAGUUAUUUUUCUAUUUUUUAACUAACUAAUUAAUACACCCUUGUGAAGUAACUUGCAAAAUAAUUAUUUUAUAUACCCCUAAUUAUAUUUUUACAUGUAAUAGAAAACAUCUAAGUUGUCAUGUAGGAGUUUCAAGAAUUUUUUUAAUAGAUUUAGUAUUUUCUAUCAUUUAAAUGAAUUUCUAGUUGCUUAUCAAAAGUAAUUCCAACUUGAACUAGGUGUACCAUCAAUAAGAUUCAAAAAAUGCACAAAAAUUAUAUUUAAGCUUGUAUGUUCGAUUCUAUCCCAUACCUUAGAGAUAGAUGAAAAAUUCAAUUGUCUUCUUAGGACAAUUCAAACUUCUAUCUCCAAAUUACCACAUAAUAAUUGCAGCACAUAGGAUCCAUGACAGUUACACUGAAAUGCUAAUAUCUUGUAGAAAUUAUGUUUUAUUCAAUCUGUUUCAAUAGUAAUUUUUUCCCUUUCUUCAACCUCAAUGAUGUGCAUUUGAUCUCUCCAAUAGGAGGGGCACUAAAGAACUCAGUAGUUAACCUACACUAUAGAUACAUUGUUGUAACUAUCAUAGAAUUUAUUUCUUUUACUUCGGCUCCUAUCCAUCAUCCAACAAUUGCGUAGCGUGGUGGUGAGGUGCUCGAGUCUAAACUCUGGAGACCCUGGUUUGAUUCCCCAUUGCGCAUCUUUUAAUUUUUCCGAAAUAAAAUAUGAGAAAAUGAAUGUAUAAAAUAUAAAAUACCAUACUUUGUCUCAAGUGUUGGUGUAGUGCAGUGGUAAGGCGUUGGAGUGUGGUCUCUAAAAUCAGGGUUCAAAACCCACGCCUUGUUGAUUUUUUUUUCUAAUUUUCAAUGGGCUCGCCGUGGCCGGGUGAUGUGGUGCGCGGCUGGGGGGCCGGUGACCUGGCGCGGCCGGUGGUCGGGUGACAUGGCGGGCAAGCACUCGGGUGACGUGGCAUCCGACACUAUAGAUACAUUGCUGUAAUUAACAUAGAAUUUAUUUCUUUUACUUCGGCUCCUAUCCAUCAUCCAACAUUUGCAUAGUGUGGUGGUGAGGUGCUCGAGUCCAAACUUUGGAGACCCUGGUUCGAUUCCCCAAUUGCGCAUCUUUUAAUUUUGCCGAAAUAAAACAUGAGAAAAUGAACAUAUAAAAUAUAGAUUUUUUUUGCUAAUUUUCAGUGGGCGCGCCGUGGCCUGGUGACAUGGCACGCGGAUGAGGGGCCGGUGACCUGGCGAGGCUGUUGGUCGGGUGACAUGGCGGCCAAGCGGUCGGGUGACGUGUCGUCCUACACUAUAGAUACAUUGCUGUAACUAACAUAGAAUUUAUUUCUUUUACUUUGGCUCCUAUCCAUCACCUAACUAUUGCAUAGCGUGGUGGUGAGGUGCUCGAGUCCAAACUCUGGAGAUCCUGGUUCGAUUCCCUCAUUGUGCAUCUUUUAAUUUUUCCGAAAUAAAACUUGCAACCAUUUUUCAACUCGUGGCGACAACACCUAUCUAUUGCAACAAAUUUUUUGUUGUUGCCAUAGGCUAUGUGGCAACGUAACAAAUUCAUUGCAAUAUUGCUUCCUACUUGCAACAUUACGUAUUUCCUGGCAAUAACCCUUAGAUAUUGGAACGCAAAAAAAAACUUUAUAACAACGCAAAAAAACCAUGGCAAUUUGUUCAGCAACUCGCAACCAUUUUCAACUCAUUGCGACAACAUCGACCUGUUGCAACAGAUUUUUCGUUGUUGCCUUGGGCUAUGUGGCAACGUGAUAAAUUCAUUGCAAAAAUGUCAAAGCCUUGCAACUUUGCGUAUUUCGUGGCAAUAACCCAUCGAUAUUGCAACGAAAAAAAUUAAUUAUUGCAACGAAAAAAACACGUGGCAAUAUCGCCUACCUAUUGCAACGAAUUUUCAAAUGGUGGCAAUAACACCUACCGGUUGCAACGAAAACUCAAAAUCAUUGCAAUAACCCCUACCUGUUUCAACGAAAUUUGAGUUGAUGGGAUGAUGGCCGUAGCAAUAGUCCUAAAAUCUAGUAGUGUUUGGGUGAGCUUAAGAAAUCUCCCCCUCCGUCUGAAUCCGUCCCUUUGCAUUCACCACGGUCCCAUUUUAUAGGAUCGUAAUUUUUACACUUUACAACUCGACGCCUUGAUUUUCUCAUUAUGUUGCAAAGCAUAUUUGAGGGUAUUAACAGUACACCACUUUUGUUGCGCCCUUUUACAACUCAUCGCUUUACACCUAAGCUCGAGUGGGCAACUCAUCACUACAAGAAAUGUGUUGAUCUAUGAUGAAAAUUUUAUGACACAUUUGUUCUCGUCAUAGAUCUAUGACGUUUCUGGCUGAAAAUAUCAUAAAGUUUCACAUCCGAGCAAAUUUAGUGAUAAAUUUACGGAACAUCAUAAAUGUUGCCACCGUAGCCAAAAAGAAAUUAUCACUCAUUGUUACAUGGUGGUUUUGUGACGAUAUAAGCUCCGCGAAAAUACCAUAAACCAACUAGGGUCCCACAUGUAAUAAAUAGAACACUAAAAUAAAAUGGAAAAUGUGCACCUCCCAUGGGCUGAACCUGUUAUCGAUCGAAUGGGAAGUCUUUACCGCGACCGGGCCCCACAUGUAAGGUAAGUUUCAGGUGAGUGCGGUAGUUGGCCACAGAAAAGCCCACGCUGCAGUCAAAAAAUAGUUUACCCGCUGCCGUGCUCCUGCGAUAGGCAAAAAAGAAGAACAGAAAAAAGGUGGCUAGGACGGAGCACUCCGGCGGAGAUCUGUGCCUCCCCGCGGCGGCUCAGUCCUACGACAACACAAAUCUGGUGCUUCCUGAUGCGGCGCGUUAAUCUGGUCAGUAAUUUUGAGUUCACCAAAAUUUCAUUUCGCAUUGAGUUCUUUCAAUCUGGUCAGUAAUUUUGAGUUGAAUUCGCCAAAAUUUCCUAGAUGGAUAGACGUUGGACACCCGGUUGUCAAGUAUUUGCCCCCAAGCAUGAGAAAGGGGUCAAUGAUUUCAUGAAAUUUGUUAAGAGUUGAUACUCUGAUGAUGAACAAAUACUAUGCCUAUGUCAUGGAUGCCUAAAUCAGUCUAGGUGUACUGUAGAAGUGGUGAACCUGCACUUACUUAUGAAUGGGAUGGAAAGCACCUACACUAGGUGGAUCCAUCAUGGAGAAACAUUCGAGGAUAGGGUUGAGGAAAAUGAAAAUCUGCAGGAUAAUGGGGUUCAGGAAAAUGCAAUCCUGUAGGAUGAUGGGGUUGAAGAAAUUGCAAUUUUGCCGGAUGAGGGGGUUGUGGAUAAUGCAAUUCUGCAAGAAGAUAGUGAUCAGGAAAUGGUUUAGGAAAAUGAACACAUAUCGGGUAUGGAGGAGGAUGAAGGAACUAAAGAUGGACUUCCUGAAAUGAUAGCUGACAUGUGCCAUGCUAAAGAGCUUGAAGGGAAAAUAUUAGAAUGUAUAAAGGAACAUAUAAACCAUAAGGUGUCACCGGGAUCUAAAUAUACAGAAUUUACGUUUGUUGUGAAGUUACUUCAUAUCAAGUCUUUCUAUCAGAUCAACAAUAUCGCAUUCAAUGUGAUUCUGAAGGUGUUAUCCCUUGUUUUCUCAGGAGCAUGUGUUCUGACAUCUUAUGAUGACGCAAUUAAGUACUGUUGACGCCAGAUUUCGACACGAGUAAAAUCGGCGUUAGAAGAGGAAGAAAUUAGGAGAUGCGGCGAGAUACAAGGGCGACGAUUGGAAAUCGGCCGAUUGGUGCUGCAGUCACGGAUCGGUUGGUUGGUGCUAUAGUCAAGGAUCGGUUGAUUGGUGCUACAGUCAAGGAUCGGCCAAUUGAUGCUACAGUCGAGGAUCGGCCAAUUGAUCCUUGGAGUUCCGCCUCGUCUGACCCCUGAGGUUUGGUAUCGGACGCGCCCGACUCUCCAAGGGAGGAUCUCCGCCUCGCCCGACCCCUGAGGUUUGGGAUCGGACGCGCCCGGCCCUCCAAAGGAGGAUCUUCGCCUCGCCCGACCCCUGAGGUUUGGGAUCGGACGCGCCCGACCCUCCAAAGGAGGAUCUCCGCCUCGUCCGACCUUAGUUUCCAGGGUUGGAGUGAGUCUGAGCCCUCGACAUGUGGGUCCUGAUCGGUUACCCCUUGCCAAAGAGGUGAUCGGCUGAUUAGGAGGUUGGAAUAGUUGGGCCGAUGUGGGCUUAAAAAGGAUUAUGAAGAUGAAGAGGGAAUCAGCUCAUGAAGCGCGUGAUAAUCGACCUAGUACGAAUCGUACUUGUAAAUAUUCGUUUUCUAUUUAAAUUUAGGGAUAGAGUUCUAGUCGGAUAAGAAGUUGUUUGUACGGGGCUAUAAAUAGCCACCCUUGUAGAUCUGUAAUCAUCAUCAACUCAAUACAACAAACUACUAUUUCCUCGUACUUACUUUCAAGCAGGCGACUUCGCCAACACUUUUUUCUCCUUUUUCAUGAGUUCGUACGAGUUGGCGGGGCUGCAUCAACUUGACCUCCGGCCGAUCUUGUAAGUUCCGUUUAUCGAGUAAAUUCUAAGCUUUUACUUCGGGCGCAUCGCUGUCGUUUCGUUUAGAUUUAUUCAUCAGUUAUCGAUAUUUACUAGAAUUCUAGGUUUUACUUGUUGUUCUAGUUUUAUCACCAAUUAUUCAGCUAGGAAUCGGUAAUUUCGGCUUUCAUCUAUACUUCUCUAUCUAAUCUAUUUAUUUUAGCCGAUUAGAUUUGUUCCUAGUGUUGCUACUGUAGCGUUGUUUAGAUUACUCUAGCAGUUUUCUUUAUAAACGUUGCUUGGUAAUCGGUUGCAUCAUAGCUGAUUUCUUUAUUACGGCAAAUCGGCCGAUUCACUGAUAAGCUUUCUCGAGAUCGGAACCUUAGCCGAUCGCAACCUCUGGGAACUGACAUGUUUCUUUCCUUGCCAAUCAACAGGUCAGAUUGGCUGGCACGCCACGCGAACCACACCAGAGCGAUCACCCGAACAGGAGCUAAGCAGAUUCUCCCGGGUCGUGUGUCCGAUGCUGGGAAUUCGAUCAGCUGAUUUCUAGCACCAACACACUUUUGGCAUGACCGGUGGGACCAAUACAACCGCCACCAUGUCGAAAGCUGCUGAAGUCUCCGAAGAUAACGUCAUCGAAGUGACAGAGGCAGAUCUUAGGGACGACCAGACGGAAGAACUAGAGAGGCAGAUGGCAUACUACCGGAAGACAUGUCUGCAGUCCUUCAGUCGCACCAGGAGUGGGGAGACUAUCAAAAAGGCUCCGUUUCCAACUCCCCGCCAGAUCACAAUCACCGAGGACUCGGACAAGAUGUCCGAGAUGGUUCAGCAAUCCGUCUAUCAAGCUUUCAUCGAUCAAUCCCCGGUGCUUUCUAAUACGGUAUACAAUGCCGUCAUCAGCUCCUUGGCUAGCGGUGUAUCUCAAGGGUACCAGGGGCCGGCAUAUGCUCCGCCGAUUACGGCUCCGAACAAGAAUAUACCUUAUUCGGCUUCUUAGCCGACCCAAAUUCCGGUUGGGGUUUCUGGCGCUUCCUCAUCAUCGAUCCCUAUGGGGUUUAAUGGCACGCAACACCUCCAGCCACGUCCCAUUCAGUUGUCCUCCGCGCAGUUUCCUCCGUUUAAUCCAGCGCCUUGGGGGGCACCAUCAGUGACGGUCGUCCAGGAUCAACCGGCCAACCAUGGAAGUCCCCAACUCCAGGCGUCUUUCCAGGCGACCGCUCGACCAACCAUGCCGCAGUACCAGCCUGUCGCACCAUAGAUGAGCAGAGCAGCAGAAUCAACGGAAGUACUCCGGGGCGUCGCGCCGCUCAUACUAUAUGUCGAAACAAGCGGCUCAUUCAAACAGCCGACCCUGACUACGCAGCCGGCUAUGACACAUCAAACGCCACACGCUUUCACUCAACAUGAAGUCAUCCCGCCGCCAAUAUAUUAGCACAUACUAGUUCCUCAGCCGACGGUUUACCAGCAACAGCCGGACUGGUCGGCACGUAUAGCAGAGGUGAUUCAGGAACAAUUCGGCUUGAAACCGAAGGUGCAGACCUACACAUACAGGACACCGUACCCGCCUACAUAUGACUUACUGCCGUUUCCCCAUCGGUAUAAAGUUCCUGAUUUCACCAAGUUUUCGGGGCUGGACGACACCUCAACCGUGGAACAUGUGAACAAAUUCAUCAUCCAAUGCGGGGAAGCAGCGGCACAGGAUGCUCUACGGGUGCGUCUUUUCUCAUCAUCCCUGUCUGGGUCGGCCUUCCAGUGGUUCACCACCUUACCGCCCAACUCGAUAAUUACAUGGGCCGAUCUGGAAAGGCAAUUUCAUAAAUACUUCUACGCCGGAAUACAUGAAAUGAAGUUGUCCGAUUUAACCAGCCUCAGACAGAGAAGCGACGAGCCAAUUUCCUCAUAUGUGCAAAGGUUUCGGGAGAUCAGGAACAAAUGCUAUUCUCUAGCCCUGACUGAUGCACAGUUGGCCGAUAUAGCCUUCCAAGGCCUCCUACCUCAUAUCAAAGAGAAAUAUGCCUCACAGGAGUUUGAGAGCUUAAGCCAAAUCGUCCACCGAUUAUCAGGUCAAGAAGUACGUCCUUUCGAUCCACGGAGGAACUUUCAGAAGAAGGUGGCAUUCUUAGAAGAGGUUGAAAACGAGGAAGACGCAGAAAUCGGCCUUGCGGAAUGGGUUAAAGGGAAGAAGCUGAUAUCGUGUCCGUUUGGAAAGAAGGAGCCGGAAACGUUCGGAUUCGACACAUCAAAGGCCGAUAAAAUCUUCGACCUACUCCUCCAGGAAGGACAGAUCAAGCUCUCACCGUAUCAUACGAUUCCUUCUGCUGAACAGCUGAAAAAGAUAAAAUAUUGCAAGUGGUAUAACGCUACUUCCCAUGAUACAAAUGAAUGCAAAAUCUUCCAGCAGCAGAUACAGUCGGCCAUCGAGCAAGGCAGACUUAAAUUUGAAGUUCCAACAAAAUCGGCCAAGCCGAUGAAGAUCGACCAGCACCCCUUCCCCACCAACAUGGUUGACACGGGGAGGAAUGCGCUCCAAACCAAGGUGCUGACGUCUGAAUCGGCUAAGCAAAGCGGCGUCGUGGACCCCAAGAAUCAAGCAACACCCGAAGACGUCAAAGGAAAACGACGGAUGGAAGAUGAUGAUGACAGGAGGGGAGAACCAUGAAGGCCCAUUACUUCCCAAUUUAUGCUCAAUAAGUAUCAACGGCAGCAUGCACGCUCAAGAUCCGGGGAAGAAGCAAUGCGGCGACAUGAAGAACACUGGCGAUGUCCGUUCUUCAUUCACUAUUGGGAAAGCAACCUCAGGUUGCCUUCGGCCGAUAAUUGCCCCGAGUGCAACGGCCCGUAUUGUAACAAUUGGCCGUUCAGCAGGUCUCGCUCCAGAGAUGGGAAAUCAGAGCCGAUCAGCAGGAACUGGUGCAACCAAGAUGAUCGGCGCCCUCCAGUACGUGAUCGGCUGGGGGGCAGAAGUGACCGGUAUGACCGGUCGGAAGGAAGGCGCAAUGAUGGGCCGGGGGGCAGAUUUGAUCGACAUGACCGGCCAGAAAACAAGGUCAGCGUCCACAGUCGACUUGAAGAGAUGGCCGAUGCUCGGGUGUCAGACGAGAACCCUUUAGGACGCGAACCGGAAUGGGAACGUGCCAGACCACGAACCAAACCGGUGAACCCCAGAUGGUGCCCCGAUGGAUUAACCAAGUCUCAAAAAUGGAGAAUCCAACGUCUCUGCCAGUGGGAACAACAGGAGAAUCCAACGUCUCUGCCAGGGCAUACGGCAGGCGAGAAGAACGGCAGGUCUCAGGUAUGGUGCCCCAAAAGAAAUGACAGAGGAGGCGACGAAUCGGCAGCCGACAUCGACAUGGUUUUCAUACUGCCGAUGGAAUUCAUGAUUCCUGCCGACCGACGGGACAUGUCGGCAAUGGAAGAGCAGAUGGCGCAAUUGGCAUUGGAGCCAAUGACAGCCACAUUCGAGAAGCCCGAAGAAGACAGACAGCAACACCUGAAAGCGUUGUUUCUUAAAGGGCAUGUCAACGGGCGACCCAUCACCAGAUUACUGGUAGACGGAGGGGCUGCAGUCAACAUCAUGCCGUACGCCAUGUUCUGGAAGCUAGGGAAGAGCGAUGAUGACCUGACCAAGACAGAUAUGAUGCUCAACGACUUCGAGGGCAACGUAUCUCCCGCUCGCGGUGCUCUCUGCGUCGACCUCACCAUCGGCAGUAAGACCCUUCCUAUUACUUUCUUUAUCAUUAAUGGCAAGGGGUCCUACAACAUGCUACUCGGCCAAGAAUGGAUACAUGCAAAUUGCUGUAUCCCAUCUACAAUGCAUCAAUGCCUCGUACAAUGGGUCGGCGACAACAUCGAGGUGGUCACCGCCGAUUCCGCAUACAGCAUCGAGGCAGCCGACACGCAGCAGUGGAGCUACGAAAUCGUCAAGUGCAUAUCCGGGAGAGUAUGGGAUACUGACUUCUUGAAGGUGUCCAAUUUUAGCCUACAGCCGAUCCGAGCAGUUGGCUCCGAAGACUCAGACUAAAAUGGAUCAGUUCGCCCGAGAAGAUGGGAAGCUGGGACACGGGUUCAUGUCGGCCGAUUCAUUAGAAAUGAUAGACUUAGGCGAUGGCACCAAACCAAGGCCGACAUAUAUUAGUGCAAAUUUAGAUCCGGAAUACAAAUGUAAACUGACAAGUUUGUUAAGAGAAUUUAAGGAUUGCUUUGCUUGGGAAUAUCAUGAGAUGCUUGGAUUAGACCGAUCUAUCGUUGAGCAUCGGUUACCCAUAAAGCCAGGGUAUCAGCCGUAUCAACAGCCUGCACGGCGGUGCAAUCCUAAAAUUCUACCAGACAUAAAGGCCGAAAUAACGCGGCUAAUCGAAGCAAAAUUUAUUCAGCAAUGCCGUUAUGCCGAAUGGAUCUCCAACAUUGUACCAGUAUACAACAAGAACGGAAAGCUAUGUGUAUGCGUCGAUUUCAGGAACCUCAAUCAGGCCACACCAAUGGACGGAUACCCCAUGCCGAUGAUCGAUGUGCUGAUAGAUGCCGCCGCGGGACACAAGGUUAUUAGUUUCAUGGAUGGAAACGCUGGGUACAAUCAGAUACUUAUGGCCGAAGAAGACAUAUCCAAAACGGCCUUCAGAUGCCCGGGUCACCUUGGUUUAUUCGAGUGGGUGGUAAUGACUUUCGGCUUGAAAAACGCCGGUGCUACGUAUUAGAGAGCCAUGAACUACAUAUUUCACAAACUUAUCGGCAUACUAGUAGAAAUCUACAUCGACGACGUCGUAGUCAAGUCAAAAUGACACCUUGAGCAUCUAGCCGAUUUACGACAAGUAUUGGAAUGCACUAAGAAACAUGGGCUGAAGAUGAACCCGAAUAAGUGCGCCUUCGGCGUAUCCGCCGGACAAUUCUUAGGAUUCAUGGUGCAUGAGCGGGGAAUAGAGAUCAAUCGGAAGACCAUAGCGGCCAUCAACAAAGUCGUGGCCCGCAGAAUAAAACUGAGCUGCAAUCUCUAAUCGGCAAGGUGAAUUUCAUCAGAAGAUUUAUAUCUAAUCUGUCUGGGCAAAUCCAAGCCUUCACACCAUUAUUAAAGUUGAAGCCCGACCAGGAGUUCAUAUGGGGGGAAGAGCAACGCAAGGCAUUGGAAGAUAUCAAGCAGUACUUGGUCUCACCACCGGUAUUGGUCCCUCCUCAAACUGGUAAGCCGUUUAAACUAUAUUUAUCAGCCGAUGAACGAGCUAUUGGGUCGGCUCUGGUCCAGGAGUUCGAGGGAAAGGAACGGGUAAUUUAUUAUGUCAGUAGAAGACUUCUGGACGCCGAAACAAGGUAUCCUCCAGUGGAGCGGUUGUGCCUAUGCCUUUACUUCUCAUGUACCAAACUCAGGCACUAUUUGCUAUCAGCGGAAUGUGUGGUCGUAUGCAAGGACGACGUGGUAAAAUACAUGCUGUCACUGCUGAUUUUGAAAGGACGGAUCGGAAAAUGGAUCUUGGCUUUGUCGGAGUUUGACCUUCGAUAUGAAUCGGCAAAAGCCGUUAAGGGUCAGGUCAUGGCCGAUUUCGUUGCCCAGCACUGCGGGCCAGAGGCUACCUUCGUAGAACCAAUACCUUGGACCUUAUACUUUGAUGGAUCGUCAUGUGGGGCCGGAUCAGGAAUCGGCAUCAUCCUCAUAUCGCCUCGGGGGGCAAGCUAUGAUUUCUCUGUGCUGAUAGAAGCAUCCGCCACUAACAAUCAAGCAGAGUACCGAGCUGUACCGAAGAGAUUACAAUUGCUAAGGGAAGUCAAAGCUGAUUCCGUCGAAAUUUUUGGGGAUUCCAUGCUUAUCGUGGAUCAGUUAACAGGGAAGUCCGAGUGCAAGGAUGAUGUGUUGAGGAUUUAUUACGAAGAUUGCCUGCUGCUUUUGAAAGAAUUCAAGUCGGCAGUUAUCGAGCACAUCCCAAGGAAUCACAACGAGGAUGCCAACAAGCUCACCCAACACGCAUCUAGGUAUCGGCCGAUUCAAGGCGCCAUGGCUCUAGAGCUCGCGACCAAUGACUGGCGAAAGGAGAUUGCCGAUUACCUGAAAGAUCCAUCUAAGAAAGUGGAUCGGCGGGUACGUUUUCAUGCUACCAAAUAUGUGUUACUGGAAGACGACUUGUUCUACCGAACAAUUGAUGGCGUCCUACUCAAGUGUCUGGGAACGGAGCAGGCUAAGACUCUGAUGGGAGAAAUCCAUGAAGGAGUGUGUGGAGCCCACCAAUCAGCACAUAAGAUGAAAUGGAUGAUUAGGAAUAAUGGGUAUUAUUGGCCGACGAUCCUCGAAGAUUGCUUCAAAUAUUAUAAAGGAUGCCAGGAUUGUCAGAAAUACGGGAAUGUCCAACGUGCGCCCGCAUCGGCCAUGAAUCCCAUUAUCAAACCAUGGCCGUUCAGAGGUUGGGGAAUAGACCUCAUCGGCCAAAUUUAUCCUCCGUCAAGCAAAGGGCACAAGUUCAUUCUGGUGGUUGCUAUGGUUGACUUCGUAAGAGACCGUUAUCAUCUACCGUUAAGCAAAGGCAAUUCCGUUAAGGGCCGUAACAUCGGCUGCUAUGGUUGACUUCGUAAGAGACCAUAUCGUCUACCGUUUCGGCAUCCCCCAGACUAUCACAACCGAUCAAGGGACGAUGUUUACAUUAGGAGAAUUUGAGGAGUUCACGGCCGAUAUGGGAAUCAAAUUGUUAAACUCCUCUCUGUAUUAUGCCCAAGCUAACGGCCAGGCCGAAUCCUCCAACAAAGGGAUAAUUAAGUUAAUCAAGAGGAAGAUAGAGGAACAACCGAAAAAAUGGCAUUUAUGUCUAACUGAAGCUCUAUGGGCAUACAGGAUGGCUUGCCAUGGGGCCACCAAGAUGUCCCCGUAUCAGUUGGUGUACGGUCACGAGGCAGUACUACCAUGGGAAUUGAGGGCAGGGUCGAGACGCACUUCGCUCCAGGACCAGUUAGCGGCCGACGACUACUCCUCACUCAUGAAAAGGGAACUCGAUGACUUGGCAGGCCAACGAUUGAGAGCUUUGAUAAGCAUUGAAGAAAACAAGAAGAAAGUGGCCAGGUGGUAUGAUAAGAAGGUCAAAGUCAAACAAUUCUCUCCGGGGGACCUGGUAUGGAAAUUAGUGUUGCCGAUCGGGUCGAAAGAUCCUAAAUUCGGUAAGUGGUCCCCUACGUGGGAAGGGCCAUAUAAAAUCGGCAGAUGUGCUCCGGGAAAUGCUUAUAUUCUGGAAAUGAUCGAAGGGGAAGAGUUUACUAGGGCGCUGAACGGAAGAUACUUGAAAAGGUACUACCCUAGUAUAUGGGUCGGAGCAUAAGGAUCAACCACGAUGAACAACACACAGCCGAUACAAAAGGAAUCGUCUAGAUAAUAAUCGUCCAAAUCGGCCGAUAUAUUUUAUUUGGUACGGAUGGUGGGUUACAUGGCUGACACGGUACAAGUCGCCCUUAGAACAAAAAAUAAUUAAUCACGCUUUUUCUUAAGCUCUCUCUCAGCCCGACCUAGUUCUAUCAGAAGACGGAUGUACUGUUUGUUGGGAUACGAGGUAGGCUACACUAGCGCAAUUCAAAAAUUCUACCGCGUAUAACCAGGAAGAACUGCCGUAUAAGGAUCACGGGAUUACCACUCGACGCACUACUGGUGCGGAAGAUGUAGAUAUGCGUCGAUGUAGUGAAGACGAUCACGCAGUCAUACGUAGUCGAUCAACGUAGUCGUACGUAGUCGAUCACGUCACGUCCAGCAGCUCCUCAGCAACUCGUCCACGUGCAGCAAGAUCGCCUCCGGUGCCGCGGCUCGUCGUCGGCUCGUCGUGGCUCGUCGGCGGCUCGUUGACGGCUCGUCCAAGUGCUGCAGGCGCAACACCUCCAAGGUAUCCACACGUGCAGGGAGGAAGUGUCGCAAGCCGGACUGCUAGAUCCACGAGUUGCAAUAGGCGAGGGCGUGGGAGGCGCGGCAGGUGUGUUUCGCCAAAAAGGUGUAAACCCUAGGGCGCCCCCACCCCUCUAUUUAUAGAGGUUCCUGAUGGGCCUCUGGAUCCGAGGCCCAUUAGUACUUCUAAACCUAAUCCAACUCGGAUCAGAUUCGAAUUGGGCUUCCAGCCCCUUAAGUGUGUGACCCUAUGGGUUCGGAUACGUAUAGACAUGGCCCGAGUACUCCUACUCGGCCCAAUAGUCGGUGGCGGCCUCUAGCAAGACGUGCCAACUCUUAUACGCACACGAAGAUCAUAUCAGACGAACCAUCACAACAUAAUAUACAUGCUAUUCCCUUUGCCUCACGAUAUUUGGUCUAGCUUCAUGCCGACCGCUCUUUCUCGAUCCUGUGAUUCGGAAUCCCUUUGUAGGUUAACUCUUAACCGUACGUAGCAUGGCCAUGCAUUUUUGGAUCCGAUCACUCGAGGGGCCCAGAGAUAUCACUCUCAAUCAGAGAGGGGCAAAUCCCAUCUUGAUUGACCAUGUCUCAUAGCAUGCUUCUUGACAAACCCGAAAACUACCUUUAUAACUACCAUGUUACGGCGUAGCGUUUGAUAGCCCCUAAGUAGGUCGAUCCACAUCUAGAAUACAUGCGACAAUCUCAGGUCUAAGGACAAAGCGUAUAUGUUGUUUAAAGAGAGAACCACUUCUCGUGUUGGGUCAGUCCUAGCACAUGUCUCCACAUGUGUCCACAUUAUUAGUUCAACAUCUCCAUGUCCAUGACUUGUGAAACAUAGUCAUCAACUAAUACAUGUGCUAGUCUAAUAUUCAUGUGUGUCCUCACAUGAACUCCGACUAGGGACAACUUUAGAAUAACCAUACAAGUAAAGAGUUUCACAUACAAUUCACAUAAUUGCAAAUCAAUUCAAGUAGCCUUCAAUGGAUAUUCAAUGAACACAAUAUACAAAUCAUGGAUACAAAUGGAAUAUCAUCAUCUCUAUGAUUGCCUCUAGGGCAUACCUCCAACAGUCUCCCACUUGCACUAGAGUCAAUCUAGAAGGUACCUAAUACCCAUAGCUCUUACAUGCGCAUCAUGCUUAGCCUGCGGGAGUGGUUUUGUCAAUGGAUCAGAAAUGUUCAGAUCCGGUUAACGAAGUCUCAAAUGAGAUGAAAUCGCCGCAUUACGUGUUUGUUCUUCUGGUGGUUCCUUGGCUCCUUUGCUUGCGCAAUUGCCCCAUUGUUAUCACAGUAGAGAUUCAAUGGGCUGGACGCAUUCGGGAACACACCAAGCUCAAUGAGGAAAUUCCUUAUCCAAACACCUUCCUUCGCGGCUUCCGAAGCCGCGAUGUACUCAGCUUCUGUCGUAGAAUCGACCACCGUCUCCUACUUGGAACUCUUCCAACUAACAGCACCACCAUUUAGCGUGAACACAAAUCCUGAUUGUGACUUUGAAUCAUCUCUGUCGGUUUGUAAACUAGCAUCGGUGUAACCUAUUACAAUGAGCUCCUCCUCACCUCCAUAGACGAGGAACAUAUCUUUAGUCCUUCUCAAGUACUUAAGAAUGUUUUUCACCGCUGUGCAGUGACUCUCACCUGGAUCAGAUUGGUGUCUGCUUGUCAUACUUAGCGCAUAUGAAACAUCUGGGCGAGUACUUAUCAUUGCAUACAUGAUAGAUCCAAUAGCCGAGGCAUAUGGCACUCUACUCAUGCGAUCCCGCUCAUCAGCAGUCGAAGGACACUGAGUCUUGCUGAGAUGUAUGCCAUGUGACAUAGGCAAGAACCCUUUCUUUGUCUCUUCCAUGCUGAACCGCUUCAACACUUUGUCAAUGUAAGUAUCUUGGCUUAAACCUAUAAGCCUUCUAGAUCUAUCUCUAUAGAUCUUAAUGCCCAGAAUAUAUGCCGCUUCCCCUAAGUCCUUCAUCGAAAAACUAUUUUUCAGUGAAGUCUUUACGGACUCAAGCAUAGAAAUGUUAUUUCCAAUCAGUAAUAUGUCAUCCACAUAUAAGAUUAGAAAUACUACAGAGCUCCCACUAACCUUCUUGUAAACACAAGACUCUUCUUCGUUCUUGGUGAAGUCAAACCCUUUGACCACUUCAUCAAAACGAAUGUUCCAACUCCUAGAUGCUUGCUUCAACCCAUAAAUGGAUCUCUGAAGCUUGCAUACCUUUCCAGCAUUUUUUGGAUCGACAAAACCCUCGGGUUGUAUCAUAUACACGUCCUCAGUUAGGUUUCCAUUCAGGAAAGCUGUCUUGACAUCCAUCUGCCAUAUCUCAUAAUCGAAAUAUGCAGCUAUAGCUAGAAUAAUCCGAAUGGACUUAAGCAUCACUACGGGCGAGAAGGUCUCGUCAUAGUCAACUCCUUGAACUUGUCAAAAACCUUUUGCGACAAGUCGUGCUUUAUAGAUGUGAACAUUUCCAUCCAUGUCCUUUUUCUUCUUAUAGAUCCACUUGCACUCUAUGGCUUUAACACCAUCAGGCGGGUCAACCAAGUUCCAAACUUGAUUGUCUCCCAUGGACUCUAUUUCGGAUUGCAUAGCAUUCUGCCAUUUUUUGGAGUCUGGGUCCAUCAUUGCUUCUGCAUAUGUCGCAGGCUCAUCAUUGUGCAACAAUAAUAUUUCCCGCAUUUCGCGGAGCCUUGCCGACCUUCGUGGUUGUGGCAGUGCUUCUCUUGCCAUGGGUAUCUCAACUUGUUCUGCUACGUUAGCAUCACUCAUUGAUUCUUGCCCGAUCGGCUCAUCUUGAACUUCUUCAAGAUGCACUGUCUUUCCACUCUUUUCUCCUUUGAGAAACUCUUUCUCUAGGAAAACCCCGUUCCGAGCGACAAACACUUUGCCUUCUGAUCGGUUGUAGAAAUAAUAUCCCAAAGUUUCCUUUGGAUAUCCCACAAAAAUGCACUUAUCCAACUUGGGUGUGAUCUUGUCCGACUGAAGUCGCUUGACAAACACUUCACAUCCCCAAAUCUUUAGAAAAGACAAACUAGGAACCUUUCCAGUCCAUAUCUCAUAUGGUGUCUUAACUACGGAUUUAGAUGGUACCCUAUUAAGUGUGAAAGCUGCUGUUUCUAGAGCGUAUCCCCAAAAUGACAACGGUAGGUCCGACUGGCUCAUCAUUGAUCGAACCAUGUCUAACAAAGUUCGAUUACGUCGCUCGGACACACCGUUUCUCUGAGGUGUUCCAGGUGGCGUAAGUUGUGGAACAAUUCCGCAACUCUUUAGAUGAUUGCUAAACUCGUGGCUCAAAUACUCGCCUCCACGAUCAGAUCGUAAGGCCUUAAUUUUCUUGCCACGCUGACUUUCAACUUCGUUUUGAAAUUCCUUGAACUUUUCAAAGGUUUCAGACUUGUGCCUCAUCAAGUAGACAUAGCCAUAUCUACUAAAAUCAUCAGUGAAAGUUAUGAAGUAUUGGAAUCCUCCUCUAGCCGUCGUGCUCAUUGGUCCGCAUACAUCACUAUGUACGAGUUCCAACAAGUCUACUGCUCUCUCAGGAAAUCCUGUGAAAGGCGUCUUGGUCAUCUUGCCUAGCAAGCAAGCCUCACAUGUCUCGUAUGAUUCAAAAUCAAACGAAGUUAGAAGUCCAUCAGAAUGGAGCUUCUUCAUGCACUUUUCACUUAUAUGACCCAAACGACAAUGCCACAAGUAGGUAGGACUCAAAUCAUUAGGCCGAGGCCUUUUAGCACUUACAUUACAGACAGGUGAACCAUCAAGAUUUAAAACAAAUAAUCCAUUCACAAUGGGUGCAAAAGCCAUAAACAUACUAUUCUUAGAGAUCACACAACCAUUGUUUUCACUCGCAAAUGAAUAACCAUCCUUCAUCAAGCAUGAAGGAGAUAAAAUGUUUCGACUUAAACUAGGAAUAAAAUAACAAUUAUUCAACUCCAUAAUAAAUCCUGAUGGGAGGUGGGGCUGCAUCGUCCCGACGGUCAACGCAGCAACUCUUGCAUUAUUGCCCACGCGGAAAUCAACUUCUCCUCUUUCCACGCUUCUACUUCUUAUCAUUCCCUGCAUCGAAUUGCAAAUAUGAGCAACCGAUCCGGUAUCAAAUACCCAAGAAUUAAUAAUUGUAUCAGCGAGAAAUAUGUUGUCUAUAACAUUAACAACAAGUGUACCUGAGGUAGAAGUACUCUUACUUCCGCCAUUCUUCAACGAAGCUAGGUACUGCUUGCAGUUUCUCUUCCAGUGACCAAGUUCAUGACAGUAAAAGCACUCUUUGUCUAGAUCAGGUCCAGGUCCAGCUUUAACCUUGGGCGCUGGGUUUGGCUUGGACGUUCCAGCCUUGCCCUUCUUCUUCCAAGAAUUGCCCUUCUUCUUAAAGCUGGGCUUGUUCUGUAUAGCCAUCACAUGGCUGGUACUAGCGCUUUUCUUGAUGUCAGCCUCUGCUGUUUUAAGCAUGCCACACAGCUCAUUCAGACCCUUCUCCGUCCCAUGCAUAUGGUAGUUCGAGAUGAAGUUCCCAUAGCUAGGCGGAAGAGACGAAAGAAUGAAAUCAAUGGCCAACUCUUUGCCCAUUGGGAAGCCCAGCUUCUCCAAUCGCUGAGUGUAACCAACCAUCUUGAUUACAUGUGGUCCUACUGCUGCGCCUUCUGCUAACUUGCACUCCAGAAAGGCUUUGGACACAUUGAACCUUUCGGUCCUAGCCUGUGUCUGGAACAUGUCCUUGAGCGCCACGAUCAUAUCGUGUGCCUCAUGAUUUGUUUCGAACUGCAUCUGCAGCUCGGGUUCCAUGCAAGCAAGCAUAAGGCAGCUUACCUCAAGAUUUGCAUCAAAUUCCUUCUUGUAAGCAGCCUUAACGGCAGCAGAUGCAUCAUCAGCAGGUACUGGUGGUAGUGGGGUGUCUAGAACAUCUUCCUUUUUAUCGGCCCUGAGAACAAUUCUCAGGUUACGUAUCCAAUCCGAGUAGUUUGUUCCAUUCAACUUGUCCUUCUCAAGGACCGAACGCAAAGCAAACAAUGUGGUGGUGUUGCUAGGUGCCAUUUAAUCUACAACAAAAGUAAUGCAAAAUACACUAAGACAAACGUAUCCAUGAUAGAGCAAAUUACAUUAAACUAUUUUAACAGAAUCUACUCCCACUAAAAUUAAUAUCCCUCUAUUGAAACUUAGUGAUUCAGGAUCCACAACUAACAAGUCUACUAGUGAGCUUUAGCAUCACCGCUAGCAGACGAGGUAGAUCGGUAAGCAACUUUUGCUAAUCAUAUCACAUAUGACUCCUGUUGUUGGGUGACAUCUCUAUGUCUCGGCGCCCAACCUUUAUGCCCCAAGGUCCUUAACCGUUAAGAUAACCUUGUUAAGCAAACCAACCCUUAUGCGUGUAAGUGUCCGACACAAACCCAUCUAGUCAAGGAAAACUAGUGGCACCCUAAUUUCAUAGACCCACCACUAAUUGUACAAGACAUGGGACGGUGCAAGUUUUAGUUGGGAGGGCAUACUAACUUAAACUUUGUGAGGGAUCGUUCUACUUCUAACAUCACAGCAUGCAGAAAGUAAAACAUAAACAGAAUAGCAUUCACACAGUUGUGACACAGUAUGGCCCGUUUUCAUAUAGUGAUCUCCAUCUCCAUAGAACCUGUUCACCAUGGUGAUCUCCAUCUCCGUGUUCCAUGUGCGCCAUCCUCCUGGUGAUGAGUCCUCCAAGAACUAGAACAUGCUAUUACGCCUAAUAGCUAGUAAAGAAUCUAGUAAAGAAGAUUACAUAGUUGCUUGGAUCAUCACAGAUUGGUACGCAGACCAUUAAAUACAAUAAAGUGACAACACAUAUGGCUCCUGCCGUGUUGCCGUACGCGCGACACGCAGGUCACGAAUGAGUUACACACAUGCAUCACAUACACAAGGGGCCAUACUGAUCACAAGAUACAUACAAACAUCCUGCAAAACAGAGUUAGGCGUCCUAACGUUCUAAACUUCGGAUGCCCGAAACUCCAUCUUCCAAGCCGAAUUUGGGAAAUCUAAUUUCACCGAAAAAGGCAAAGCCGUUGAAUUUUAUGUGUAACUUUUUCUGUAGAUCAAUUUUCAUAUAAAAUUCGCCCCGAUCCGAGAUCGUACCGAAAAGUUACGGCUCAUUUACCGAAGCAUACGCAUACGGCAAAAAUCCCGACCCCGGCAGUAGAUCCCAUCUACUAUUGCACAUCUAAUGCGCCUGGCGUAUGACCCUGGAUUUCGAUUCGACCAAUCAUAUUGAUCUUCGCUCACUGCAACUGGAUUUACGUGUAUCACUUAACUCCGAUGGCCGGUAGGAGUAUGUCGUUACACUACCAUUGCAGCAAGGGCACGAAAACAGGACAUAGAUCAAACGGAAAACUCGCAUAUCUCCAUAUGCACACAUCCCGAAUCCAAAACUAAGCAGCUACAGCUCUGAUACCACUGUUGGGAUACGAGGUAGGCUACACUAGCGCAAUUCAAAAAUUCUACCGCGUAUAACCAGGAAGAACUGCCGUAUAAGGAUCACGGGAUUACCACUCGACGCACUACUGGUGCGGAAGAUGUAGAUAUGCGUCGAUGCAGUGAAGACGAUCACGCAGUCGUACGUAGUCGAUCAACGUAGUCGUACGUAGUUGAUCACGUCACGUCCAGCAGCUCCUCAGCAACUCGUACACGUGCAGCAAGAUCGCCUCCGGUGCCGCGGCUCGUCGUCGGCUCGUCGUGGCUCGUCGGCGGCUCGUUGACGACUCGUCCAAGUGCUGCAGGCGCAACACCUCCAAGGUAUCCACACGUGCAGGGAGGAAGCGUCGCAAGCCGGACUGCUAGAUCCGCGAGUUGCAACAGGCGAGGGCGUGGGAGGCGCGGCAGGUGUGUUUCGCCAAAAAGGUGUAAACCCUAGGGCGCCCCCACCCCUCUAUUUAUAGAGGUUCCUGAUGAGCCUCUGGAUCCGAGGCCCAUUAGUACUUCUAAACCUAAUCCAACUCGGAUCAGAUCCAAAUUGGGCUUCCAGCCCCUUAAGUGUGUGACCCUAUGGGUUCGGAUACGUAUAGACAUGGCCCGAGUACUCCUACUCGGCCCAAUAGUUGGUAGCGGCCUCUAGCAAGACGUGCCAACUCCUAUACGCACACGAAGAUCAUAUCAGACGAACCAUCACAACAUAAUAUACAUGCUAUUCCCUUUGCCUCAUGAUAUUUGGUCUAGCUUCAUGCCGACCGCUCUUUCUCGAUCCUAUGAUUCGGAAUCCCUUUGUAGGUUAACUCUUAACCGUACGUAGCAUGGCCAUGCAUUUUUGGAUCCGAUCACUCGAGGGGCCCAGAGAUAUCACUCUCAAUCAGAGAGGGGCAAAUCCCAUCUUGAUUGACCAUGUCUCAUAGCAUGCUUCUUGACAAACCCGAAAACUACCUUUAUAACUACCAUGUUACGGCGUAGCGUUUGAUAGCCCCUAAGUAGGUCGAUCCACAUCUAGAAUACAUGCGACAAUCUCAGGUCUAAGGACAAAGCGUAUAUGUUGUUUAAAGAGAGAACCACUUCUCGUGUUGGGUCAGUCCUAGCACAUGUCUCCACAUGUGUCCACAUUAUUAGUUCAACAUCUCCAUGUCCAUGACUUGUGAAACAUAGUCAUCAACUAAUACAUGUGCUAGUCUAAUAUUCAUGUGUGUCCUCACAUGAACUCCGACUAGGGACAACUUUAGAAUAACCAUACAAGUAAAGAGUUUCACAUACAAUUCACAUAAUUGCAAAUCAAUUCAAGUAGCCUUCAAUGGAUAUUCAAUGAACACAAUAUACAAAUCAUGGAUACAAAUGGAAUAUCAUCAUCUCUAUGAUUGCCUCUAGGGCAUACCUCCAACACUGUUCUUCUAUCUCUUUCAUCGCAGCCUCCGCUUCGACUUGACGGGGGAGAGGGUGACUCUGGUCUAUUGCUGGGCGUGAUGUUCCUGCUCCUGCGUCUUCAAGGACGAUUUGAUGAGGAAGCAGGUGACUUCUGUCGGCUUGAAGUCACCGGUGGUCAUUGCCGUCCAGAAAGUCCCAGAUCCGUCGGACGUCAGCAGGGAUGUGCUCUUGGAGUUCGUCGCGAUGAGCCCUGAUUAAGUCCUUGUCUUCUCGCGACAGCGGUUCGUCGAAGUGCACAAGUCCGAUGACUCGUUCGAGUUCAGGGCUAAGGCGCCACGACUGCGGAAAACAACAAUAUACGUAUAGCCGCCGAAAAGGUGAUUCCCUUCAGAAGAGUUAAACUAAUAAAGAGAAUGAAGGCAAAUCUUUUAUCUGAUUAACAGAGGAAGAGGUAGAGGAUGAAGAAGACAUGACUGAAAGGUGCACCGAUGAAAACAAGUCGGGAAAGACGAAGCCGAGCUAGACAGGUACUCUCGGAACGGGGACCUAGGCCGGUGUUUAUAAGAAAGGAAGGCGUGGAUGUUUGGAAAGACGCGUCCCAUCGAAAGUGAAAAAGGUAAUAAAUAAGGGGGCGCUGCGAAGGAUGGUCAAAGGGGUUAUUAAUGUUCGUACAAGAAUUGCCAGUACUUUUACAGAUCACCCAGAAGGAUGUUAAUAGCUGCAAUUACUCGGCGCCGGAUCUGAUCGGCAGAGUCCAGGACCCGUUGGUCAUCCUCUGCCGAUCCAGGGACUUCUGACAUGUGGCGGUGGAGUUUGAGGGCUUCGUGAGCCAGGUGCUGCCUCUCCUGUUUCAGAUCGGCGAUGACGGAAGGAAGUUCCUGAAGCCUCUUCUCUUCGGCGUCUAUUGCUUUGGUCACCUGCUCCAUCUCCUUGGCAAGCUCUGCUCUUCGGCGCUUGAGGUGAUCUAACGUGCUGAUGAUCCCCGGGCGAGAGUCUUCCAGAAAGUGAAUCCGUUGAUGCACCUCUUGAGCUUGACGCUUGUACGUGUCUUCUUCCUCACGAGUCUUGGUCAACUUGGCGCGGUCAGCCAUAUGGCGCAGGGCCCUAAAGACCGAAAUCCUCAUUGACUCGAUAUACGCGGCCGGUGCCAAGGCCUCUUCCGCUUCUUCUGGUACUCGCCCGCUGACAUCACCAAAAAGUUGCCAAAUCGGCGAGGUGUCUUCUACCAAUCGGCCGAUGUCCUCUUGAAGAAGGGAUCGGAUGCUUGCGAGUUUGGCACGGACGUCAUCAGGGACAGAGCUCAAAGUGACCUGGCGAGAGGCGACUUCCUCGUCAUCGGAGAGUGCGACCGCAAACGAGAAAAGGCUGUUGUUGGGGGUGUCCUGUUCCUGGAAAUAGUAAGUCAAGAGGAAAAACAAAUCAGCAGAUGGUGAUGGCAAAUCGGUCGAUUAAGGGUGGGAAGUCUCUUACCUCCUUGAAACAGAUUUCUUCAAACUGUGUUUGAGAGGCUGUUAUCCUCGAUUCAGGGGCUGCUACCAUUGGUUCGUCAGAAGAAGAAGCCUCCACAAUGAUUGGUGCUUUGCUCGGGCCAGCUUCCCGAAAGAUGACCAUUGGUUGAUUAGGUGGGGCGCUUAGUGUGCCGGUGACCUGUGUCAAAAGAUUGAAUAAGAACAUCAUCUAAAUACUAGGAGAAUCAGUUGAAGAGUAGUAUACCUCGGUAGAUGAAAGCGUUGGCGUGUCGAUGACCGAUUGGGUUGCUGCCGAUUGUUGUGGGUCCACAGAGGUGAUUUGUGCUGUCUGAAAUAAGAUGAGUCAGUAUGGGGAUGGUAAUCGGUAGGACCGGACAACAAGUUUACCUGCACGGCCUCUACCAGUAAUGAUGCAGCAGCCGCCCCAGCCUGCGUGACGACUUGAGUAUCUACUUCUCCAGCAGCUGGAAGGGGCAAUGCGACCGAAGUUUCUGCCGAUGUGAUCAUAGGAGGGUCAGCCGAUUCUAUACGAGCUCGUACUCGGCGACUGGUCUUCUUGGUAACUCUCUUCUGCGCCUGCUUCGAUCGGCCGGCCAUCACAUCCACGGAAGGGGCAUCGUAGCCGAUAAGGGGGAAUAUGGUGUAUGGAUGAUGGUCCUCUAUCGGCCGGCCACUCCGACUGCGUGUUGGGGGAACGCGGUUUUCAGACUGAAGCAACAGUAAGAUGUUAGUGUACGUAUUUAACCGCAUUAAUAAAGGAAUGAAAAUCGGCUAGGGGAAAAAAUACCUCGGCGUUCGGAUCGAUGUUGGGUGGAUCCAGGAGAUUGCAGUAUGUCGAUGCGGAGGUGCAGAACAGGUACUGUUUCCAUUCGGCCCACCAUAGCUUGAAGGGUUGGAUAGCAAAGGGGGCUACUAUCCAGUCAUUCAGGUCUAUGGUACUGGAGUCUGGUAUCCGAUCUCGCAGCCGACUAUAGUCAAGACCCUUGGUGAGCUAAUCUCUGAACUUUGCUCGGCCGACGAAGUAUGCCUGAAUCGGCAGUUGACCCAUGCCGAAUUGCCGUGCUGCAACGGAGGGGUUGUAGAAUUCAUAUGUAGGAGCAUCCUUUCCCGAGAAGAUGUUGGCCGGUAAGAUUCCCGGUUUAAUCAGUUCAUCUGUGAGAUCUUCGUCGAAUUGGCCGGUAGUUGAGUCAAAGCAAGAGGGGAGUUCAAAGAUUGGGUCAUCUCUCCGAUAAGGGAACCAGACGAUUGCAUCUUCAUUAAAGCCGUUAUAAAAACACCGGAAGUAUUCGGCCACCUUGGUAGCAGAAUACGAACAACCGGAGAAGGCCGAUGCCGCUUCGCCGAAAGAUGUACACCGGCGUCGGACAGUGGUAUCCUCUACCGAUUCGACGCUAGGGAACGUCAUGUGUUCCACUCGCUGCUGAGAAAUGUUGCUCAUGUACAGGUUUAGCCAUAGGUUAAUGAACCACCAGGGUCCACCUGGGUUUCCAAUCGGCUAGCUUGAUGCCGAUUUGAUGAAGCAUGUGGUAGGCUGCUCCCAGUAAGUGCUUUCCAAGAGGAACAGAAGUCUCUAUCGAUAAUGCUUCGGCCAGAGCUUGGGUAUUGGUGGAUGGACCAGCUGCUCUCCCACAGAAGAAGUGCUUCUCUAGCCACAUCAUCAGGAAGGCCGUGUGCUCUCUGUUCUCGACAGAUUCGGCCCUUUUGUUGCAUCUGAUGAAACCUUUCCACCCGCCGAUUCCCCUUGUGUCCAGCCGAUGUGAUGUUGUGGCUAUAAGGCGGAAAGGGGUGUCCGGGGAAGAAAUGUCCAGGCCGGUCAGCAAGACUACAUCGGCCAAUGUGGGGGUCAUGGGUCCGUGUCCAAACAGGAAUGCGUUGAGAGCAUCGGACCAGAAGUAAGAAGCUGCCAUCACUAACGGCUCAUUCUGUUCUAUUUGGGACAAGGAUAGAUCGAUGCAUUGGCCAAUUUUGAGCUCGUCCCAUUGGACCUUCUUGGAGACGGCUAUCCGCUGGUACCAUUCCCUCCAACCGGGAGUUUCGUUCAGCCAAGACCUAAAGGUACCCAACCAGUGAUCUCGGUCCAUAGUUGAUUGUUUGAAGGGGAUCCUAUGGAUUUCCAAAUUGAUUAAGUCGGUUGGAUCUGGGUUUCCCAUGGGCCCAAGGCAGAUAAGGCCGGGGUUUUCUUUAAGACGAAUGGUGAUGCGAUGCCUAACCGCCUAACAAGGAAAAGGGGGUACGAGGGUAACAAAUAGAUCUAAAGUAAAUGCAUUACUGAUAAGGGAAAGUUUCGGUAAUGACCUCCGGUAUGAAGCUCCUCGUAAUCGGCGGAGUCGCCGGUGCAGCUGCAGACGAUGAAGCUGCCAAUGGGAUCUCAGAUGAAGCUUCAACUUUCGCCGAUGGAGCUCCUCCUUCCGUCAAUGGAGCCGCCGCUGUAGCUACUGGAACCUCCACCAAAGGCACCAUUUCUGGAGCUUCGCGCAUUGGUGAAGUACCUGAAGGUGCCGCCAUUGGAGAAGUAGGGGGAAAUGCGAAAGGAAGGAGGCGCUGGAGAAUUGGAGGACUAAGGAAAGUGUUGGAGAUGGAAGAAAGCCUGUGCGCUGAGGAAGAAGGACGUGAGCUCGUAAGGGGAGUACGGGAUGUGCUGAUAUUUAAAGGAGGUCUGAGAAGGGGUAAAAGUGGAAUUUUUACCGCGCCGGCGUUUUGAGUUUUUCGGGAGUAGUGAUUGUCGUGGGCGCCCGUUUCGAAAAGAUUGCAAUCGUCAGGUUGGAGACCGCGAAACGGAAGGAUGUUUUCAUUGCGUCUGUUUCGGAUGAGAAGUUGAAAAGAAUUUCGAAGUAAAGACUAUGUUUUACUCCGAAACUGGGGGGCAUGUGUUGACGCCAGAUUUCGACACGAGUAAAAUCGGCGUUAGAAGAGGAAGAAAUUAGGAGAUGCGGUGAGAUACAAGGGCGACGAUUGGAAAUCGACCGAUUGGUGCUGCAGUCAAGGAUCGGUUGGUUGGUGCUACAUUCAAGGAUCGGUUGAUUGGUGCUACAGUCAAGGAUCGGCCAAUUGAUGCUACAGUCGAGGAUCGGCCGAUUGAUCCUUGGAGUUCUGCCUCGUCUGACCCCUGAGGUUUGGGAUCGGACGCGCCCGAACCUCCAAGGGAGGAUCUCCGCCUCGCCCGACCCCUGAGGUUUGGGAUCGGACGCGCCCGACCCUCCAAAGGAGGAUCUCCGCCUCGCCCGACCCCUGAGGUUUGGGAUCGGACGCGCCUGACCCUCCAAAGGAGGAUCUCCGCCUCGUCCGACCUUAGUUUCCAGGGUCAGAGUGAGUCUGGGCCCUUGACAUGUGGGUCCUGAUCGGUUACCCCUUGCCAAAGAGGUGAUCGGCCGAUUAGGAGGUUGGAAUAGUUAGGCCGAUGUGGGCUUAAAAAGGAUUAUGAAGAUGAAGAGGGAAUCAGCUCAUGAAGCGCGUGAUAAUCGACCUAGUACGAAUCGUACUUGUAAAUAUUCGUUUUCUGUUUAAAUAUAGGGAUAGAGUUCUAGUCGGAUAAGAAGUCGUUUGUACGGGGCUAUAAAUAGCCACCCUUGUAGAUCUGUAAUCAUCAUCAACUCAAUACAACAAACUACUAUUUCCUCGCACUUACUUUCAAGCAGGCGACUUCGCCAACACUUUUUUCUCCUUUUCACGAGUUCGUACGGGUUGGCGGGGCUGCAUCAACUUGACCUCCGGCCGAUCUUGUAAGUUCCGUUUAUCGUGUAAAUUCUAAGCUUUAACUUCGGGCGCAUCGCUGUCGUUUCGUUUAGAUUUAUUCAUCAGUUAUCGAUAUUUACUAGAAUUCUAGGUUUUACCUGUUGUUCUAGUUUUAUCACCAAUUAUCCAGCUAGGAAUCGGUAAUUUCAGCUUUCAUCUAUACUUCUCUAUCUAAUCUAUUUAUUUUAGCCGAUUAGAUUUGUUCCUAGUGUUGCUACUGUAGCAUUGUUUAGAUUACUCUAGCAGUUUUCUUUAUAAACGUUGCCUGGUAAUCGGUUGCAUCAUAGCCGAUUUCUUUAUUACGGCAAAUCGGUCGAUUCCCUGAUAAAGCUUUCUCGAGAUCGGAACCUUAGCCGAUCGCAACCUCUGGGAACUGACUCAUUUCUUUCCUUGCCAAUCAACAGGUCAGAUUGGCUGGCACGCCGCGCAAACCGCACCAGGGCGAUCACCCGAAUAGGAGCUAAGCAGAUUCUCCCGGGUCGUGUGUCCGACUGGGAAUUCGAUCAGCUGAUUUCUAGCGCCAACAAGUACAUACAUGCCAUGGGACUCGGCUAUGAAUCUAUCCAUGUUUGCAGGAAUAAUUGUGUAUUGUUUUGCAAGACGCUAGUGAAACAUGAUGUGUGCCUAGUGUGUUGUGAAGUAGAUUCAAGAUGGAAAGAUGCAAACAACAAGAAGUGCGUUCCUCAAAAGGUAUUGAGGCAUUUUUUGCUGGUUUUAAGGCUGAAGAGGAUGUUUCUUUCAUCAAAAACUGCAAAGGAUGCACAAUAGCACAAGUUGAAGUGAAAACCGGUGGACAAUGAGCUUAGCCAUCCAGCUGAUGGUGAGGCAUGGAAAGACUUCAAUAUAAAUUGGUCGGAAUUUGCAAAAGAUGCUAGGAACAUUGGACUUGGCCUUGCAACCGAUGGUUUCAAUCCAUUUGUCAACAUGACCAACUCAUAUAGUAUGUGGCUAGUAUUUAUUGUGUCGUAUAAUAUGCCACCAUGGGUAUGCAUGGAAGAGUCAAACUUCAUGAUGGCAUUAUUGAUCCCUAGGUUGAGUUCUCCAUAAAAGGAUUUUGAUGCCUUCUUGCAACCUCUCGUAAUGUGCUAUUGGACCAUUGGAGGGUGUCGAUGCAUACGAUGCUUGUAGUCAUUAAUCCUUCAAACUGCAUGUUGUGGUUAUUUGGUGUAUACAUGAUUAUCCAGCACUAAGCACAUUGGCAGGGUGAGUCACGAAAGGUUAUUAUGCCUAUGUGCCUUGUGAAAAGGAUCCUUGCUCAAGGAGAUUGAAGAACAAGAUAUGUUAUAUUGGCCAUCAUCAUUUGCUUCCAACUGACCAUCGAUAGAGAAGAAAGAGAGCAGAGUUUGAUGGUAAUACUGAAAAUCAAGAGAGGCCAGAGCAAUUUACUACUGAGGUUCUUCAUCAGCAAUUGGAGAAGGUUAAAGAUGUUAAACCAGGAAAGUCUCCUUAAUGUCAGAAAAGGAAGUGGGAACCUGGACAGUGUUGGAGCUGAAGGGUUUGUUUGUUUGACUUGCCAUAUUGGACAACUCUAAAGCUGCCACAUAAUCUUGAUGUCAUGCACAUUGAGAGAAACAUAUGCGAAAACCUUAUUGGAACAUUGCUUAAAAUUGCUGGGAAGACAAAGGAUACGAUCAAUGCUAGGGUUGAUUUGGAAGAUAUGGGCAUUAGGCCACAUCUACACGUGCUGAAUAACGAAAGGAGAGUCAUGCAAAAUGCUAGAAGCUCCAUAUACAAUGGGUAAAAAGAAACAGAAGGUGUUCUAUGAUUUUAUAACUUAGGUGAAGUUCCCAGAUGGAUAUCCUUGUAACUUAUCAAGAUGUAUUGCCACUGAUGGAUGCAAACUCCAAAGACUGAAAACUGAUGAUUGUCAUAUCCUACUCCAAAGGAUUUUGCCUACUUCCCUUCGAGGUUUAAUGGAUAAAGAGACAUACUCAACUAUUUCGGAAUUAGAAAACUUCUUUUGGCAACUAUGAUGCAAAACUUUGAAGUUGGAUGUUCUGAAGAAACUAAAAACAGAUAUCCCAGUAAUUUUGUGCAAGCUUGAGAAAAUUUUUCCUCCUACUUUCUUUGAUGUUAUCGUGCACUUGGCUGUCCAUUUGCCUGAGGAAGCAAUCCUAAGAGGCCUAGUACAAUAUGGAUGGAUGUAUCUCAUUGAAAGAAGGCUAUGCACAUUGAAGUGUUUUGUGAGAAAUAUGGUUGGGCUUGACGGAUAAUGAUGUUGACACACGAUUCAAUCAGGAGGGCAGGAACAGAGAGAAUGCUGAUUUGUUACGAGAAGGUGAUUUAUCUUGUUUCCAGCACAAUGUUGAUGUACUUGGAGCAGCGAAGACUUUGUUCCUUGAUUCGAAUAACGACAAGUUGGUUUGGUAUGUGCUAAACAAUUGCGAAGAGGUUGAGCCAUAUAUCGGGUACAUAAUCCAUUAUGUAGUUAUUGUACUGCAAUUAUUUUGGUAUAAUUUUUAGAUGGAUGUUUUUCUGCAGGAUAUACAGGGUAGUUAAAAGCGAAAGGUGUGUCGGACCAUGUUAUUGAUUGUAGAAUUCAGAAAGAAUUUGCCCGAUGGUUUAAAUCGCAUGUAAGUUUUUUCCUUUUUCAGAAUAAACUUAUAUUAGCUGGCGAGGACCUAUAUAUAAAACUAUGGUUUUGUUGUACAGAUUGAAAAGAUGCCUGAAGGAGAGCUCUUCAAGGAACUAUAUGCAUUAUCAACUUUACCAGACAAGCAAGUAAGAAAAUAUUCAGCAUAUCUUGUUGGUGGUGUCCGUUACCACACACAUGGCCGAGAGGAAAAUAGGAAGACACAGAACAGUGGGAUUAUGGUUGCUUUCAUAACAGUGAGCCAUUUGAUUUUUAUGGUUGUCUAAAAGAAAUUAUUGAGCUGCAGUAUAACUCAUCAGGGUGUGGCAUAAAUCAAACUAUUGUAUUAUUCCACUAUGAUUGGUAUGAUCUGGGAGGGACGAAGAAGGAACCGAGGAUUAGAAAGGAUGGGUAGUUCACAAGCAUCAAUACUGGAAGGUACUAGUACAAAAGUGAUCCCUACAUUUUUGCUAAACAAGCAACAAAGGUGUUUUACUUGCCAGACAACCUGCUACAAGAUCCAUGGAGAGUGGUGCAAAAAUUUGAGCACAUGCAUUUGUGGAGUUUUAAUGAAAAUGAGCAGGACACAGCGCCUAGUGGCAUGGUACUUGCAUAUAAAGAUGAUGUAAUUGGAGAAAGCUUUAGUGAUGGUAUUGGUGAUGGUUCGGAGGCUCCGGUGCCUAUUACUGAUGAUGAGGAGUGGACUAUCAUUCCAGCGGAUCAAGUUACUUCCAUUCACCAGCAGGUUCUAUCUGAUGUGGACAGAUUCAAUUCUGAUGAUGAGGAGGAGGAUAAAACUAUCUGGCAAUACCAUCACGAAGAUGAAAAUCUUGCACCUGAUAGUGACGAGAACUAGGAAGUGAAAUCAAUUAAUGUAUUAGUCAAUCUGAUCUGAACUCAUUUGUUGUAUAAGAUAUGAACUGAUAUGUGCAUGUAGACCAUUUAUUAUAGUAGUUGUAGGAAAAUCCUUUUGACACAUCUUAAUAUGUUCGAAAGCGCACUUAGCUGGCUAUUGAUCCGGCUGGUUGUAUUGCAAAACACGGGAACAUCCUGUGAUGCCUUCCAAAAUCUUUGAACACCCAUUUGGCUGGCUGUUUAUCCGAUUUAGUGUAUUAUCAAAUACCGAAACAUCUUGUGACGUCUUCAAAAUCUUCGAAUGCCAAUUUGGCUGGCUAUUUAUCUGGUUCAGUGUAUUGUCAAACAUCAGAAUAUCUUGUGACGCUUUCCAAAAUCUUUGAACGCCCAUUUGGCUGGCUAUUUAUCCGGUUUGGUAUAUUAUGAAAUACUGGAACAUCCUGUGACAUCUUCAAAAUCUUCAAACACCCAUUUGGCUGGCUGUUUGUCCGGUUUAGUGCAUUGUCAAACAUCGGAACAUCCUGUGACGUCUUUCAAAACCUUCGAACGCCCAUUGGACUGGCUGUUUAUCCGGUUCGGUGUAUUAUCAAACACCGAAACAUCCUGUGACGUCUUUCAAAAUCUUCGAACGCCCAUUUGGCUGGCUGUUAUCUAGUUCGGUGUAUUCUCAAACAUCAAAACAUCCUUAUGCUAGAACAAUGUUGGGUAGGAAACUCGUACCCAUCUUCUUGUCUGGGUGCACACUAUACCUUUAUGACUUUAUCCAAUGCUGUGUCACUCCUGCUGACAUGCCGUUCCCCAUUUAUUGGAAGGUCACUUGUGGCGCUCACCCUUGGCAAGGUUUAGCCGGCGCCACUGUCGCCGCCACCUGCUGCAGCUGCCUACCACCGCAGCUGCGCUCUGCUACUACCUUAAUAUGUCGCUGCUUGUCCCGAUUGCACAGGUAUUCGUCGUUGAAUGGGGGAUUCAUUAAAUUUUUUGAGAUCAUUGCGGUAGCUGGUUCAAGAAAGAUCUUGCAGAUGGGCAAGAUGGUGGCAAGAGAAAUGGAAAGGCACCUGAUCCGACUCCAGCAAAGCAACAAAGGAAGUCACAGGCGAAUUUUUCAGGCAUAUUUGGUGCUCAGACACAGCAAAGGGGCAAGUCCAUUACACGGGAGUCUUCCCUUGCCCGUGAAAGUGCAUUUGACCCCCUAAGUGGGUUUUGGUGUUGAUGACAUGAAUGGUUAGGGGACUAAUAAUUUUAUCAAGUGAUUAACAGGUUUUAAUUCUAAAUAAGUGCAAAGGUGUAUGAAAGGAAUCCCAAGAACCCCCAGAUUUCAAAGAAAGAACGGUGGUGAGCUCAAAAGAAGACUCUUCUAUAAUUUCUAAUUUUGAAUUUGACUAUAGGAACACCAUACUAUAAAGGGGGAUGUGGAUGGAUAGCUUGAAGAUGCUAAAGCUCUUAAUUGAGAUGCUAACCACCCAUUGAGAGACACAACUCACUCACUUGUACGCUUGUUUUCUCACAUUGUCUGUGAUUGUCGGAAGUUCUGACAGGGUGUCGGAAGUUCCAACACCAGCCGGAAGUUUUCAGAAACUUCCGACCGAGGAAUGCUCAGCCGUGUUUAUCUGGCAGUGUUGAAAGUUCUGACACUAUGUCGGAAGUUCCGAUAAAGGCCACCGGAAGUUUCUUGAAACUUCCAAGGAGAAGGUCUCAGCGAUUUUUAUUUAACUUCUUCGGAAGUUUCGACCCUAUGUCGGAAGUUCCGACAAGCACAUAAAUGUAUUGUAACAGCUAGUUUUGGGGGCUCGGGAAUAAAUACCCCCUCAGCCCCCCAUUCAUUGCUCCUGAACAACUCGAGCUAAAAAAGCCCCCAAUCAUUGAAUACUCCUCUCCCACUCCCUUUUGAGCUAAAUCCUUGAGAGUUGGAGCUACGGAUUGGGUGAGAGUAAGGUUGAAGGUGUAAGUCUUGAGGAUUUGAGUGUGAGGUUCAAUAAGUUCAUCUCAAGAGCACUCCAAGCAUCUUUGGCCUUUGAUUCGCAUUUGUUACUCUUGAAGCUUGCUUCUAGACGGCUAGGUGUCACCCGUUUGAGCACUCUUUUUGUGUGGUGCGCCCGAGAAUGUUUGUAUCACCCAUCCUUCGUGGAUUCAUUGUAAGUGACUCAAUCCUCCUUUGUGGUUGAUUGAGGGAGGUAAAGGGUUAGUGAGGACCCGGCUCUUUGUGACAUCGUCAAUGGAGACGCAGCUAUCUUUGUGGAAGUGAACUUCGGUAAACAAAUCCUUAUCUCUUGUGCUUAUUAUGUUCUUUGAGUUCAUAUUGACCUAGAAGCUUGAUUUAAGCUGAUCUAUAAAUUUAUGUGGUUCCUAGCAUAUCUAUCACCUGUAGUAGUCACUACACUUCAUUUAGAACCUUUUGAUUCAAGCAGAAUUGGCAGAUUUAGUUUUGAUUUUGAAUUUCAUUUAGCUCACUUUCUGCUGUCGGAAGUUCCAAGCGUGUACCAGAAGUUCUGACCCACUGGAAGUUCUGACACAGCGUCGGAAGUUCUGACAUAUCUAAUACCGCUAUGAAGUUUUUCAGAAAAAUUUGGAAGUGAGCCUAUUCACCCCCCCUUCUAAGCAUCACAAGAUUCUUUCAAUUGGUAUCAGAGCCUAAUCUCUUGAUUCAGGCUUAACUGCUAAGGGAUUGAAGAUGUCUCAUAGUGAGGAUGGACUUGCCACUGCCGCUCAAGCCGCUGCCGUUGUUGGUGCUACUCCAAGCUUUGGAGGAGGCCAUGUCGACCCCUUUAGUCAAAUUCCAAGGAGUCAGCCACCCUCCCCAAAAAUUGGUGACAUGAGUACAGCAAUGCCAAAACACAAUUCAAGGUAUACAAGCUAGCGAGACUAGGAGACAAAUGUUGUGGCCUAAGGGCUAGGAAUGAGCCAUCUCCUGAUGAGCACAGAAAUGAGAACUAUUGCUUAGAUAGUGAGGACAGUGAGGUGGAAAAUACGUAUGUACCUUGACUCCAAGUCACUCAUGACCAGAAGGCAAGUGCAUCGUGAUCUGCUAUAGAAACAGUACCCGUCACUCCAGCAACAGCCAGUCAGCUGACCAAGCUUGCCUUAAUUCUUUAGAGGCUAGUUGAUGGUUAGACAAAACAAGACAAAAAUAAUCUUCGUAUGGCUGAGCUACAAAAAUGGUUGGACGAGAGACUGGCUCGUCAGAAGGAGAGACAAUUCGCAUGGCUAGAGCAGGUGGCACAGAGGGCAGACCAGAACAUGAACACCAUGCUCACCACUAUCUCUAACAUCCUCAAUCAGUUGCACCAGCACGUCGGAAGGCUCUCCUGCACCUGCUCCUGGUCUCGCUACGUCGGAAGGCUCUGCUGCACCUACCCUGGUUGAACUACAUUGGAAGGCUCUACUGCACCUGCACAUGCUCCAACUACGUCGGAAGGCUGUGCUGCACCUGCUCCUGCUACUGCUCCUCCUCCAAAUAAUCAUGUAUCUCUAGCUCUUGAUGAUCCUCUUCUGUCAACCAAUCCUACUACAACGGCUCCUUCUUCGAACCCCAUGACAAAGAGGUAGAAUGUUAAACAAUUCUAUUGUUGCCAUUGAUUAUUGUAUUUGAUUUGAACAAUAAAUGUUUCAUUGUCAUGUACAAACCAACUAUUUCAUUGAGCCUUGUAAUAAUAUUUUCCUGGGCUUUGUGCUCAGGUUUUAACUAUUGGUGAUCUGGCAGAGUUUGUACCAGAGUUAGACGAGUCUUAUAACUGGUUUGGUACCAAUAGGGUGCAAAAUGACCAAAGCGGAUAGGCUGGCACGUCGUCUUCAAGUUGCAGAUGAAACUAGAUCAUCUAACUGCUCUAGGGGUGUUGAAGACUCGGAUUCCAAGUGUUUAAGUCAAUGGAGUGGAUUAAGAUUAUGGAUACAUGCGGGAAUACAGGUGUGGUAGGGUCAAGUCUUUCACCACCCAAAAAGGAGACUUCUCCAACCUCGCCAUCAUGUAAUGAGUGAUGCUAUCGAUACAAGGAACCCAAAACUACCUUCGUAGUAUUUUUGUUUGUAAUCUUUGUUGACGAUUGUUAAGUAUCAAAUAUGACCAUCAAUGUACUCAAGAAUAAAGGAGCAUUGACAUUUCUUACAUGCAUAUUUGGUUUCGAAUAAUAUAGUUCCACUUGUCCUUGGAGAAUAUUUGGUUGCAGGUGAAAUAACAUAAAAGGAUGGAGAAAGCAGACACACAACUCCGACCAAUAAGAGAUCACCAUGGAGGCAUUACACGGAUCCAUUGGCCCACAAUUCGCAGCAAACCACCUUACAAAGGUGUGUAGCACCCAUAACCAUCAUUGGGACCCACCUGGCAGUCUACCAGAUGAAGGCAGUUGCAAGUAGGGCCAAGGGAGGGUUGGCCGAACUGCCCUUGUCUCCCCUCAUUCCCAACUGACAUGUGGGUGGUGGUUGAUGGCUUCCCUACAUCUAUUAUAGGAGAUUCCCUCAAAUAUUCCUCCUGUAAACUGCCUCUAUGAGCCUAUAAAUACGAGGGUAGGGUUCCAUUCCAGGACACACCACAAGUGAAUCAUUCUCUUCCUCUUAGUUUCCAAGUUAGUGGAGUUAGGCUAGAGUAGCUCUCCUUCAGGUUCCAGGUCUCCUUGGAGUCUAGGGUCUGGCUCUUGUAUCUUUUAUUCAUAGGUUGACUUUAUUCUAUUCAAAGUAUUCAUCUUCUUUAUAUAGUGUUGUGCUUGGUUCUUAUAUGCAUGAGUUAGAUGUAUACCCUUGCUAUGUUGAUGUGCUAGACUUAUACACUCAUAUGCUAGUCGUAUACCCUUGCUAUCAUAGUAUAGGCUUACAUACUCUCAUGUAUGCCUUGAGACCAUGCUUUAGUACAUACUCUGUGUGCGUAUCUACCUUGUAUAGCUUAGUUGAUCUAUCCUACAGUAUCGGUUCAAUAGCCAUGUUCAUGGCAGCUUCAGCCAUUGAUACAAUAGCCUGGUAUGGCUGGAGUGUUGUUAACAAUGCAAGCAUGAUGCUUGGAUUGCUUAGUUUCAUGGGAUAUGAGUAGGCGACAGGUGGUGACAGCCAUGUCCGUCCUUCGUAAUCCCCCAUGUUCAGGUAUGCUAUAAGAGUUUGGGUAGGCCCUUGUGGAUUGAUUCAUGAUCAGUAUAUAUACCAACAAGCAUCUCUGGCACCGUUGCCGGGGAAGGCACUAGUUAAAAGUUUUUACUUUGUAUAUGUUUAUAUUUGUAGUUGAUAGAUCAUUACUCAAGCAGGCUAACCUUGAUAUGUGUUCUCUAUCUUUGAUGUGAAGAUAGGUAGUGUAUGACUAGUUUUAACAUGCUGUCAAAUUUCACCGAGAAUCCGGAGUCACUUGUGAGAAGGGUACGAUCUCGUGUCGUUCCCCCUCAAAUUACUCUCUCGGUAGUCGAACCAGCUUCCUUUGCACCAUCUACAUCAAACGCAAUGGCCCAGAAGAGUCUUUGUGAGUACUCCGCUCCCUCAACCUCUUAGGUGCUGAAAGGCCCUGAGGUGGACACGGGGAAUGCAAGCUUUGAGAUGAAGAUGGGUCUUAUUACCAUAGUGUAGACUAUCACAUUCUGUGGGAAAGCCAAUGAGGAAGCAAGCGCCCAUCUGCAACAGUUCCUUGAGCUCUGUAGCAUCUUCACCAUCAGAGGGGUGAGUGAAGAUGCUAUGCAUCUGUGACUAUUCCCGUUCUCUCUCCUAGGAAGAGCGAACCAAGCGAAGAAAUGGUUCUACGCGAGCCAUAUGGAGGUGAAUACAUGGGAUAAAUGCUCUGCAACAUUCCUUGCAAAGUUCUUUCCGUUGGGCAAAACUAGUGCCCUACGUGGAUGGAUUUCAAGUUUCCAGCAAGUAGCCUCUGAGUCAAUUCCCGAGGUAUGGAAAAGGCUUCAGGAGUACAUCCUGGCCUGGCCUCACCACGGGAUGGAUAAGUGGCUCAUUAUUCAGAAUUUCUACUACGGGUUGACUCUGACAUCCCAAGGCCAUGUUGAUGCUGCUACUGGAGGAGCCUUCUUGAAGCGGAGCAGUACAUACACAGAGGGAGUGGUACCAAAAAACAGAAUAUCAAGCUUUUUGAAGGUGUUCUCAUGAUAUACCAAAGAUUUUGAAUGAUAAUUUGUUAAAUCUGGGUCUAGAUUCUCCUGAUUCUAGCAAGAAAUUUUUGGUACAAUUACUCUUCAUGCAAAAAUCGGACGUUUGUCUCCUGCGUACUAACACAUGAAACCCUGGAGAAUCUGCUUAGCUCCUGUUCGGGUUGUAGCCCUCUUGAUCUGCGGCGUGCUAGUCAAUCUGACCUGCUGAUUGAUAAGGACAAGUAAAACAUCAAAUACAAGAGCAAAUCGGCUGGUGUUCCAAAUCGCUCCACAGGACGUAUUGGCAGGACAGCCGAUACGGGCAAAAAUCAAUUGGCUAGAUCAGCCGAUGUGGACGUAGUAGGUGCAGAGGAAAUGUAAAAGUAACCUAAACAGUACUACGCGAACAACACUCGCAACAGGUCUAAUCUGCUGUGUGACAGUAGUUUGAUAAGAAAAACAAGGUAAAAGCUGAUCAGAACGUGUUCCAAGCUGGAUAACUAUGAUAAAACCUAAAACAACAAGAUUUAACGAAUAAAGCUUGCAGAUCUAGCAAAUAUAGAUAACUUGUGAAUAAAUCUAGAUGAAACGACAGCGAUGCACCCGAAGUUAAAGCCUAGAAAGUAUUCAAUAAAUGCGGAACUUAAAGUCUAGCUGGAGAUCGAAGCGAUGUAGCCCAACUAGCUUGGAAGAACUCAUGAAGAAAGGAAAACAAUGGUGAAGUUGCCAACUUGAAAGUAAAUUGCGAAGAAAAGUAAAUUUGGAUUGAUUAUGAUGUGUAUAUCUUUCCAGACCUCGCAGGGCCUCUAUUUAUACCCUAAACAUCAUGACUUCUAGUCCUAGUCAAUUACGACAAAACAUAAGAUCUAUCUCUAAAGAAACAAACUUUCUAAACAAAACAAAACAAAAAUGACUCGUACGGGAAUCAAAAAUGAACUUGGCCUCCAUCGGCCAAAACCAGCUCUUCAUUGGUCGAACCUCCAACAUUUCCAAUCGGCUGGAAUCCUUCUGCUCGCAUUAGCUGACCCCAUCGGCUAUGCCCUUGUCAUCUUCCAUCGGCUGCACCCUUGUGAUUCCAUCGGCUAGGCCUCUGUCUUGCUCUACCAGCAAGGCUUUCGCCAUCAUCGGUUGAUCUCUUAUAGCUUCAUCGGCUGAGCCCUCUGCAACCCCAUUUUCCGAUUCCACUAGCCAUUGUCUUUCCACUAUGAGUCGGCAUCUCUACUUGCUUUUGACACCAUCUUUGAUGUAUGUCAAAAAACGGUGUCAACAUAUGCCCCCCCAAUUUCAGAGUGAAACAUAUCUUUUGCUUCAAAAUUGUCUCAACCAUGAUUUUCACCUUCCCUUGGAAAACGCCGAUGCUUACCAAUCACCAAGUAACGAGAUCUCUUCUGUUCUGGAAUCUCCUUAGUCAUGAUUGCCUAAAAAAGUGUCUGGGGUUAACAGCUCUUCAGGUUUCGCGCAGGUGGCGGAUGAGAUACCACAUUUACCCUCUCGGGUGAGUUUAUAAAUUUACAGCCGUCAUCUUCUUCUUCCCCACCGGUUCAUCUUCUCACACCGCUACACCUUGCUUCCACUUUUCUCCGAGCGAAAGGUGACCUUCGACGACUCCUGAUGACCAUCAGCAACCAUUGAUGAUUCAUUUGCUGAUCGCUUCAAACCCCUAAUCUCAGGCAACCAGCUCCAUGGCCACUCUUACUGCCGUCACCGAGGUACAUCUCCCUGCCUUCAUCAUUUUCCCUAUGCUUCUAUCUUCCUUUCCUUACUUAGCCAUUUUCACAUUUCUCAGGAGCUUAGAGACAGAAUCACCAUCCCCAUAGUUGAUACCCCUGGAUUCGUUGCCUUAGGCCCCAUGGGAAACCUUGAUCUGAUAGAUCUGAUUAAUUUGGAGACCAAUAGAAUCCCUUUUAAAUCAUCAUUGAUGGAUCUGGCCGAUUGGGAUCACGCUUUUAGAUCUUGGCCCAACCGCACACCCGGAUGGAAAAACUAGUAUCUUAGGAUGGCCGACUCCAAAAGGGUCUUCUAGCAAGAGCACCGCAUCAGUCAAUGUAUUACCCUUUCUCUGUCAGAUAUGACUAAAAACAAACCCAUGCUCAUAGUCGCGCCAUAUUUCUAGUCGGACACCCUAAAUGUCUUCUUAUUCAGUCACAGGUCGAUGACCCCAACCCUAGCCGACAUCCUGAUGCUGACGGCUUGGAUAUUACUUCCACUGAUUUGCCAUUUCACUUCUCAACUAAAGGUUCUCGUCGGCUAGAGACAAAAUCCAUCGGCGGAUGGAAAUAUUACAAUGAUCGUCACAUCAGAACCGGAACCGUUGAGGAAAGGGAGCAUGUGGCCUUUCUGAAUAUGUGGUUGGACAAAUUUGUGUUCUGCGGGAGAUUGGCUGGCCCAACCACUAAUCUCCAACCUUUGGCUGAAGCAUUGGCAACGAGAUCUUCAAUUCCCCUAAGAAAGCAUCUUCUUGGAUCGGCAUAUCAUUUACUGCAUCAAGUAUCCAACAAACUAUUGGCUGGAGAACCCAUCGGCUAUCUAGGCAGCCCCUGGUGGUUCAUCAAUCCGUGGCUCAAUCUUCACUUGCAACGUGCCUACAAGUAUGACAUCAAGAGUAUGUCCUUUCCCAAAGAUCAGCCAGAGGAAGAACCAGCUGCAACUCGCCGAUGCAUGUCUUAUGGUGAAGCAGUAUCAGCUAUCCCUGGUAGUAAACUCACCCCUUCCAUGGUAGCCGAGGCCUUCAAGUGUUGUUAUAAUGGACUCACCAAAGGAUCUACCAUCUGGUACGCUUAUCACAGUGAAGUCCCCAUUUUUUGUAGGGAAACGAGGUAGGCUAUGCUACCGCAAAAUAAAAAUUUUCUAUCGCGUAAACAAGGAAAACUACCGUAUAUGGAUCACGAGAUUACCACUCGACGCAUAGGUGCGGAAGUUGUAGAAUCGCGUUGGGGUAGCGAAGUCGAUUAGCAUAGUCGAACAUGUCGAUGUCGAGCAGUUCCUCAGCAGCUCGUCCACGUACAGCGAGGUCCUCCUCAUGCCGCGGCUUCUCGUUGGCUCGUCGUGGCUCGUCGGCGGCUCGUCCAAGUGCUGCAGGUGCAACACCUCCAAGGCAUCCACACGUGCAUGGAGGAAGCGUCGCAAGCUGGACUGCUAGGUCUAUGAGUUGCAACAAGGCGAGGGCGUGGGAGGCGCAAUAGCUAUGGUUCGGCCAAAAGGGAUGAACCCUAGGGCACCCCCAACCCUCUAUAUAUAGGGGUCCCUGAUGGGCCUCUAGGUCCAAGGCCCAUUAAUACUCCUAAACCUAGUCCAAUUCAGAUCAUAUCCGGAUUGGGCUUCCAGCCCUUUAAGUGUGUGACCCUAUAGGUUCACAUGCGUAUAGACAUGGCCUGAGUACUCUUACUUGGCAAAAAGUUAGUAGCGGCCUCUAGCAAGACGUGGUAACUCCUAUACGCACAUGAAGAUCAUAUCAGACGAACCAUCACAACAUCACGUACAUGCUAUUCCCUUUGCCUCACGAUAUUUGAUCUAGCUCCAAGCCGACCACUCUUUCUUGAUGCUGUGAUUCGGAAUCCCUUUCUAGGUUAACUCUUAACCUCACGUAGCAUGGCCAUCCAUUUCAAGAUCCGAUUACCCGAGGGGCCCAGAGAUAUCUCUCUCAAAUAGAGAGGGGCAAAUUCCAUCUUGACUGAUCAUGCCUCACAACAUGCUUCUUGACAAACCCGAAAGCUACCUUUAUAACUACCCAGUUACGGUGUAGCAUUUGACAGCCCCUAAGUAUGUCGAUCCACAUCUUGAGUACAUGCGACAGUCUCAGGUCUAAGGACAAAGCGUACAUGUUGUGUAAAGAGAGAACUAUGUAACUUGUGUUGGGCAUUCCUAGCACAUAUCUCUACAUGUGCCCACAUUAUUAGUUUGAGAUCUCCACAUUAUUAACGAAGUCUCGAAUGAGAUGAAAUCAUCGUAUAACGUGUUUGUUCUUCUGGUGGUUCCUUAGCUCCUUUGCUUGCGCAAUAGCCCCAUUGUUGUCACAGUAGAGGUUCAAUGGGCUGAACGCAUUUGGGAACACACCAAGCUCAAUAAGGAAAUUCCUUAUCCAAACACCCUCCUUUGUGGCUUCUAAAGCCGCAACGUACUCGGCUUCUGUCGUAGAAUCAGUCACUGUCUCAUCCUUGGAUUUCAGCUAGGAGCACCACCAUUUAGCGUGAACACAAAUCCUGAUUGUGACUUUGAAUUGUCUCUAUCGGUUUGGAAACUAGCAUCGGUGGAACCUGUUACAAUGAGCUCCUCCUCACCUCCAUAGACAAGGAACAUAUCUUUAGUCCUUCUGAAGUACUUAAUAAUGUUUUUCACCAUUGUCCAGUGACUCUUACCUGGAUUAGACUAGUGUCUUCUUGUCAUACUUAGCGCAUAUGAAACAUUUGGGCAAGUACUUAUCAUUGCAUACAUGAUAGAUCCGAUAGCCGAAGCAUAUGGAACUCUACUCAAGUGAUCCCGCUCAUCAGUAGUCGAAGGACACUGAGUCUUGCUAAGGUGUAUGCCAUGUGACAUAGGCAAGAACCCUUUCUUUGCCUCUUCCACGUUUCAACACUUUGUCAAUGUAAGUAUGUUGGCUUAAUCCUAUAAUCCUUCUCGAUCUAUCUCUAUAGAUUUUGAUGCCCAAAAUAUAUGCUGCUUCCCCUAUGUCCUUCAUCGGAAAACUAUUUUUUAGUGAAGUAUUUACGGACUCAACCAUAGGAAUGUUGUUUCCAAUCAGUAAUAUGUCAUCCACAUAUAAGAUUAGAAAUACUACAGAGCUCCCACUAACCUUCUUUUAAACACAAGACUCUUCUUCAUUCUUAAUGAAGCCAAACCCUUUGACCACUUCAUCAAAACGAAUGUUCCAACUCCUAGAUGCUUGCUUCAACCCAUAAAUGGAUUUCUGAAGUUUGCAUACCUUUCUAGCAUUGUUCGGAUCGACAAAACCUUCGGGAUGUAUCAUAUACACGUCCUCAGUUAGAUUUUCAUUCAGGAAAGGUGUCUUGACAUCCAUCUGCCAUAUCUCAUAAUCGAAAUAUGCAGCUAUAGCUAGAAUAAUCCGAUUAGAUUUAAGCAUCACUACGGGCGAGAAGGUCUUGUCGUAGUCAACUCCUUGAACUUGUUGAAAUCCUUUCGCGACAAGUCGUGCUUUGUAGAUGUGAACAUUUCCAUCCAUAUCUCUCUUCUUUUUAUAGAUCCAUUUGCACUCAAUGGCUUUAACACCAUCAGGAGGGUCAACCAAGUUCCAAACUUGAUUGUCUCCCAUGGACUCUAUUUCGGAUUGCAUGUUACUUUGCCAUUUUUUGGAGUCUGGAUCCAUCAUUGCUUCUGCAUAUGUCGCAGGCUCAUCAUUGUCCAACAAUAAUAUUUCCUGCAUUUCAUGAAGCCUUAUUGACCUUCGUGGUUGUGGCGGUGCUUCUCUUGCCAUGGGUAUCUCAACUUGUUCUGCUAUGUUAGCAUCAGUUAUUGAUUCUUGCCCGAUUGGCUCAUCCCGAACUUCUUCAAGAUGCACUGUCUUUCCACUCUUCUCCCCUUUGAGAAACUCUUUCUCUAGGAAAACACCAUUCCGAGCAACAAACACUUUGCCCUCUGACUGGUUGUAGAAGUAGUAUCCUAAAGUUUCCUUUGGAUAUCCCACAAAAAUUCACUUAUCCGACUUGGGUGUAAUCUUGUCCGACUGAAGGCGCUUGACAAAUACUUCACAUCCCUAAAUCUUUAGAAAAGACAAACUGGGAAUCUUUCUAGUGCACAUCUCAUAUGAUGUCUUAACUAUGGAUUUAGACGGUACCCUAUUAAGUGUGAAAGCUGCUGUUUCUAGAGCGUAUCCCCAAAAUGAUAAUGGUAGGUCUGAUUGGCUCAUCGUUGAUCAAACUAUGUCCAACAAAGUUCAAUUACAUGGCUCAGAUACACUGUUUCUCUGAGGUGUUCCAGGCGGUGUAAGUUGUGGAACAAUUCUGCAACUCUUUAGAUGAUUGCUAAACUCGUGGCUCAAAUACUCGCCUCCGCGAUUAGAUCAUAAGGCCUUAAUUUUCUUGCCACGCUGAUUUUUAACUUCAUUCUAAAAUUCCUUAAACUUUUCAAAGGUUUCAGAUAGGUGAAUCAUCAAGAUUUAAAACAAAGAAUCCAUUCACAAUGGGUGCAAAAGCCAUAAACAUAUCAUUCUUAGAGAUCACACAACCAUUAUUUUCACUUGCAAAAGAAUAAACAUCCUUCAUCAAACAUGAAGGAGACAUAAUGUUUCGACUUAAACUAGGAACAAAAUAACAAUUAUUCAACUCCAUAAUAAAUCCUGAUGGGAGGUGGAGUUGCAUCGUCCAACCUGAAUUUGGGAAAUUUGAUUUUGCCGAAAAAUGGUGAAGCGAUUGAAUUUUAUGGGUAAUUUUUUCUGUAGAUCAAUUUUCAUAUAAAAUUCACCUCGAUCCGAGAUCGUACCGAAAAGUUACGGCUAUUUUACUGAAGCACACGCAUAUGGCAAAAAUUCCGACCCGAUAGUAGAUCCAAUCUACUAUUGCGCAUCACAUGCACCUGGCGUAUGAACCUGGGUUUCGAUUUGAUCAAUCACAUUGAUCUUCGCUUGCUGCAACUGGCAUUACGUGUAUCACCUAACUUCGAUAGCGGAAAUCCGACCGGUAGGAGUAUGUCGUUACACAACCAUUGCAGCAAGAACAUGAAACCAGGUCAUAGAUCAAUCUGAAAACUCGUAUAUCUCCAUAUGCACACAUCCCGAAUCCAUAACAAAACAGCUACGACUCUGAUACCACUGUAGGGAUACGAGGUAGGCUACGCUAGCGCAAAACAAAAAUUUUCUACCGCGUAAACCAGGAAAACUGCCGUAUAUGGAUCAUGGGAUUACCACACGAUGCAUAGGUGCGGAAGUUGUAGAAUCGCAUUAGGGCAGCGAAGUCGAUCAGCGUAGUCGAACAUGUCAACGUCGAGCAGCUCCUCAGUAGCUUAUCCACGUAAAGCGAGGUCCUCCUCAUGCCGCGGCUUGUCGUCGGCUCGUCGUGGCUUGUCAGCGGCUCGUCGUGGCUCAUUGAUGGCUCAUCGAAGUGCUGUAGGUGCAACACUUCCAAGGUAUCCACACAUGAAGGGAGGAAAUGUCGCAAGCCGGACUGCUAGGUCCACAAGUAGCAAUAAGGCGAGGUCGUGGGAGGCGCGACAGCUGUGGUUCAGCCAAAAAGGAUGAACCCUAGGGCGCCCCCUACCCCUCUAUAUAUAGGGGUCCCUGACGGGCCUCUAGGUUUGAGGCCCAUUAGUACUCCUAAACCUAGUCCAAUUCAGAUCAUAUCCUAAUUGGGCUUCCAGCCCUUUAAGUGUGUGAUCCUAUAGGUUCAUAUGCGAAUAGACAUGGCCCGAGUACUCUUACUCGACCAAUAGUUAGUAGCGGCCUCUAGCAAGAGGUGCUAACUCCUAUACGCACACGAAGAUGAUAUCAGAUGAACCAUCACAACAUCACGUACAUGCUAUUCCCUUUGCCUUAUGAUAUUUGGUCUAGCUCUAAGCCGACCACUCUUUCUCGAUGCUGUGAUUCAGAAUCCCUUUCUAGGUUAACUCUUAACCUCACGUAGCAUGGCCAUGCAUUUCCGGAUCCGAUUACUCGAGGGGCCCAGAGAUAUCUCUCUCAAAUAGAGAGGCGCAAAUUUUAUCUUGACUGACUAUGCCUCACAGCAUGUUUCUUGACAAACCCGAAAGCUCCCUUUAUAACUACCCAGUUACAGUGUAGCGUUUGAUAGUCCCUAAGUAAGUCGAUCCACAUCUUGAGUACAUGCGACAGUCUCAGGUCUAAGGACAAAGCGUACAUGUUGUGUAAAGAGAGAACUAUGUAACUCGUGUUGGGUCAGUCCUAGCACAUGUCUCUACACAUGCCCACAUUAUUAGUUUGACAUCUCCAUGUCCAUGACUUGUGAAACAUAGUCAUCAACUAAUACAUGUGCUAGUCUAAUAUUCAUGUGUGUCCACACAUGAACUUCGACUAGGGACAACUUUUAGAAUAACCAUACAAGUAAAGAGUUUCACAUACAAUUCACAUAAUUGCAAAUCAAUUCAAGUAACCUUUAAUGGAUAUUCAAGGAACACAAUAUAAAACAUGGAUACAAUGGAAUAUCAUCAUCUCUAUGAUUGCCUCUAGGGCAUACCUCCAACAUUUUUGAGCUGCCAGAUUGUUUCGACUUUGUCACGUGCACCUUUAAUGGAGAAGUCUUAGAGGUGAUCAUCAGGCCUAGAAUCCUCCUAGCUAACUUCUUCACCGGUAAAGUUCAAUAUCCGACGUAUGAAUUUUAUCACCCAUCGGAAGCAGCUCGUCAACUCGGCUUUGGACAAUUGCCGAUAAGACCUUAUUUCGCCAAUCUUGUGAAGCCCUGUGAGAAACUUUCUAGCGGUCUUGAAUAUAAUAGACUCAGCAACUUGGUCCUGGAUGCCAACACCACCAACUUAGAAUCAUGGACAGCUACUACCUUCACCAUUAAACAAUUCAAGUUGUGGUGGAAAGAAUGGAAGAAUCAUCUCUUCUGCGUGGUGACAGGGUAUACUGCAGCAGGUUUGGCCCAGACUUCAACGAUCCUGACGGACGGGUAAUUACUGUCGAUUUCACUGAGUCUUCUUUUGUCAUAGAUAUUUUCUUCUUACUAAUACCUCUCCCCCUUGCAGGGUAUUGACUUUACACCUCCAACCGUUAGCCAAUGCAACAAGCCGAUUGCCUAAGCCCCUUCAUUGGCCGAUCCUCACAUCGGCCACGAUGCGCCAUCCUUAAUGGACAUAGCCAUAAACCGAAAGUGCAAAGUCUCCAUCCUUGAGAAGACUACCCGCAAGAAGCGUCUUCAAAAGGGCUGAACAUCGGCUUAGGCAACUGAUCUGUCGGUAGCAAUGUCAGCCCAGGAGACUGAUCCGACGGCAGCAGUGGCACCCCAAACGACCGUUCUGACAGAAGUAGCAUCGACAGCAGCAUCACUCUUGAUAGAGGCUAUCUAGGUAAUCUCAUUGUUUUCAAACUCAUUAUAUACCUUACUGAUGCUAACUUUGCUUCUUUCAACCGUCUACACAAUCCACACAGGAGCAACCUGUACCAGCAUCGGCCGAUCCUCAUGCCGAGGAAAUUCUGGAGACCGCACCUAUCACAACUCCACCAACCGAGGUAACAAAGUAUGUUUUGCUUUAAUCUUCGUAACCUCAUCGCUGAACUCUGCCGAUCCUCUAUACAUGCUAACCCAGAUUCAUCAGGCGACCUUCCUGAACCAUCAGUUGCAUUGGCUUCAGAGGUAAAGGAUCAUCUAUCAUACUUUAGCUCAAUAUACUUUAUUUUAUCGAAAACACCUUUUUUUCAGGAAAUCAUCUCGAACCCAACAUCGGCAACCCUUUACAAGCCAAUAAUUACCAAAGACUCUUCAACUAGUGUGAUUCCAGAAAAUGAAUUUCCCUUCGACGAGCCAAUUCAUGAAGAACCUCCAUCGGUUGUGCCAGAACCAUCAGCACAGAGUAGAGAAAUCCAACUGAAGCGGGUAAGCACCUUUCAUAUUUAGCCGAUUUCUAUUUUAACAUCAUCGGCUUAUAUUCUAUUUACUUUUCAUAGGCUCAAGAUAGCCCCAACAAUAGUCUCUUCUCCUUCCAGGUUGGAGGGCUUGAUGAGGAAGAAGAGAUCUUGUCGCACUCACCGGCUGCUAAAUCCUUGUCUAAUGACGCGAAAAUUAAGCUUCAAAGCAUGCAGGACUUCCUUCAUCAGAACAUCAGCCAAUUGGUGGAAGAUGCAGUGCCAAUACAAAAAUCCUCUGUGAGCUCAAAGGCCAGGUUCCCAAAGACAUGGAAGAAGCUCUGUUUCCUGCAGCAUACAUAGAGAGCAUGCGACUUCCGGUGUCAAGGGCUUUAUAGCGCAUAGCUAAUCGCGCCAAGCAGGAGCAGUUGCACCAAGAGAAAGAAUCCCACAGGCUCCGUGCCAAUGAACUUCAUCACAGGAUCAGCUUCCUCAGCAAUUCUCGGCCAAACAUCAUCAGCGAAAUAGAUUGGCUUAAAGCACGGUGGGCAGAACUCGCCAAGGAAAUGAAGAUUGUCAGUGACACCAUCACCGCAGGGGAAAGCUAGCUCGCUCAACUCCCAAACAUCCUCGAGCAGUUAGAGCAGGAGAAGCAAACACAUGCUCGUCAAGCUAUUCGGCUUCAUCAAAGCAUACCAGACAUCCCCGACUCAACCGAUGAUGACCAUAGAGUAAUAGAGGCGGUCGAUCAGAUUCGCCUGCGUGCAAUAAAUGCUAUCCAAACCCUUCUAGGAUAGUUGUAAUGGAAUAUUAUCAAUUUCCAUGUAUCUUUCUUUUGUGAUGUCAUCAAUCACUGUCCGCCUUGAAUGUGAAUUGGCCAAUUCUUUACAGCUUUCUCUGACUCGCCAAUGGCUAUUUUAUUCAAUGCGCCUCUUCUGGCCGACCGUUGCUCAACGUCCGAAUCCUUCAAUGCUGUUCUAUAAAUAUGAGCAGCAAUUGUUCCUCUUAGAUGCAUUUGCACAACCAUACUGGCCUUCGCCUUUGUAAGCACUUGAUUCGAACCGAAACCCUCAGGUCCAAGAUGUCAUCUUCUUCAUCGGUCAAUCAGGUAUCAUUAUGCUUUCUCAAUUCUGAAUUGGUUGUUGUGAACCAAUCCUUGACUCUUCAUUCCCCCAUUUCAGCCAAAUCAAGUGGAUGAACAGCUUGAACGAGUCAUCUAGAUCAUCCAUUCCAACGAGCCUCUCACCCAAACAGACAAGGCUUUGAUCCAAGCUCAUCGUGACCGUAUCAGAGACCAUCUGCCCACGGACGUCAAAUCGAUCUUGUCCUCAAUCGAAGCUGCAGGCUCAAGCUAGAAGGCGCAGCAGCCAAUCCUUUGAAGCCAUGAACCUCCCCCUCGUGUAUUGCUUGAAGACAAGUUGACUAGUUUGGAAGCAAGAAGGACCCAACUUCUACUAGAACUUGGUCGAGUCGACAGGGAAAUCGGUACUACUGAGACCCAACUGGGGCACCUCCCAAGCAUAUCUUGGCAAAGGGAAUAGGUAUUUGCCGAUACCAAUAUAGAACCAGCCAGAUUUGCUUGUGAUAAAAUGUCUUGGCCAUGAUGCGUCAAUGACUUUGAUGUAAUAACCUUCUGUAUCCCAAAUGUUGCAAGUAUUAUUUGUUCUAAGGGCGACUUGUAUUGCGUCGGCCGUGUCACAGCCGAUGUACCAAACUUGUGAUCAUCGGCUAUCCAUAUGUCUGCCUUUUUUCCUUCUAUCUUUCUGGACUAAAAGUGAUUUCCUCGAUAUCGGCUAUAUCAACCUUAAGCAUUACGCCGUUGGCUAUGCAUCUACCCAUAUACUAGGGUAGUAUUUCUUUAAGUAUUUUCCAUUUAGAGCCUUUGUGAACUCUUCUCCUUCAAGUGUCUCCAAAAUAUACGCGUUGCCUGGAGCACACUGGUUUAUUCGAUAUGGUCCCUCCCAUGUAGGCGACCAUUUUGCAAAUUUAGGAUCUUUAGACCCAAUUGGCAACACCAGAUUCUAGACCAGACCUCCUUGGAAAAACUCUUUGACCUUGACCUUUUUGUCGUACCAUCUAGCCACUCUUUUUUUAUUUUCUUCGAUACUGAUCAAAGCCCUUAGCCGACGACCUGCUAAGUCUUCCAACUCCCCUUUCAUCAAGGCAGAGUAUUCCUCCGCUGUUAACUGAUCUUCCAAUGACACACGCCUAGACCCAGUCUUCGACUCCUGAGGUAGCACCGCUUCAUGCCCAUAAACCAACUGAUAAGGGGAUACUUUUGUGGCUCCAUGACAAGCCAUCCGAUAUGUCAAUAAGGACUCAUUCAACAUAAUAUGCCAGCACCUUGGCUGCUCUUCGAUCUUUCACUUAAUUAAUUUAAUGAUCCCCUUGUUAGAUGAUUCAACUUGGCCAUUUGCCUAGGUAUAUAAUAUGGAGAAGAAUUCAACAAUUUAAUUCCCAUAUUAGUAGCAAAUUCUUCGAACUCUCCAAAAGUGAACAGCAUCCCUUGAUCGGUCGUGAUAGUUUGAGCCAUACCAAAUCAAUAGAUGAUGUGUUGUUUGAAAAAAUCAACCAUGCUCGCCGAUGUCACAUUCUUCAGGGGAAUUGCUUCGACCCACUUAGUAAAAUAAUCCGUUGCUACCAAUAUGAACUUAUGGCCCUUAGUUGAAGGUGGAGAAAUCUGGCCAAUCAGAUCAAUACCCCAACCCCUAAAUGGCCACGACUUUAUUAUAGGAUUCAUAGCUGAUGCUGGGGCCCUUUGCACAUUGCCAAACUUCUGACAAUCUUGACAACCCUUAUAGUAUUUAAAGCAAUCUUCAAGUAUCAUCGGCCAAUAGUAUCCAUUGUGUCUAAUCAUCCAUUUCAUCUUAAAGCUGAUUGAUGAGCUCCGUAAACCCCUUCAUGGAUUUCUCCCAUCAGAUUCUUUGUUUCUUCAACGCCGAGGCAUUUAAGCAGGACCCCAUCAACCGUCCGAUAAUAAAGGUCAUCUUCAAGCAAUACAUAUUUCAAAGCCUGAAAAUCGUACUUGCCUAUCAACUUUCAUGGAAGGGUCCUUUAAGUAAUCGGCUAUCUCUUACCUCCAAUCAUCGGCCAUCAACUCUAAGGCCAUAGCAACACAAAUCGACCGAUAACCCGAGGCAUGUUGAGCGAGUUUGUUAGCAUCCUCAUUGUAAUCUCUGGGAAUAUGCUCAAUAAUUACGCUCUUGAACUCUUUAAGUAACUGAAGGUACUGCUCAUAGUAAAUUCUCAAAAUAUCAUCUCUACAUUCACAUCCUCCAAUCAGCUAAUUGAUAAUAAGCAUAGAGUCUCCAAAUAUCUCAACGACAUUAGCUUUGAAUUCUCUCAACAAUUGGAUUCCCUUCAAAACGGCUCGAUACUCAGCCUGAUUGUUGGUAGCAGAAGCCUCAAUUGGUAGUGAGAACUCGUAGCUUGCCCCCCAAGGCGAUAUGAGAAUUGUGCCGAUUCCCGGUCCAAUCCCACAUGAAGACCUAUCAAAGAAUAAAGUCCAUGAAGCCACUUCAACAAUAGUAACCUUUGGCCCACAAUGCUGAGUAACGAAAUUGGCCAUGACUUGCCCUUUGAUAGGUUUAGUUGAUUCAUACUUUAGAUCGAACUCUGACAGAGCUAGAAUCCACUUCCCAAUUCUUCCAUUGAAAAUUGGCAAUGACAACAUGUAUUUGACCACAUCAUCUUUACAUACUACAACGCAUUCGGCCAAUAAUAAAUAGUGUAUAAGCUUAGUGUAGGAGAAAUAUAAGCACAGACAUAGCCUCUCGAUUGGAGAAUACCUAGUAUUAGCAUCCAAGAGUCUUUUGCUGACAUAAUAGAUUACUCAUUCCUUCCCUUCAAAUUCUUGGACAAGAGCCGACUCGAUAGCACACUCAUCGGCUGAUAGGUACAACCUGAAUGGCUUGUUAGCUUGUGGAGGAACCAACAUAGGAGGUGACACCAGGUAUUGUUUGACAUCAUCCAACGUCUUUUGCUGCUCUGCCCCCCAAACAAACUCUUGAUCGGCCUUCAGUUUAAGCAAUGGGCUGAAAGAUUGAAUCCUUCCAGACAGGUUUGAUAUGAAUCUUCGGAUAAAAUUGAUCUUGCCGAUCAAUGGCUGCAACUCAGUCUUAUUUUGCGGAGCCACGACCUUGUUAAUAACAAUGAUGAUCUUCUUAUUAAUUUCAAUGCCACGUUCAUGGACCAUGAACCCCAAGAACUAUCCAAUCGACAUGCCAAAAUCACAUUUAUUUGGGUUCAUUUUCAACCCAUGUUUCCUUGUGCAUUCCAGGACUUUACGCAAAUUGGCUAAGUGCUUCCGGUACCCUUUUGAUUAAACUAUGACAUCAUCGAUAUAAAUCUCGACUACGAUGUUGAUAAGUUUAUGAAAGAUGUAAUUCAUAGCCCUCUGAUAUGUAGCCUCAGCAUUUUUCAAUCCAAAGGUCAUGACCACCCAUUCAAAUAAGCCGAUGUGCGCAGGACACCUAAAGGCCGUAUUGGAAAUAUCUUCUUCGGCCGUAAUACUUGGUUAUAUCUAGCGUUGCCAUCCAUGAAACUGAUGACUCUGUGUCCUGAAGCAGCAUCUAUCAACACAUCAGCUGUCGGCAUCAAAUAACCAUCCAUCGGCGUGGCUUGAUUGAGAUUCCUAAAAUAAAUACAAAUGCGCAGCUUUCCAUUCUUCUUGUACACAGGAACCACAUUAGAAAUCCACUUAGCAUACCAACACUGCCGAAUAAACCCUGCUUCAAUUAAUCUUGUAAUCUCGGGCUUAAUAUCAGGUAAUAUCUUCGGAUUUCAACACCGCACAGGCUGCUGAUACGGCUGAUACCCUAGCUUUAUUGGCAACCGAUGUUCAAUAAUAGAUCGGUCUAAACCAGGCAUUUCAUGAUACUCCCAAGCAAAGCAACCUUUGAAUUCUUUUAACAACUCAAUUAAUUCGCACUUAUACUCAGGAUCUAACUUAGCACUAAUAUAUAUCGGCCUUGGCUUGCUCCCAUCUCCAAGAUCUACCAUCUCUAACUCGUCGGCCGAUGUAAGUCCAUGCCAUAGCUUCCCGUCUUCUUGGAUGAACUCAUCCAUCAGGAUGAUUCUUCAGAGCCAACUGCUUGGAUCGGCUGUAGCCUGAAAUCGGACACCUUCAGGAAGUCUAUGUCCCAAACUCUACCAGAUAUGCAACUGACUUGUUCAUAGUUCCACUGUUGUGCGUCGGCUGUGGCAAUGCUGAAGGAAGAAUCGAUGGUGACCCCUUCAACUGAGUCACCAAUCCAUUGGACGAGACAUUGAUGCAUUGUAGACCGGAUGUAGCAGUUGACGUGAAUCCAAUCUCGUCCCAGAAGCAUGUUGUAGGAUCCUUUACCAAUUAAUGACAAAGGUAGUAGGUAGGGCCUUACUGCCAAUGGUGAGGUCAAUGCAGAGUGCACCCCGGGCUAGGGAGACAUUUCCUUUGAAGUCCUUCAGCAUCAUGUCUAUUUUGAUCACGUCUUCUUCAUGUUUGCCAAGCUUGCGGAAUAUGGCAUACGGCAUGAUGUUCAUGGCUGCACCUCCAUCCACCAAAGGCUUGGUAGCUGGCCUCCCGUUGACUUUCCCCUUGAGGAAGAGAGCUUUCAAGUGCAGACAUUUUUCAUCUUUGGGUUUUUCAAAGGUGGCUGACAUCGACUCCAAGGCUAAUUGAGCCAUCUCUUCCUCUGCUUCUAGUACUUCAUCAUGAGAAGUUGGGGCCAUAAACUCCAUCGGUAGGAUGAAGACCCUAUUGACAUCCGUAGCCGACCUGGGAUUGUUAUUCUUGUCAUCGGCUCUGUCUUUGACGUGCCACACUUGGGAUUUGACCCAUUUUCUUUCCAAAGCACGCCUUUGUUCCUCUUCCUGCUGCUCCCAUUGUCGUAGGUGUUGGACCCUCCUCCUCUAGGACUUAGUCAAACCUGCAGGGCACCAUCUAGGAUGUUCUACAGCUUUGUCUUGUGAUGCACACCACCGCUCCAGUUCAUGACACAGAGGCUCUUCAUCGAGGACCCUUGCAUCGACCCUUUCCUCCAUCCUGCUGGGUACAUUAAACCUAGCCCCUAGCCGAUUGUGUACACUGACCCUGCCCCCCAGCCGAUCACGCACUGGGAUGUGCUUGUCAUCAUGGUGAGACCUAUCCCUGCUGAUCAGUUUUUGAUUCUUGUCAUCAAAGCACGGCCUUUUGGAUGAUUGGUUGUCUUGGUAUGACCCGUUGCACUCAGGGCAGUUGUCAACCGAUGGUAGCUUGAUUCCCUCCUCCCAGUAGUAUAAGAAGAACGGGCAUCUCCAGUGAUCUUCAUGGUGGUGUAUCAUCUCUUCCCUGCGCCUUGCCUAUUCUUGCUGCUUUUGGAACUUGUUGAGCAACUCGUGGGAGGUGAUCAUCCAGCGAGGCCUUUUAGAGCUUUCCCCCUCCUGUAACUGACCCUUUCCUUUGACGUCAUCAGCCGAUACCUGUAUUUUGGGGUCCAUAGUUCCACUCUUCUUGGCCAAUUCUGAAGUCAGCACUUUCUUCUGUGGUGCGCUCUUGUCACCAACCUCCACCAUGUUGGUUGGGAAGGGAUGCUGAUUGAUCUUCAUCGGUCUUGUUGGCUUUGAGGGAACUUCAAACUUGAGCCUCCCUUGCUCAAUAGCCGAUUGGAUCUGCUGGCGGAAGACCUUACACUCGUUGGUGUCAUUAGAUGUGGUAUUGUGCCACUUGCAAUACUUGAUCUUCUUAAGUUUUUCGGCCGACGGGAUCGCAUGGUAUGGUGAGAGCUUGAUCUGUCCUUCUUGCAGCAGCAAGUCAAAGAUCUUAUCAGCCUUAGAGGUAUCGAACCCAAAUUUCUUAGGCUCCUUCUUUCCCUAUGGGCAUGAGAUCAACUUUUUAGUCUUAACCCAUUCUGCCAAGCUGAUCUGUACCUCUUCCUCUGAAUCCGAACACUCUACGUACACCACUUUCUUCUGGAAGCUCUUCCUCUAAUCGAACGGGCGCACGUCUUGGUUUGAUAGCCGAUGUACAAUUUGGCUCAGACUCUCGAACUCCUGUGAAGCAUACUUUUCUUUGAUGUGCGGUAGGAGCCCCUGAAAAGCCGUGUUGGCUAGUUGGCUAUCGCUGAAGACCAAGCUGUAGCACUUGUUCCUGACCUCUCUGAAUCGUUGGAUGAAGCUGGCCACCAACUCAUCACUCCUCUGCCUGAGACUGGUCAGAUCUAUCAGCUUUAUCUCAUGAACCCCAGCAAAGAAGUACUUGUGGAACUAUUUUUCCAAAUCGGCCUAGGUGAUGAUGGAGUUAGGUGGUAGCUUCGUGAACCACUGGAAGGCUGACCCGGACAAGGAUGAUGAGAAUAGCCGAACUCUUAGAGCAUCUUGCACGGCUGCUUCCCCACACUGAAUGAUGAACUUGUUGACGUGCUCCACCGUAGAUGUGUUGUCUUGAGCUCAGAACUUGGUGAAAUUGGGCACCUUGUACUGGUGAGGGAACGACAAUAGAUCGUAGGCCGGUGAGUACGAUGUCCUGUACGUGUAGGUCUACAGUUUAGGUUUUAGCCCGAACUGAUCUUGCAUCACCUUGGCUAUCCUUGCGGCCCAAUCAACCUGUUGCGGCUGCUGCUGGACAAUAGGUUGGACCAUCGGCUGGACUGCUGGCACCUGCUGCUGAAUCUGUGGCACCACGAUCGACUGCUGGAUAACCGAUGUAUAUUGAAGAGGUUACGACUGGAUGAUCGGUUGAGGAGCCGAUGCUUGCUGACGAGGAGGAUCAACGUGCUGUAACAUAACAUGUCAGUUGUCUCAUCAUACACCAUUAUAGGCGACCCAUCUCUGUGAAGAUCCGAAACACCUGCCUCCCUGCUGACUUUUGGUGGAUUCUACUAAUAAUUUUGGACCGUUGGCUGAGGAGCCAAAGGUGAUAGUGAUUGUACUGGAGACCUCAUGGCUGGAACAAAUGAUCUUGGAGGCAUCGUAUAUCUAGUGGUCGGAUUCCAUCCAAAUGGCAUCCCUGUUGGCCCCCAUGGCGUCGAUGUUGGAAACGGCGAUGGCAUGGAGUAUGCUGGAGCAGGUUGGUUUGCCAUCUUAGUGAGAGAGGGUGGCGCAAGAUUGGUGUUCUGAAGCAGUGUCGCACUGUAACCCCCACUUGACAUCUGGAUCGGCUGAGAAACCAAUUGGCCCACAGCAAGCGCAAUCAUCACACUUCCGAUCGGUACGCUCCUAGGUGGCCCGUAUGCUGGACCGUGAAACCCCUGAGAGCUUCCACCAUUGAGAGUGCUGGGGACGGUGUUGUGCACGGUGUUGGUCAUUACUGUAGCUUGGUUGAUCAGCGCGUGAUUGAGAGCCUGGUCAAUCAUCUCCUGCAUCUUCCCUAGGUCUUCAGCAAUGGUGAUCUAGCGAGGAGUUGGAAGGGCGUGCUUCUUGACAGGUUCCCCUUUCCUAGUACGGUUGAAGGACUUUAGGCACAGCAAUCUGAACUCUUCCACAGCCCUUGCCACUUCGCCCUUCUAACCGUCCUAGAGCUCAUUCUCAGUAACCUUCGAUGAUGUUGUCGUUCGAAACUUUGGCAGUCUUCAGCGCAGACAUGUUGAGGCUUUGUAUGGUCCCACUGGGCGUGCCAAAAGUGUGUUGAUGCAAAAAUUCGAUGUUUGGCUCCUGUGUACUAACACACGAAACCCGGAAGAAUCUUCUUAGCUCCUAUUCAGGUUGUAGGCCUCUCGAUCCGCGACGUGCUAGAAUCUGACCUGCUGAUUAACAAGGACAAGUAAAAUGUCAAAUACAAGAGCAAAUCAGUUGGUGUCCCACCGAACGUCCCAAAGUGUGUUGUCGCAAAAAUCGGAUGUUUGACUCCUGUGCACUAACACAUGGAAUCUGGGAGAAUCUGCUUAGCUCCUGUUCGGGUUGUAGCCCUCUUGAUCCGCGGCGUGCCAGUCAAUCUGACCUACUUAUUGACAAGGACAAGUAAAACAUCAAAUAGAAGAGCAAAUCAGCUGGUGUUCCAAAUCGCUCCACAGGACAUAUCGGCAGGGAAGCUAAUACUUGUUGGGACAUGAGGUAGGCUACACUAGCGCAAAUCAAAAUUUUCUUCCGCAUAAACUAGGAAAACUGCCGUAUAAGGAUCACGGGAUUACCACUCGACGCACUACUAGUGCGGAAGAUGUAGAAUCGCGUCGAUGUAGCGAAGUCGAUCAACGUAGUCGUACGUAGUCGAUCACGUCGACGUCUAACAGCUCCUCAACAGCUCGUCCACGUGCAGCAAGAUCUCCCUCGUGCCGCGGCUCGUCGUCGGCUCGUCGUGGCUCGUCGGCGGCUCGUCGUGGCUCGUCGGCGGCUCGUCCAAGUGCUGUAGGCGCAACACCUCCAAGGUAUCCACACGUGCAGGGAGGAAGCGUCGCAAGCCGGACUGCUAGAUCCGUGAGUUGCAACAGACGAGGGCGUGGGAGGCGCGACAGAUGAGUUUUGCCAAAAAGGUGUAAACCCUAGGGCGCCCCCACCCCUCUAUUUAUAGAGGUUCCUAACGGGCCUCUGGGUCCGAUGCCCAUUAGUACUUCUAAACCUAAUCCAACUCGGAUCACAUCCGAAUUAGGCUUCCAGCCCCUUAAGUGUGUGACCCUAAGGGUUCGGAUAGGUAUAGACAUGGCCCGAGUACUCCUGCUCGGCCCAAUAGUCGGUAGCGGCCUCUAGCAAGAUGUGCCAACUCCUAUACGCAUACGAAGAUCAUAUUAGAUGAACCAUCACAACAUUAUAUACAUGCUAUUCCCUUUGCCUCACGAUAUUUGGUCUAGCUUCAAGCCGACCGCUCUUUCUCGAUCCUAUGAUUCAGAAUCCCUUUGUAGGUUAACUCUUAACCGUACGUAGCAUGGCCAUGCAUUUUAGGAUCCGAUCACUUGAGGGGCCCAGAGAUAUCACUCUCAAUCAGAGAGGGGCAAAUCCCAUCUUGAUUGACCAUGUCUCAUAGCAUGCUUCUUGACAAACCCGAAAGCUACCUUUAUAACUACCCUGUUACGGCGUAGCGUUUGGUAGCCCCUAAGUAAGUCGAUCCACAUCUUGAGUACAUGCGACAAUCUCAGAUCUAAGGACAAAGCGUAUAUGAUGUGUAAAGAGAGAACUACUUCUCGUAUUAGGUCAGUCCUAGCACAUGUCUCCACAUGUGCCCACAUUAUUAGUUCAACAUCUCCAUGUCCAUGACUUGUGAAACAUAGUCAUCAACUAAUACAUGUGCUAGUCCAUUAUUCAUGUAUGUCCUCACAUGAACUCCGACUAGGGACAACUUUAGAAUAACCAUACAAGUAAAGAGUUUCACACACAAUUCACAUAAUUGCAAAUCAAUUUAAGUAGCCUUUAAUGGAUAUUCAAGGAACACAAUAUAAAUCAUGGAUACAAAUGGAAUAUCAUCAUCUCUAUGAUUGCCUCUAAGGCAUACCUCCAACAGUCUCCCACUUGCACUAGAGUCAAUCUAGAAGGUACCUAAUACCCAUAGCUCUUACAUGCGCAUCAUGCUUACCCUGCGGGAGUGGUUUUGUCAACGGAUCAGAAAUGUUCAGAUCCGUGUGUAUUUUGCAUAUCUUGAUCUCACCCUGGUUAACAAAGUCUCGAAUGAGAUGAAAUCGCCGCAUUAUGUGUUUGUUCUUCUGGUGGUUCCUUGGCUCCUUUGCUUGCGCAAUUGCCCCAUUGUUAUCACAGUAGAGAUUCAAUGGGCUGGAUGCAUUCGGGAACACACCAAGCUCAAUGAGAAAAUUCCUUAUCCAAACACCCUCCUUCGCAGCUUCUGAAGCCGCAAUGUACUCGGCUUCUGUCGUAGAAUCAUCCACCGUCUCCUGCUUGGAACUCUUCCAACUAACAGCACCACCAUUUAGCGUGAACACAAAUCCUAAUUGUGACUUUGAAUCAUCUCUGUCGGUUUGGAAACUAGCAUCGGUGUAACCUAUUACAACGAGCUCCUCCUUACCUCCAUAGACGAGGAACAUAUCUUUAGUCCUUCUCAAGUACUUAAGAAUGUUUUUCACCGCUGUCCAGUGACUCUCACCUGGAUCAGAUUGGUGUCUUCUUGUCAUACUUAGCGCAUAUGAAACAUCUGGGCAAGUACUUAUCAUUGCAUACAUGAUAGAUCCAAGAGCCGAGGCAUAUGGCACUCUACUCAUGCGAUCCCGCUCAUCAUCAGUCGAAGGACACUGAGUCUUGCUGAGAUGUAUGCCAUGUGACAUAGGCAAGAACCCUUUCUUUGCCUCUUUCAUGCUAAACCGCUUCAACACUUUGUCAAUGUAAGUAUCUUGGCUUAAACCUAUAAGCCUUCUCGAUCUAUCCCUAUAGAUCUUAAUGCCCAGAAUAUAUGCCGCUUCCCCUAAGUCCUUCAUCAAAAAACUAUUUUUCAGUGAAGUCUUUACGGACUCAAGCAUAGGAAUGUUAUUUCCAAUAAGUAAUAUGUCGUCCACAUAUAAGAUUAGAAAUACUACAGAGCUCCCACUAACCUUCUUGUAAACACAAGACUCUUCUUCAUUUUUGGUGAAGUCAAACCCUUUGACCACUUCAUCAAAAUGAAUGUUCCAACUCCUAGAUGCUUGCUUCAAUCCAUAAAUGGAUCUUUGAAGCUUGCAUACCUUUCCAGCAUUUUUUGGAUCGACAAAACCCUCAGGCUGUAUCAUAUACAUGUCCUCAGCUAGGUUUCCAUUCAGGAAAGCUGUCUUGACAUCCAUCUGCCAUAUCUCAUAAUCGAAAUAUGCAGCUAUAGGUAGAAUAAUCCAAAUGGACUUAAGCAUCACUACGGGCGAAAAGGUCUCAUCGUAGUCAACUCCUUGAACUUGUCGAAAACCUUUUGCGACAAGUCGUGCAUUAUAGAUGUGAACAUUUCCAUCCAUGUCCUUUUUCUUCUUAUAGAUCCACUUGCACUCUAUGGCUUUAACACCAUCAGGCGGGUCAACCAAGUUCCAAACUUGAUUGUCUCCCAUGGACUCUAUUUCGGAUUGCAUGGCACUCUGCCAUUUUUCGGAGUCUGGGUCCAUCAUUGCUUCUGCAUAUGUCGCAGGCUCAUCAUUGUCCAACAAUAAUAUUUCCCGCAUUUUGCGGAGCCUUGCCAACCUUCAUGGUUGUGGCGGUGCUUCUCUUGCCAUGGGUAUCUCAACUUGUUCUGCUACGUUAGCAUCACUCAUUGAUUCUUGCCCGAUCAGCUCCUCUUGAACUUCUUCAAGAUGCACUAUCUUUCCACUCUUUUCUCCUUUGAGAAACUCUUUCUCUAGGAAAACCCCGUUCCGAGCAACAAAUACUUUGCCCUUUGACCGGUUGUAGAAAUAAUAUCCCAAAGUUUCCUUUGGAUAUCCCACGAAAAUGCACUUAUCCGACUUGGGUGUGAUGUUGUUCGACUGAAGUCGCUUGACAAACACUUCACAUCCCCAAAUCUUUAGAAAAGACAAACUAGGAACCUUUCCAGUCCACAUCUCAUAUGGUGUCUUAACUACGGAUUUAGAUGGUACUCUAUUAAGUGUGAAAGCUGCUGUUUCUAGAGCGUAUCCCCAAAAUGACAGCGGUAGGUCCGACUGGCUAAUCAUUGAUCGAACCAUGUCUAACAAAGUUCGAUUACGUCGCUCGAAUACACCGUUUCUCUGAGGUGUUCCAGGUGGCAUAAGUUGUGGAAUAAUUCCGCAACUCUUUAGAUGAUUGCUAAACUCGUGGCUCAUAUACUCGCCUCCACGAUCAGAUCGUAAGGCCUUAAUUUUCUUGCCAUGAUGAGGGGGAAUUAACUUUGGCCCACUAACUUAAUCAGACAAGGUCGUGGCAAUAAGGCCUCAUACACGCUCCUAUCGGCUCAAUGAUGUCAUUAUGCUUCCGUGAGAUAUGGAUGAUACCCAGCUGAUGCAUCGGCUCUGAAUAGUAACGUGCUAACAUCGAAGGCUCGACUGUUCGCAAUAUGAGGGGUAGGGGUAAAGAUCUAUCGGACCUAGCAUAUAUAAAAUAGUAAAAGCAUGCAAGAUCCAAUAGCCAAUACGAUUAGAUAAGGGGUGAAUGUUUAGCCAAUACCAUUCGAUAACUGUGAGUGCUUGAUAGAACUAAGAGAUCGAUACAAUAAAACUUAAUAAAAUCAAACAACUCAAUAACUAAGAGCAACCGUCGAAGACAAGCAGAAUAUUGGACAAUGCCUAGAAAGUUCUUCUUGCAAUCCAAGAUAACUCAAUAACUAGCCACACAACCGAAUAUCAGAUUAUAAGACUUAACUUAGAAAGUUCUGAUAGAGGCCCUAAUGACCGGGUGAUGGUACUUACAAGCUCGCCUGAGAUCGAAGCUAAUGUAGCCAUGCGUGUAGGAAGGAACUCGUCGAAACUAUUCUACUCCUACUCCUAGAGUUUUGUCGGCGUGGCACCAAAAGGUUGUAUUGGUUGAUUGAUGAUUAUUCGUUACAAAGCUCAUGGGUUUAUAUUUAUACCCUGGAGCAAGCUAAAAUCAUAGUUCAUUACGCCAUGACUAUUACAACUAUUUCUAAAAACUACCUAAGAUAAGUCUCCAUGCAUUUCCUUAUUUGGUGGAGUCAAUUUUGCUUCGGAUCGGGCUUCCUCCGAUCUUAUAUUAGCUUCUAGAACCCUGGUCUCUUGCAGCUGGUUUCGGUUAACACGAAGUCAUCGACAGUCCUUUUGUCUCUCCUCCAUAGGCUAUCUGAACCUUUGUUGCAGAAGCACCUAGAUUAACCUGGAUAAAGUAUACUCAACAUGGCCUCAUAUGCGAGCAGACACUUCAAUCAAGUUAAAAUGGUAGUAUGUCGUGUUUCACCCGUGUCGGCUAGGCACCCCUGGGCCCACCAGAAGACUUGUGGACCCACUCAAGGGGAUGUACCCAAAAUCUACUCAGACAUGAAGACUACUCUCCAGGGCGCGUAGGCUUCAUGGUUUCCCCGAAGACUAGUUAGGUAGGAAGGAGAUUACUCUACCGAGUUAGAGUAGGACUCUGUAAACGUACUUGACUAGGACUUGAACGCAAUCCGUCCUAUAACUCUGGUCCCCCGACUAUAUAAGGGCGGGUAGGGACCCCCUCCAAACAACAGAGAACAAGAGAACACAUCUCAAUCAAUACAAUCAACACACAGGACGUAGAGUAGUACACGAUCUAGUAGCCCGAAACUAUCUAAAUUUUGUUCCUUACGUCACCAUCAACACCUUAAUUCUCGACGACACCCACUGCACAAAAGACCACCUAGGGUACCCCCUAGGCGGGUUGCCAGUGUAAAAAUACCGACUGCUGGCAUGCUAGGUAGGGGCUCAGAGAGCUGGAUAGCUCAAGUGGUUGUGAAGUGCUGAGCAGAGGGAAAUAUGGUGUGUGCCAAAGAACAUUGUUGCUUUAAUAAAUUUGCAUGAAAGCCCGAGUAUAUGUUCUGUAGUCUGCUAUAGGUAAUAGCGACACAUAUGUUUCAUAUUCCAAGAGUUUGGUAUUUCUUCUCCUGAGAGAUCUUGUAGCCAGUAUGAUCUAGGCCCUAUGACCUUGGAUAUGAUGUAGGGACCUUCCCAUGGCAAGUUGAGUUUGUGCAGCCCUGAUGUGUCUUGUAUGCGUUGAAGGACCAUGUCACCUGUGUUAAAGGAACGCUCUUUGACAUUGCGGUCAUGGUAGUGUCGUAAUCCAUCGAGAUAUCUUGCUAACUGAACUAGUGCUGCACAUCUUAUUUCUUCCAAGCUAUCGAGGUCUAGGCAUCUUGUUUCCUCUGAUACUCCUUCGUCAUAUUGCUCAACUGCAGGUGACUGCCACAUGAUGUCUGCAGGGAGGAUGGCUUCUGACCCAUAUACAAGGAAGUAGGGAGAGUGUCCAGUAGGCUUGCAUGGUUGAGUACGUAGUCCCCAAAGAAUAUUGGGUAGAUCUUUGAGCCAUUUGCCUCCUUUUUUGUUGCUGAUGUCAUGCAGCCUUUUCUUGAGAGCUUCGAGUAACUGCUGUUGGCACACUCAACUUGUCCAUUGGCCCUUGGAUGAGCAACAGAGACAUAUCGUACAUCAAUUCUGCUAUUCUCGCAGUAUCCCCAGAAGUCAAGAUUGUUGAUGUUGGAUCCUAGGUCAGUGAUGAUCAUGUUAGGGAAGCCGUAGCGAUGUACAAUUUCAUCCAAGAAGUUGAGGACUCCGUCUGCCUUGGGGCAAGUGAUGGGUUUGACUUCAAUCCACUUGGUGAAUUUGUCGAUGGCUACGAGUACUCGAUUGAACCCUCCUAGCGCAGUUGGGAGUGGUCCUAUCAUAUCAAGCUCCCAGCAUGCAAAAGGCCAUGUUGGAGGUAUUGUGAUGAGCUUGUAGGCAGGGACAUGCUAUUGCUUAGUGAAGAAUUGAAAACCUUGGCAUUGAUAGACUAGUUGUUUUGCAUCUGCCAGUGCCAUGGGCCAGUAAAAACUUGCUCUAAAAGCUUUGCCUACGAUUGUUCGUGAAGAGGCAUGGUUACCACAGAUUCCUUUGUGUAUUUCUUCCAAGAGUUCUUGACCUUCUUCUCGGGUGACACAUUUCAUGAGUAUCCCUGAAGAUGCGCUCCUUCUGUAAAGCUUGUCUCCGACUAGAACAUAGUUCUUGCCUCGUCGUGAGACUUGUUUGGCUUGGUUUUUGUCAGAUGGUAGCUUUUGUUCUUUGAUGUAGUCGAUGAAUGGAGAUCUCCAGUUGACUUCGAUCAUGAUGACCUCGCGAUUGGGAUCUAGAGGUUUGGUAUUAGUAGUCGUUGGAGUAACUUGUUCUAAUAUGGAGGGCUUGCAAAACUCGUGUACAAAAAUCCCUGCUAGAACUUCUGCACGUGUUGGGCCCAUUUUUGAUAACACAUCAGCAGCUACAUAGUUGUCGCGAACAACAUGAUAGAAUUCUAGGCUUGAAAACUUAUUUUGUAGCUUGCAGACUUCCUUAUAGUAGGCGUCCAUGUUUUCCUUAUUGCGAUCCCAAUCAUCAUCGACUUGGUUAAUGCCGACUAGUUAGUCACCAUAUACCAGUAGUCGUUUGAUUCCGAGUGAUAUUGCGAGACGAAGACCAUGUAGUAGUUCUUCGUACUCGGCUUUGUUGUUUGAAACUUCCCAAAAGAUCUGGAGAACGUACUUGAGUUGUUGACCCUUUGGAGAGAUUAAGAGUACUCCUGCACCGGCACCUUCAAGCUUGAGAGAACCAUCGAAGUACAUAACCCAAUGUUCCGGUCUUUUGACUGGUGUUGGUACUUGGUUUUCUCUCCACUCUACCAUGAAGUCCACUAGAGCUUAGGAUUUGAUGACUGUUCUAGGUUUAAAGUCUAGAGAUAGGGCUCUGAGUUCAACCGCCCAUUUAGAUAUUCUUCCCGUUGCAUCCCUGUUGUGAAGGAUUUCACCAAGUGGGAAGUCUGUGAUAACGGAUAUGGUGUGUUCUUGAAAGUAAUGUCGCAGCGUCCAUGAGGUAAGCAGGAUUGCAUAAAGUAGCUUCUGCACCAGUGGGUACCGAGUUUUGGAGUUUGAGAGUACUUCACUAACAAAGUAGACAAGCCUCUAGACUUUGUAGAUGUGGCCUGGUUCAGACCUUUUGACUACUAUUGCUGUGCAGAUGACAUGAGUAGUGGCAGCUAUAUAUAGGAGCAAGUCUUUGUCUGGAGAUGGAGCUGUGAGAAUUGGUGGUUUUGACAAGAAGUCCUUGAGCUGUGUUAAGGCUAUGUCGGCCUCCUCUGUCCACUGAAACUUGUCCUGUCAUUUGAGUAGCUUGAAGAAGGGUAAUCCACGUUCUCCAAGUCUUGAGAUGAAUCGAUUAAGGGCUGCCAUGCAGGUUGUAAGCUUCUGCACAUCCUUGAUGCCAGCUGGAGCUUGCAUAUUUGUGAUGGCAGAUAUUUUUUCUGGGUUGGCCUCAAUGCCGCGGUGGCUAAUGAUGAAUCCAUGUAAUUUUCUAGAAGGUACACCAAAAACGCAUUUGGUAGGGUUGAGUUUUCGCCGGAAUGCUCAUAGACUUGCGAAGGUUUUUUCUAAAUCUGCUAUUAGAUCAUCUGGGUUUCUUGUUUUGACGACUACGUCGUCUACAUAAGCUUCUAUGUUGCAGUGUAGCUGUUUCUUGAAACACAUCUAGAUGGCGUGUUGAUAGGUCGCCCCUGCAUUUUUUAGCCCAAAAGACAUUGUUUUGUACCAAAAUGCACCAAACGGGGUGAUGAAAGCUGUUUUGGCUUGAUCUUCUUCUUUGAGGGCUAUUUGGUGAUAGCCUGAGUAGCAAUCAAGAAAACAGAGCAAAGUGCACCCAACUGUGGAGUUGACUACUUGGUUGAUCCUGGUUAGUCCAAAGGGGUCCUUUGGGCAACGUUUGCUAAGGUCUGUGUAGUCAACGCACAUCCUCCACACAUUAUUCUUCUUGUGAAUGAGUACAGGGUUAGCUAGCCAAUCAGGAUGGAAAACCUCUUUGAUAAACCCUCCCGCGAGUAGUUGGGCCAGCUCUUUUUUGAUUGCAUAUCUUCUAUCCUAGUCACACUGGGUUGCAGUUUACAGCGAAAUAACAUUCUAAACAGAUCAAGACUAGGCAAAACACACAGGCACACUUCACACAAGUGUAUAAAGAUAGCCAUGUAGAGCACACCAUUCAGAUUCAAAUGGACUAACAUAAGGUUAUAGUACCCGAGAAUACCUCUGAAGAAGUUAGAAGUGGGCACCGCCAAUCCUCUCUCGAUGAAAUGAGCAAGCAUCACCGUCUCCUUGGGGUGCUCGUCAAACUGCCACGCAUUCCCGAAUGCGGGCCUCCAUUCAAGUUCAACCUUUGGUUGAAGAAGCUUUGCGUCGACCAAAGCCUGGACCGCCAGCUCCUUCAUCAUGGAAUGAUGCUAGGUGAUCCCAGGAGGCGGCAGAAUAGUCUGGUUCAUUGGGCCACACUUAGGCGUCGGCAACAUAGGCUCCUUGCCCUUCUUGGAUCUACAUCUUAACUUACUGGUGGCCACAUGUAGGGAUACGAGGUAGGCUACGCUAGCGCAAAACAAAAAUUUUCUACCGCGUAAACCAGGAAAACUUCCAUAUAUAGAUAACGGGAUUAUCACUCCACGCACUGGUGCGAAAGAUGUAGAAUCGCGUCGGGGCAGCAAAGUCGAUCAGCGUAGUUGAACACGUAGUUGAUCACGUCGACGUCGAGCAGCUCCUCAGCAGCUCAUCCACGUACAGCGAGGUCAUCCUCAUGCCGCGGCUCGUCGUCAGCCUGUCGUGGCUCGUCCAAGUGCUACAGGUGCAACACCUCCAAGGUAUCCACACGUGCAGGGAGGAAGUGUCGCAAGCUGGACUGCUAGAUCCGCGAGUUGCAACAGGCGAGGGCGUGGGAGGCGCGGCAUGGGAGCCACGGCAGCUAUGGUUCGGCCAAAAGGAUUAAAACCCUAGGGCGCCCCACCCCUCUAUUUAUAGAGGUUCCUGAUGGGCCUCUGGGUCCAAGGCCCAUUAGUACUCCUAAACCUGAUCCAAUUCAGAUCAUAUCCGAAUUGGGCUUCUAGCCCCUUAAGUGUGUGACCCUAUAGGUUCGGAUACGCAUAGACAUGGCCCGAGUACUCCUACUCGGCCCAAUAGUCUGUAGCGGCCUCUAGCAAGACGAGCCAACUCCUAUACGCAUACGAAGAUCAUAUCAGAUGAACCAUCACAACAUCACGUACAUGCUAUUCCCUUUGCAUCAUGAUAUUUGGUCUAGCUUCAAGCCGACCGCUCUUUCUCGAUCCUGUGAUUCAGAAUCCCUUUCUAGGUUAACUCUUAACCUUACGUAGUAUGGCUAUGCAUUUCCGGAUCUGAUCACUCGAGGGGCCCAGAGAUAUCACUCUCAAUCAAACAGGACAAAUCCCAUCUUGAUUGGCCAUGCCUCACAGCAUGCUUCUUGACAAACCCAAAAGCUACCUUUUUAACUACCCUAUUAUGGUGUAGCGUUUGAUAGCCCCUAAGUAAGUGGAUCCACAUCUUGAGUACAUGUGACAAUCUCAGGUCUAAGGGCAAAGCGUACUUGUUGUGUAAAGAGAGAACUACUUCUCACGUUGGGUCAGUCCUAACACAUGUCUCUACAUGUACCCACAUUAUUAGUUUGACAUCUCCAUGUCCAUGACUCGUGAAACAUAGUCAUCAACUAAUACAUGUGCUAGUCUAAUAUUCAUAUGUGUCCUCACAUGAACUCCGACUAGGGACAACUUUAGAAUAAUCAUACAAGUAAAAAGUUUCACAUACAAUUCACAUAAUUGCAAAUCAAUUCAAGUAGCCUUUGAUGGAUAUUCAAGGAACACAAUAUAAAUCAUGGAGACAAUCAGAUAUCAUCAUCUCUAUGAUUGCUACUAGGGCAUGUCUCCAACACCACUGUAUACCCUGGAUCUUCUUGGGUUUCUUUCCCGUCUUCUUGACGCGCAUCAAGUGGUCUUAAGAAAAAAGGAAGCAGGAAGGGGCUGCAGCGGAUCUCUCUCAAAGACCAGGCAAGAACAACAAUGGCGGCGAUGGCGCAAGGAAGAGCAGCGGCGCUAUGGUCACAAGAAAGGGGUGCAAAUUACAGAUCUGUUAAAACAAGUGUAUCGCUAAUUACAGCUGGGCCCCCCAAUUAUAUCAGCAGCAUCUUCGGGUUCCAAGCGUCAAUUAAGCAACAGUUAGAUACAACUCAAAUUUACCACCAUAAUGUCCAACGGUUACUCUGGCCUAAAGAUUGACCCCUUCAUCGACUACAAGUAACUGUCCAAGUGCUCGGGGGCUGCGUAUACUGUACUCGUUGGAUAAAGUUUUUUCUUUUUCUGGAGACUACUUAAGAUGAAGCAAAAUUACAAGUUUGACCCUCAGCCUGAUUCUUUGAUUCAACCUAAGGCUCGGGGGCUACUCCAUAUUGAGUGCGAUUGUCAUCGCACUACCAUAUAUAAAAGUUUCAAGGCAAACAUUACGCAAAGCAAACAUCGGGGACUAUUAAGAGUACCUUCCAGUCAUGCAACAACACCAGUACUUGAAGGUUGGUCGCGUCGAGUACUCAAGAAGCACCAGGAGGAACUCAGGCAGCGUCCUCAAGUACUCAGAGCUGUUUCUCUCAACUACAAAAUACUCGGGGGCUUGUCGGCUAGGCACCGCUGGGCUCGCUAGAAGACUUGCGGACCCACUCAAGGGGACGUACCCGAAAUCUACUCGGAUAUGAAGACUACUCUGCAGGGCGUGUAGGCUUCAUGGUUUCCCCGAAGACUAGUCGGGUAGAAAGGAGAUUACUCUACGAGUUAGAGUAGGACUCUGUAAACGUACUCGACUAGAACUUGAACGCAAUCCAUCCUAUAACCCUGCUCCCCUGACUAUAUAAGGGCGGGCAGGACCCCCUCCAAAGAAUAGAGAACAAGAGAACACAUCUCAAUCAAUACAAUCAAAACACAGGACAUAGGGUAUUACACGAUCUAGCGGCCCAAACCUGUGUAAAUCAUGUUCCUUACAUCGCCAUCGACUCCUUGAUUUUUGACGACACCCACCGCACAAAAGACCAUCUAGGGUACCCCCUAGGUGGGUUGCCGGUCUAGAAACACCGACAAUCCGAUAAACCACUUGUCUCAGAUCAAAACAAAGCAUACUCGCACGAAGACAAGUCUAGAGAUUACAACAAUCCAGAUAUUUCAUUACAGAUUCCAAAUUAAGUUAUUACAACUCAAGAGUUCAAAUGCAUAAAAGGAGUGUUUAGAGUUCAAAAGUAGUGGAAAUAAAAUAAUACAACUAACGUUGAUACAGGGUAUCAUGGUGAAGCUUGCCAUGAUAUCAAUCACCGCAUUCCUCGCCAACCGAGGAUGGGUCCCACUCAACUGUCCAACCCGGAGGGAUUUGGGUUGGCCAAGUCACACUAGCAACCACAUCAACAUUACCUGAAAACAUAGUCAAAAGCAAGCCUGAGUAUACUAAUACUCCGCAAGACUUACCCGUCAGGUGGUAUCUAAUCCACCAACUCCUAGACAUGCAAGGCUUUUGGGCUGAGGGAUUUGUUUUUGCCAAAAGCUUCUAAAGUAGGUCCUUACUUUCAACUUUUAGCAUCAAGUUCUAGUUGAUUAACCAUUCUAGGUAAGCACCUAUUCUAAGCAAGCAUGGUAGAACAAACAAAUUAGUUGAGCAUCAGUAUUAAUCAUCAUCCUUGCUCACCUUCUUACUCCCAAACUAUGAGAAGCAGAUGAUUCAAAUCGAAUUUAUUAACCUUGCAAGGUGGACCUAAACACACGACAUAUGCUACUGCUGACACGGGUUUACAUAUAUCAAAGGUUCCCGUCAAUCCACGGCGCUUGUCCAGAUCCCACUUCCCUUGAAUACAAGGCCCCACCGGUCCCGGAACGACGUCGUACCGUGGAUGCACUUGUACCCACAUGGUGCACCAGGGGAACUCAGUCCCAUAGAAAGUGGGGGAAAGGUCCAUGCCAGUUCAAUCAGGUACUAGGCUUACUGAUUUCCCAUACUCUCAGCAUGUGUUUAGUAUGUUCAAAAACUUGACCAAGACUCCCAAAUGUUUCGACCUUAGCAAUUUUCCUCUAAACAAACGGGGCAUCAACCAUCUCUGAACAGAGUACCAAGCCCUGCAUGUCAACCUUAUGAUUCCAACAUAAGUAAACAGGCAACUCCUAUAGCUCACGAGUGAUAGGAAAUCACUUGACUUUUAUUGUGCCCCUAUUUAGCAUAGCAACUACGCGACUUAACAAGCUAGUAUUCAAACAUGGGUACUAGGGAGCAUGCAACUAAGGUUUCAAGCAACUCCUACAAACUUAAUGCUCAAACAUAAGUAAUAUAAGUAUUGCAUAAUUUUAGAAACCAAGGUUAUGCUCCGGGGCUUACCUUCCUAUACUAGGUUAGUCUGGGGCUCGUUUGAAGCUUGACUCGGUUCUUGGGCAGCCUCGAUCUGGUUCACUUCUGCAGACGGCUCCUCCUCAGCUUUCGAGAUUAGCUCUUAGGUACCGUCAGCGAGAUUUGCUUCUACACGAGAUGCAUAUGCAAGAUUUCAAACUUUUCUUUCAUAGUAAAGUAAAGUGUGUUCCGAUUUAAAACUCAGGCUUGACUUGAUGGUGAUUGUGUACACAUAUAAGAUUUUAACAACUUUAGACUUCACAAAGAAAGGUGGGGGUCAUUUUAGGGUUGCUCAACAUUCAUUUAGAAAGUUAUCAUAUUUCUGAAUUUUAAACCAACAUAACAUAGCAUUUACCAUUCUACCCCUUUCUUAUUAACAGUUGUUAUUAUUCAUUUAACUAGCUAUUAAACUCAAAUAAAUGUUUCUGGAAGCAACUGAUAAGAUAUGGUUCUGAAAGUUUUAUAGAAGCUUCAUUAUUACACAAGUGAUCUACUGUAAAAAUUUGAGAUGCAUUUGACUUUUACAAAAUUUACUAAAAACCAAACAACAUUAAAUUGCAAAACACGAAGAAUGAUUUUUAACUAGGGUUUCAUCAUCAGACUAGCUCUACAAAUUUUACAGAAGGGUUACCAGCACUAACAUAUGUUAUAGUAAAAUGUUUCAAGGUUUAAAGAGCAUGAAAACUAUUUAUCACAUAAAAAGUACAUUAAACCACAUGUAGUUAUUAAAGCAAGGUAAAACUCAUAUCUCAUAGAAGCAAAUAUUUUUCCUAGUCAGACAUCUGCAUAAGAAGUCUAACAAAAUUGAUUUCACAUAUUAGCAUUUUUCUACAUUUCUCUACACAUUUUCAAAGUUUCAGCCAUUUAUUCAUUUUAAAACAGAAAAAGCUAAACAUGUUUUAAAGAAGGGGGCUCGCAACUUUCAAAGUUUCACAAAUAGGUCCUACCUUUUUACACCUCAAACCCUAUAAAGAUUUGGGAGCUUGCAAUGUGCCCCUCGGGCUCUGCCAGCGGUUUGCUAGCGCGAUUCCAACGAACUUCGGCGGGGAGGGGUGAGGUGAGGGUCUGGGUGUGAUGAGUGUUUCACCUAGGGCCUGUGAGCUAUGGGUGUUGAAGGUGGAGGGUGACCAGUGGUGGAGCUUGACGGUGAGGCCUCGGGCGCGGUGGAGGCUUGCCAUCUCCGGUGCCGGUGGUGGCGGAGAUGGUCAGGGGAGGGCUCAGGAAGGUGGUGUGGGGCACGGGUGGUCCACCAAAGGGCUUAGGAGGUGGGGGGGUGCUCGGAGGGGAGGGCUCCAGGUGAGGUGCUAUGGGCAGCGCGGCAGAGCUUCGGCGUCGGGUGCAGUGGCAGGGCAGCACCGGCGGGCCAUUUAUAGCGGCUGAGGAGCGAGGGGAGGAUAAGGACGUUAGGAAAAGCUCGAACGGUGACUGGCAGAGCAGGCGUGCGGCGCGGCGGUUGGCCGUGGCGGCACUUGCGCGUGGGCAAGCAGCAGGGAUUGUUGGGGAGGGAUCCUAACGUGGAGCAGCUGGUUUGUCUCACACAGUGAGUGGGCUAGACGGCGUGCUCAUCAGGUCACAUCACCAGCCAGAUUGGCCGGGCGACAAUAGCCUGCGCCGGGCGGCGACGUGGUAGCCGCGGUAGCAGCAUGGGCAGCCGCACGGAUGGGGACUGGCCGAAGGAGAUAGGCCAGUUGGGAGGGUGAGAUGGCACGCGCGUGUGGUUUGGCAAGUGCCAGGGAUGUGCUGUCCUAUCGCCGGUGGGACUGGCCGGCGGCGCUGCACCAAGCGGGCAAAGCGACGUGUCACACCAUGACACGUUGUGCGCGAUCACCCCUGAUCGCUUGCACGUGCUAUCGCUGGUGUGUGUGUGUAGGCAAGGACUUUGACCCGAGUUUUCUCCAAAAUUUGAAUUCAAACUUUAAAAAAUUCAAAUAUAAACGUUGGAGAUGGCAUGACUGACUACAAUGUUUACAAAAGCCAACUGGUGAAAUUCUCAACCACUUUGGAGUUUGAGCUGAGCAAAGUUUGGUAGAACGCUAGCUUAGGCUGAUUUUUGAAUUUGCUUCAAUUUGGCUGAAAAGUUCUACAACUUCUAUAUUGGCCAAAAGUUAAGUUCUUAUGUAAAAUUCUAUUUUUAUUUCCUACCCAAAGAAAGUGCCUUUUAGUGGUGUUUUCAACACUUAGAUCAAUUGAAGUGCAUUUGAAUUGGACAAGUGGCAACUUGAGUUUAGUUGUGAUUUGUUUGCUUCAUCACUAUGAUUACUUUUGAUUUUUCUAGCUAAUUACUAUAGAUGUUACAACCUUAUUCACAGUGAUUGAGUCUAGUCAAAAACCAGUGUCAACAACUUCCAGUUUGAUAGCCGAUGGGUGAGGCUGUGCACCUGAUUCUAAGACCAGACCUUUUCCAAAAGACAAUGAAGUUGUUGUUUUCAGGAUCUUUUCACUGCAGGACUUCGCUUUCCCCUUGAUCCUAUUAUUGACCAUAUCCUCUUGAAGUAUGGAAUGUAUCUUCAUCAGUUGACCCCCAAUGGAGUACUUCAGUUGAGCAUAUUGAUGUGGGUGUGCGAGAGCAUGGGCAUUGCUCUCACCGUUGAGAAUUUUCUGUGGGCCCAUGUUAUUCAUCACCAACCUAAGCAUGUUGAGCGUGUAGGAGAAAAUGGCGCUCUAAUUACAGAAGAGGCCUAGUUUGGUUGUCUCAACUCCGGUACAAGAAUGAAGGAUCGACACCUGUUACUUCGUACAAGAACCACUGGGAGGACGACUGGAACUACUUUUGGUUUUAUCAUACUAUCGAAGUGGACUCCACUACUGGCACUCAUCCCCUUGUCUGCAAGGAGUUCAAGGUUAUUCCCAAGGACAUGCCUUGUGAAACCGAAGACAAACACUUCACAUCUGUUUAUGGUUGCCUUUCACGAGCUAGCUAAGUCCUAUGGCACACGUGACCUGGUCGAAGAAUACUGCACCGUGCAAGUUUUUCCUAUAAAAGCUAGUUGGGCUAUUACCGCCUAGAAGGACUUCUCGAGUUCCAUCAAGAUUCCUAACUUUGCUAACAGCUUUAAAAUAAGCAAAGCAGGUAUCCAUAUUCUCAUUUUAUUCAUCCUUCUUAUGGCCUUUGCUCCUUUUCUAUAGUUCUCAUGUUAUUUCAUUUUUCAGUUUGCAGAUGUUAAUGUCAGAGAAGUCAAGGAAAAGCCAAUGUCAUCCUGGGUCCUGAGAGUGCCAAGGAAUAUAAUGAACUAGUGAAGAGGCUUGAUGGUGCGCGAAGUAACCGAGUGUUUGAAUUUUUCGAGCUUACCAGGGAAGCCACGCUGAUUCAUCAGGCAAACGAUGUGAAAUGUGCCUUGAAGAAAGGCACCACAACAGUGUCAGAGGUGCCUGUGCCCGUGUCUUCUCACUAGAACAAGAAAAGCAAGCGCUAGAGCCCUUCGCCGCUCACACUCUGUAACGCGCUCACACUUAACCUCGCCCUUCAGAAGAAGUUGUGGAAUCAAGCCCAGAAGAGCAAGGUACUAAUUCUGGUUCCAGCGAUGGUGAAGAAAACUUCCUAGAUAAAGCUCUCACUCCUAGCUCCAGCCGUGAAGAGGAAAUUGAAAUUACUUCGUCCCCAGCCCCACAAGUCCCUAAGGAUCGUGUCUCGCUGUGAACUGAUUGUAGGUAUACGAGGUAGGCUACGCUAGCGCAAAAUAAAAUAUCCUACCACGUAAACUAGGAAUAAAUGCUGUUAUAGAUCAUGGGAUUAGUACUCGAUGCACAGGUGCGGAAGUUGUAGAUAAGCGUCGGGGCAGCGAAGUCGAUCACACGUUGACGCAGUGUAGUCAAACAUGUUGAUGUCGAGCAGCUCCUCAGCAGCUCAUCCACGUGCAGCGACUCCCUCCUCGUGCUGCGGCUCGUCAGGCUUGUCGUCAUCUUGUCAUCGGCUCGUCAGAUUCCUCGUCGGAGCUCUCGUGCGGCGGCUCGUCCAAGUGCUGCAGAUGCAACACCUCCAAGGUAUCGACAUAUGCGGGGAGGAAGCGUCGCAAGCCGGACUGCUAGGUCUGCGAGUUGCAACAAGGCGAGGGCGUGGGAGGCGCAGCUGCUACUGGUGCGAUAGGGGAUGAUCCCCUAGGGCGCCCCCCCACCCCUCAAUAUAUAGGGGUUCCUAACGGGCCUCUGGGUUGGAGGCCCAUUAGUACUCCUAAACCUGAUCCAAUACAGAUCACAUCCAAAUUGGGCUUUCAACCCUUUAAGUGUGUGACCCUAUAGGUUCAUAUACGUAUCGACACGGCCCGAGUACUCCUACUCGGCCAAUAGUUAGUAGCGGCCUCUAGCAAGACAUACUAACUCAUAUACGCACACGAAGAUCAAAUCAGAGGAACCAUCACAACAUCACGUACACGGUAUUCCCUUUGCCUAACGAUAUUUGGUCUAGCUCCAAGCCGACCACUCUUUCUCGAUGUUGUAAUUACCAAUCCCUUUCUAGGUGAACUCUUAACCUCAGGUAGCAUGGCCAUGCAUUUCCGGAUCCGAUCACUUGAGGGGCCCAGAGAUAUUUCUCUCAAAUAGAGAGGGGCAAAUUUCAUCUUGACUGACCAUGCCUCACAGCAUGCUUCUUGAUAAACCCGAAAGCUAUCUUUAUGACUACCCAGUUAUGGUGUAGCAUAUGAUAGUCCAUAAGUAAGUUGAUCCACAUCUUUAGUACAUGUGAUAGUCUCAGGUCUAAGGACAAGGCAUACAUGUUGUGUAAAGAGAGAACUACGUAACUCAUGUUGGGUCAGUCCUAGCACAUGUCUCUACACAUGCCCACAUUAUUAGUUUGACAUGUCCAUGUCCAUGACUUGUGAAACAUAGUCAUCAAAUAACACAUGUGCUAGUCUAAUAUUCAUGUGUGUCCUCACAUGAACUCCAACUAGGGACAACUUUUAGAAUAACCAUACAAGUAAAGAGUUUCACACAUAAUUCACAUAAUUGCAAAUCAAUUCAAGUAGCCUUUAAUGGAUAUUCAAGGAACAUAAUAUAAAACAUGAAUACAAAGGAAUAUCAUCAUCUCUAUGAUUGCCUCUAGGGCAUACCUCCAACAGGCUCCCACUUGCACUAGAGACAAUCUAGAAGAUAUCUAAUACCCAUAGCUCUUAUGUUUGCAUCAUGCUUAGACUGCGGGAGAUGCUUUGUCAACGUAUCAGAAAUAUUCAAAUUCGUCUGUAUUUUGCAUAUCUUGAUCUUACCCCAAUUUAUGAAGUCUCGAAUGAGAUGAAAUCACCGCAUUACGUGUUUGUUCUUCUGGUGAAUCCUAGGCUCCUUUGCUUGCGCAAUAGCCCUAUUGUUAUCACAGCAGAGAUUCAAUGGGUUAGACGGAUUCAGGAACACACCAAGCUCAAUAAGGAAAUUCCUUAUCCAAACACCCUCCUUCGCGGCUUUUGAAGCCGUGACGUACUCGGCUUCUAUCAUAGAACCAUCCAUCGUCUCCUGCUCGGAACUCUUCAAGCUAACAGCACCAUCGUUUAGCAUAAACACAAAUCCUGAUUGUGAUUCUGAAUCGUCUAGUCAGUUUGGAAACUAGCAUCGGUGUAACCUGUUACAACGAGCUCCUCCUCACCUCCAUAGACGAGGAACAUUUUUUUAGUCCUUUUGAAGUACUUAAGAGUGUUUUUCACUGCUGUCCAGUGACUCUCACCCGGAUCAGACUGGUGUCUGCUUGUCAUACUUAGCCCAUAUGAAACAUCUGGGUGAGUACUUAUCAUUGCAUACAUGAUAGAUCUGGUAGCCGAAGCAUAUGGCACUCUACUCAUGUGAUCCCACUCAUCAGUAGUCGAAGGAAAUUGAGUCUUGCUAAGGUGUAUGCCAUCUGACAUAGGCAAAAAAAA